RNAcentral lists this long non-coding RNA (106857 nucleotides) under Solanum tuberosum (potato). RNAcentral describes it as "long non-coding RNA (STUB_LNC006790)". The record is from RNAcentral. Lineage: Eukaryota; Viridiplantae; Streptophyta; Magnoliopsida; Solanales; Solanaceae.
UUUUUUUUUUUUUUGCAGUAUGGUUAUUACAGAGCUUCCUUCGGAACAUGCUAAGAAAGCCCUUGAGGCAGUAUGCCUGCCAUCUGUUGCUCCAUUACAAGUAAGUUUCCUUUCUAAAAUUUUAUGAAUGACUUUAAGUGUCAAUUUACAAAUACUUGGAGUUAACUACCAGGAGAUGAUCAAUCAAGGUCCCCAAGUUUUGGGGCAAAAAAACGCUCGGGAAUUAACAGUUCAUUUUGACCGACUUGCAAAUAUAUUCAGGUACAGGCAAUUUCCUUGUUCCGUUUUUCAUCUGUUUGAUUCUAUUUGCAUUGUCAAUUUUGGGACUGAAACCAUUUGCAGAUAUGUAAAUCACCCAGAAGCGGUUGCAGAUGCAAUUCAAAGACUUUGGCCAAUUUUCAAAGCCAUUUUUGAUGUGUAAGAAAGCUGUUUGCUGUAAAUAUUGCUUUCAGGAUAACUCUUUGAUUAUAAACUUCCCUAAUGGUAGUGUUUGAUGAUAUUCACAUAGUCGUGCUUGGGACAUGCGGACAAUGGAGUCUCUUUGCCGGGCUUGUAAAAAUGCUGUAAGUUCAGUAAUCUAUGCCAUCUCCUGCCAAGGGAUUCAAGAAAUCAUUCAUCAAGCUGCCUAUUCCUGAAAAAUGUUGUAGUGACACAACUUCUCCUGUAAAUAUGUGGCGUUUUUCAUAGUCCUUUGAAUGCUUCGUGUUCUUCUCUUCUUUAUUCUUGUGCCUCUUGACAUCUACAUCCGUAGCUGAUUUUUUCUUCUUUCUGUGAAUUUUUGCUGUCUUAUGUUCCUUAAUGUAUGACCUCAAACUGCUUUUAUGUUACUCUUUGAAAUUGUGAUUGAUAAUAUUCCCUACAGCUUAUUUAAAGUGGCCUGUUCUGAACUCUGAAGACAAGGAUGAUCAAGAUUCUAGUCCGAGCCCGACAAUGAGCAAAUGGUAUUAUAACUUUCCUAACUCUGAUGAUUUCAUCCAUUAGGUACGAACUUCUAAGAGGCUCAUGGGGGUUACAAUUGGGGCGAUGCUGGAGGAAAUACAAGGACUAUAUGGACAACACCAUCAGCCGUGUUUCCUUUAUCUCUCUAGUGAAGUCAUAAAGGUAUUUGAGUUCUUUCUUACAUUGCAAAAUUUUAACCAAAUUUGCAGUUUCCAUUUUAAGCAACAGUUGGAACUUCUGCCGCAGAUAUUUGGUUCAGAUCCAUCCUGUGCAAAUUACUUGAAAGUUCUCAUUGAGUCUCUCUUUAGCCAUACAGCAUGUCUUCUUACAAAGAUUCAGGUACAGUCUGUUGCUUUAUUUUGCAUUUCACUGCUAGUUAUGUAAGCUAACUCCGAAGUGUGGUUCACAGGAUUUCACUUCCCGUCCGGAUAUAGCAGAUGAUUGUUUUUUGCUUGCAUCAAGAUGUAUCCGAUACUGUCCUCAACUAUUUUUUCCCUCUACUGUGUUUCCAUCAUUGGUGGAUUGUGCCAUGAUCGGCAUCACCGUGCAGCACAGGUAAGUUCUCUCCAUUUCCUCCUCACCCCAUGAACAUUAUGGCCUGUUUACAUCUAUUUUAAUGUAAAGAGGAAGCUCUGGUUCUACACGUCUAAAGUGAUGAAGAUUUUGUAUUCUGGACAAUAACAUAAAACUGUGAGAAAUGUGAGAUAAAUUGGUAGAAUUUGUGAGGACAAACGUCUUAUGGUUGAAUCUUGGCAGCGCCAAUAAUUUAUCUCUUCAUGUGUAGAAUACAAUUGUUGAGAUAUAUACCUUCGUAGGCAAAAAAUCAAUUUCAUCUAUAACUUUAACAUUUUUAUUUAACUAUCUGAUACAGACCUCAAGCUGGUGGCUGCAUGUCAUACAUGCCAUGUCUGUUACAGAUGUAAUUAGUGCAGGGACUGUAACUGACUUGAUGACUUCUGUGUGAGCCAAUCAUUUAAUUUUAUGAUUUUUGUUAUAGUGCCUCUCAUGAGAGUAUCUUUUCUCUGACAAAACAACAGUAAAUUUUAAUUGCUUGACCUCUUAUUAUGUAAUGGCUUUGGUAUAACAUAAAAUGCAAUUUAAUUAUUUCACACAAGUUGCAUCUGGCUUAGCUCUACCAACUUCAAUUCUUUGAGUAGUUUGGCAGCAUGAGUCCAAGCUGCUGUGGUUGUGGUGCUUUGUACACUAGAUUUUGCAAUCACAUUUUCUUUCUUUCUUUCCUAGGAGAAGUUGCUCCAACUAGAAUGCUAUACUUAGACUUAUAGCGUCCAGCAAAGUAUGUCACCAUCCAAUCUGCACCGGUCAUGUUUGAUUCACGUGGAGUAGUACUUCAUCUGGAGCUUAUUUUAUAUGCUGAAGCCUGAAGCAUGCAUCCUGAUGAGUAUCACUAGAGAAUGAAAUUUGUCGUCCUAACUAGAAAGAUAAUAUUAGGUCUGUCAUUGUGAGGUAGUUUAGUUUACCAACUUUUUAUAUCUCCCUGGAACACCAAGAGGCUCCUCUGAUCUAGUAGAUCACUAAGGGGACCAAAAUCUUAUUUCAUCAUAAAUUGAUUUUCUUCCCUAUGAGUUAGUCUCAAUAAUACCAUGGUUUUUGUGACAUUGACAAAUAUAACUGUCAGAAAAGAGCGGAGGAAAAGGAUUCAUGUAGAUAACUAUAAUCAAGUACCUGAGUGAAUGAUACAAGAACUGAGUCACUGGACACGGCCAGUUUGAUUAGCAUGAACUACUUGAUGAGACAUUAACUGGUCUGAUGCUGAAGGAACACAUAUUCACUGCGUUGGUUGUCAUAUUUUGUUGCAUUUCUCAAUGCAAUAUAAGCAGCAGUUUGUUCCAUAUCAAUAUGGCGCUAUAUUUGUUUCCAAAGUCCAUUGCCUACAAUAUGAAUUACAGAGGCCAAGUACCCAACAUAUUUAGUAAAAGUACACUUGCAGUUGAAUUUUAAUCUGUCAAGCGUAGAAUCAUCUUUUCAUACUCCCUCUGUUUCAAUUUAAGGUGUCUUAGUUUGAUUAGGCACGGAGUUUAAGAAAAUAUGGGAGACUUUUGAAUCUUGUGGCCUAAAACUAAAGAUGUGGGUAAUGUAUCAAGAUUUCCGUUGAAUCUUGUGGUCUUAAACAAACCAUGUAAAAUGGUGGAAUUAAGGAGUUACCAAUGUCAUUCUUUCUGAAACAGACUAAAACCGAAAGUAAGGCACUUACAUUGAAACGGUGGGAGUAUAUCAUUGUCCACUCAUCUAUCUAAUUACUAGAGAACCUAUCUGGAACUGCAAGGAAACUCUGGCCCUUUUAGAUUUGGAUUUCUCUUCUCUAGUAAUUCUAUUAUCUAUUUGGUAUGAUAUUUUAUUAUGUUUUGAUUGUUCUAAAUUUCGAAUUAUUGACUGGAUUGUAGGGAGGCUUGCAAUUCAAUAUUGAACUUUGUAUCUGAUAUAUUCGAUCUUGCAAACUCUACAAACGGAGAAAGUUGCCUAUCCAUAAGGGACAGUGUAAUUAUUCCUCGAGGGCCCACUAUCACCAGAAUUUUGGUUGCUUGUCUAACUGGAGCCCUUCCUAGUUCACGACUAGAAACAGUAAGUACAAAUCAUUAUUUUUUAUAGAACGCAGAUGGGUGAAGAGAAAGGUAGUAUUAGUUUGUUGCAUUCAAGAGUUACUCUGAGCUGUUUUCUUUGUAGGUAACUUACGCUCUACUGGCAUUGACCCGGGCUUAUGGGUUGAAAGCUCUUGAGUGGGCAAAGGAAUGUGUGUCCUUAAUUCCAUCAACAGCUGUUACAGAAUUGGAAAGGACUAGAUUUUUACAAGCCUUGUCAGAUGCAGCCUCUGGAGCAAAUAUGAACGGUCUGGUAGUUCCGAUUGACGAGAUUUCAGAGGUUUGCCGACGUAAUCGAACUGUUCAGGAGAUAGUUCAAGGAGCUUUGAGGCCACUUGAUCUGAACAUAGUAGCUGUAUCAUAGUGGAGAGGGUGCAGAAGGGCCUUUUUUAACCUCUCCCUUCUCUGCAGGCAGUAGUUUUUCAUGAUUCUUUGGAGGCCUUAUUUCAUCGUUUGUCCAUUGUGCGGCUUGGGAAUAUGUACGAGUUAUGCAGCAAAAGGGUGUUGUAUUGUUGUUACUUUUUCUACUUGUGGAAAGUGAUAGAGGAACUCAAGCAGAUGCAGUUCACUUGGUUUGGCUUUUUCACUUUCGGUCCUUUUUCGUUUUGGGGGGGUUUUCUUUUGAGGGUGAGGAGUUUCCAGUUUUGAGGUUUUAAUCCUGGUGUUCAAUAUACAAGCUUCUUGUAUUUGGUAAGAUUUUCCAGUUUACAACUGUGUAUAGAAUGUGCAGUUUCUUUCAGUUCAAUAGAUGAUGAAUGCUUAGUGAAGGAAUGUGGUAUGCAAAUCAAACAUGUUGUUUAUCACCUGUUUUAUUUCACAUUAUGGAGGAUGCAAUCUUACUUUCCUGCUUGGUUUCUCAGAUCUCUAAGUGUUGGUGUUAUAAAUAUAUCUCAUCCAGCUUUUCGUUGGUUAUUGUGUCACUAUAUGGAAUUCGAUAAACUUUACUUUGUGACUUGAAAAAUUCUGUCUUGUUUUGUAAGGUAUGCAACUUUUCUAGAAAAAAGAAGGUAGAUGUUUAAUUUUAUAUGAAACUUAUACUUUGAGCCAGGGGUGAAUUUAUACACUAAAAUUGGGACACAUGAAUAUGUGGUUUCUCCAUAAAAUUAGGUAUUUAUGUAUACAUAUCUUUUUUAAAUGAUUUAAUAUUAUCUGUUGGCAUCCAUCUUACUAGAAGAAGAUUAACUGAUGUAUUUGAUUGAAUGUUGAGUUAUUUGACUUUAUACGUUUCUCUCUUUUAUUUAGUGGUGCACCAAUGUUUUACAAAUCCUAUGGGACAUAUUCCAUAUUCAAAGGACUACUAUUCUCUGAGGCACAUUUUCUUUAAUGAUCGUAAUAACACUAUGAAGUCUGAACUCUACCUAACAAAUAAGUAAUAACAAUAAAUAAUUUAGCUUGCUCCAACUUCUACGUGGGUCUUGAAAUAAAUAAAGAAAAAGUUGAAAAUCCUCUCUUAGAUUUGAGAGUUCCACUCAAAAUCAUCUAUAAUAUUAUAUUAUAUUAUAUUAUAUUAUAUAUAAUAUAGAUAGGAGUAACAUGUAAUACGAAUAGUUCUCAAAAUCUUAAGAAACUGUGCGUAGAGUAUUUCAUAUCAAAUCAAAUAAUUUUAUAUUUUAGUAGUUAAAACUAAAGUGAGAAUAUAUCAGUUGACAUAAUUAAGUGAAAAUGGGUGCAUGCAAAUUACCUAUUCAGGUUCAGUAUAAACGUGAUGUAUGUAUCAAUAUAAACGUGAUAUCAAUAAAUUAUUAGUCCCUAUGUCUCUAAUUAUUUGUCCAUUUUUCAUUUUUAGUUGUCUCUAAUUACUUGUCCAUUUUGACAAAUCAAUAAAGAACAAAUUUUUUUUUUACCUAUUAUCCCCUCAAUUAAUCACUUUGAAAAAUGUAGAACUUCUUGAAAAGCUUAAGUUUUUUUAAUUCAUCUACUUCAUAAUUAGUAGGGAUAAAAUGGUUGUUAAUAAUUAUUUUCUUAAUAGAUGUGUCAAUUCAAGAAUGGACAAGUAAUUAAGAACGGAGGGAGUAUUAUACUACUAAAGAUAACUUUGAAUUUUUUAAUUUAAACUUUUGAUAUGUUAUGAUUAAAAUUAGGGGAAAUGCAUAAGUACCUCCAGCCUAUGCCCAAAAUCUCUGAGACACACCUAACAUUUACUAAGGUCUUAUUACCCCUCCGAACUUAUUUUAUAUAUAAUUUUCUACCCCUUUACGGCCUACGUGGCACUAUCCUUGAAAAAAUUGUCAACACGCGCUGGACCCACAAGAUAGUGCCACGUAGGCCGAAAUGGGGUUGGAAAUUAUACAUAAAAUAAGUUCGGGGGUAAUAGGACCUUAGUAAAGGUUAGAUGUGUCUCAGGAAUUUUGGGCAUAGGCUGGAGGUACUUAUGCAUUUUCCCUUAAAAUUAUAAGAUUUAAAGAACAUUUCGAUACAUGUGAUAUAUCUUUGAUUUAAAAUUGUAAAGAUCAAUAAAAAAUUUUACUUUUUAAAAUUUUGUUAUUUAAUUUGAUCUUAGAUAUUCCCUAUGUCCCUAAUUACUUGUCCACUUUUCUUUUUAUAAUUGUCCCUAAUUAUUUGUCCAUUUUGACAAAUCAAGAAAGGACAAAAUAAUUUUAUCUAUUAUACCCUCAAUUAAUUACUUUGAAAAAAGUACAAUUUCUUGAAAAUCUUAAAUUUUUAAUCCAUCCACUUCAUAAUUAAUAGGGAUAAAAUAGUAAACUCAUUAUGUCAAUAAUUUAUUUCUUAAUAGGUGCGUCAAUUCAAAAGUGGACAAGUAAUUAGGGAUAGAGGGAGUAACAUUUAUGAUGUUUAACUUAAAUACGUGUUCUAUUCAACAUAAUACAAAUUGAGGCGCAUCAACAUAAUUUGGGUUUUUUUUUUUGUUUGUGCCCCAAUAUACGGAAUCAUGGUAAAGCUUCGAUUAAAUUCAGAUCGCAGAGCGCAUGUCCCAUUAAGAAGUGGCGUUGGUCAGCACAAGUUGGGUUUAGAACAAUUUCCUUUUCGUGUUGGAUUUCACUUCCCACUUGCCCCGUCUCUCUCUAUACUUUCAUUUGCCUCUCUCUCUCUUUCAUGUUCAUUCAUGCAUCUGUAAUUUGCAAAAUUCACUGUACCCAUUACUUCUCUGCUGAUAAAUCACGGCUUCCUUCUUCUUCUUCUUCCCCUAAGCAAACACCCUUCAAAGUUGCAACCUUUCACUUUCUUGAUUCUUCUUUUCCAUUAAUUAGUCCCUGCAGAUCCCUGAUGUAGCCCUUUUUCUUUCACAGCCUGCUCUGAGUUCAAUCUCAGCUGGCUUUUCUUGCCUAAACCACAUUCUUGAUUCACAAAAUAGCAAUAGUAAAGAUACAAUCUUUGUUAUUUUGGCUGACCAAUUGAUAAAGGGGUUUCAAGAAUUCUUGUUAAUAUGGCCUUUGCAGCUCAGCAGAAGAAGGCUAUUCAUUCCAUGUUAGCAAACAAGCUGACCCAUCUCAAAAUCCCUGACUCUUCUUCAUCAUCUCCUCCUUCUACUGAUCCAGAUUUUGAUUUUUCUGAUGUAUUUGGUGCUCCUACCUCUUCUUCAUCUCCUUCAUCUUCUUCCAGUUUUCUAACUGACCCACAAAUCAUUCAUAGUAGGUCCCACUCUUUUGUGGGUCCAUCUCCAAGGAUCACUCUCUCAAAGCCUCUGCCUUUUCACCAAGAAGUUGAUUCUGAGAGUGAAAGUGAUAGUGAUAAAGUUAAUACUCAUGUAGGUACUCACCAAACUGAAUGUACUGAUGGGGUUGAAGAGAUUAGUGGAGAUGAGGGGUUAGCUGUAACAAAAUUUGGGCCAGGGGAUUUUGAGAUCUUGAGGAUGAUUGGAAAAGGUUCUUUUGGGAAGGUUUUUCAGGUGAAGAUGAAGGGGUAUGGUGGUGAGGGUGAUGGGAUAUUAGCAAUGAAAGUGAUGAGGAAGGACACGGUAAUCAAGAAUAAGCAUGUGGAUUAUAUGAGAGCUGAGAGGGAUAUUCUCACUAAAGUUGAGCACCCUUUUAUUGUUCAGCUUAGAUACUCAUUUCAGGUAAUAGUUGCUUAUACUGGACUUGGUAAAUUUGUCUAUUCAGUUUCAGAUUAAUGGGUAUAUUUAUCUUAAAUGUAUACAUAAAUAGUCUUACUAUCCUGCUAUUGUUACCACCUAUGUCUUCAUAAAUGUUGUGUUUUUGCUUUCUUUGAGCCGAGUGUCUAUCGGAAAUAGCCUCUCUACCUACACUCACCCUCCCCUGACCCCACUCGUGGGACUAUACUGGUUCUGUUGUUGUUACUUGUUUUUCUUCUUAAUGUACAAGAACAAGAUAAUCUUUUGUAUUAGGAAUUAUUUGGUUUUAAGUCCGAAGCUAAAUUUAGUACUAUGGUAUUUGUCCUUUCAUGUAAUUUUCUGUUACAGAAGUACUUAAAAGGUGAGAGCUUUUCCUUGCCUCUCUCUGUGGGGAAAAGCUUUUCAUAGAAAGAGGAAACUCUUUUGGGAAUCUGUUUGAAUUCUGGUGUCACUCAUUCCUUCUUUUUUGAGCGGGGACAACAUGAGCAAGUUUUGAACUUUAUUAGUACUAGGAAUACUAUUUAACAUCAUUAAUGCUAAUGAAAUUAAUUUCAAGUGGAACUUCUGUUCUUUUUGUCUAGAAUCUAGUCAGAUUGCUGAAUAUUUGAUAGGAUAUUUUAGUAGAUUUAUUUAGACAAUUUCAGAGAAGUUCAUUAACUUUUUCUGUUGCGAUUUUCUUUUUUUAGUUUCCAUUAUUCUUUGCCUUUGAUGCAGAAUUGUCUUUGUUUCGGAAACAAUCUUUCUGAAGAUUUUUUUGGACAAUAUUUGUUUUGAACUGGUAACUUUUGUAUUAUAGACCAGUACUUAGGUAGUACUGGAAAACCCAUUUACAAAUUAAAGUAUGAGAACAAAGAUGCUAAGAAAAUUCAACCCUAACAUGAGUCUAAAACUUUUAGGAUUGAUCUGCAUCUUCAUGGGAGCUCUUUGUACACCAAAAAGAAAAUAGCAAAACACUGUUUCUGUAAAGUGCUACUUCUAGCCUCAAAUAGAAUUCCUUUCUUUCCAGAUUGCGCACCAUAUGCAAGCUGGAAUGAUCCUACGGUAGCUUCUAAUCGUUACCCCAAUCAGCCUUCUCUACAGCUAGAAAGAGUGUCAACAAUCUUGCUAGGCAUUGUCCAAGAUGAUUUUUUUUUUUUUGACAAUUUCAAAGUGAAGUUAAUGAUUUUUUAGAACUUUUGUUGGUUUUUUCUAUUUAGUUCCCAUAUUUCUCGAUGUCUUUUUAAAGCACAGAUUUUGUCUUUCUUUGGUGUACUCAUUGUCAUUGAUUUUGCUACUGUGAUUUGAUUUUCGAAAUCAUAUGCCUUACAGUCUCAGACCAAGCUUUCUUGCCCUAUGAUGUGUUUUUUCUUAUUAACAAUAUCAUUCCUGGGUCAUUUAUUUUGGAAUAUGCUGCAGACGAAGUCUAAGCUGUAUUUGAUUUUGGAUUUUAUAAAUGGAGGACAUCUUUUCUAUCAUCUAUACAGACAAGGGAUUUUCAGGUACCUUUGCAUUUCUUAUUGACUAACCAGUCAUGAUAUGCAUUCUGCUCUUCUAACUUCAGCUCUUGGGUGUGCUUUGGGUAGUGAGGACCAGGCAAGGAUUUAUGCUGCUGAGAUAGUUUCUGCUGUUUCACAUCUUCACCAGAGAGGGAUCGUGCAUCGAGACCUCAAACCUGAAAAUAUUCUCAUGGAUGGUGAUGGACAUGUAAUAGUCUUGCUGUACUCUACUGCAGGAACAUGAUUGAUGCAUGGAAGAAGAAAAGAAAUAAGAAAUACGUAGCAUUUUUCCUUUGAACAUUGCAGUUGAUUCAUUCCUCUUCUUAAGCAUUUCAUUUUCCACCCAGGUCAUGCUGACAGAUUUUGGACUGGCAAAAGAGAUUGAUGAAUCAAGCAGAUCUAAUUCAAUGUGUGGAACCAUGGAAUACAUGGCUCCGGAGAUUAUACAGUCCAAGGGCCACAAUAAAGAUGCUGACUGGUGGAGUGUUGGGGUACUUCUGUAUGAGAUGCUGACUGGUCAGGUAAUCUAAGUACUGGUUGGAACAUUUGUUUGCAGUGUAAUUUUAGGACACUAGAAUCAUGCAGUGUUGAGUAAUGCCAAAGCAUGUGACAAAGCAUAGACAGUUCAACGGACAUUCUCUGGAGCCUAUUUUAUGUGAAAUGUCCUAUAAAUUGCAUUAUUCCUAGACAGAUUUUCCUUUGUAAAUUAGAACACUUUUGACUCUCAUUUCUUUCAGCCACCUUUCACCCAUGCAAAUAGAAAGAAGCUUCAGGAAAAGAUCAUCAGCGAGAAACUGAAACUUCUACCACGUCUGACUGGUGAAGCUCACUCUCUGCUCAAAGGAGUAUGUACAAACUAUCAAUUGACUGCUUGCCCAUACUUUCUUAGAUAAGUGAUUGUAAUUCAACUGAAUGAAAACUUGCAAUUUUUUCCCGUAGUUGCUACAGAAGGACCCAUCCAAAAGAUUAGGCAGUGGACCAAGAGGAGGGGAUGAGAUCAAAAGUCACAAGUGGUUCCGCACAAUCAAUUGGAAGAAACUUGAUGCCAGAGAACUACAGCCUAAGUUCAAACCAGAUGUAAUUGGCAGAGAUUGCACUGCCAAUUUCGACAAAUGUUGGACUACAAUGCCACCGGAUGACUCACCAGCAUCUACUCCGACAACAGGCGAACACUUUCAAGGUUACACUUAUGUAGCACCAAAUCCUUGGCUCUCCUCUAGUUGAUUUAAGUCUUUAUCUUGACAAAAUUUCGAACUCUUAGUUUGCUAUUGUAAGUCAUUCUUUGUUAGAGAGAGGAUCAUGAGAAAUGUAUGGAUCAGAUUGUAUCAUGGUAAAAGCAAAUCUUUCUAACUCUUUUUGUGUACUGCUGUAAGUUCAUUCUUCUCUAUGGACAAGAUGUGAAUCAAUCAAUUGACUUUGAUUGUGUAGCCCUUUUCUUUACCUGCUCUUCUAUGCUUCCUCUUAACCUCAUCUAUUCGAUGCUCUCUGGAAAUUAUAAAUUCUUUUAUUAUUUUGUACUGCAAGAGAAUCUAAGAAUGUGUUCACACUUUUCACUCAUGUGAUGAUUUAGUCCCUAUAUUUCAAAUUCAAAUCAGUAUUGAAAAUUAAUCAAAGUUGUUCAGUAUUCAAGAACUCUAAAUGAUUAAUGAGAAAUAGCUGAAAUAAAACCAUUACAAAUAUGUACACUGGGGAGCUGAAAAGAGAGGAUGUUCCAGGGCUUUGUUGCAUUCUAGAGAAUAGAAAAUGCUAAUGAGUUCUGCAUAUGGUUCAACAAUUUAAUAGAGGAGCAAAUUGAGGGUAGUGUUGGUGCAUUAGUGGAGUAUAUGAGUAGAUAUCCUUCAGGGGAAUGAAUUGGCUUUUGAUUUUUCUCCUUAUAUGUUUCCUUUGAUUGUGGAUGUCUGUGGGAGGGUCUGCCUGAUUGUUUUACAGGCUUGCACAAUCUUAUGCGGUAGUAGUUGAGAAAAGUAGAAGAAGGCGUAUUCUCAACUACUAGUUCUAGAAACUAUUGCGACAUCAAAUGAGUCAACUAGAAAAAUUGCAUUCAAUUUUGUGAUGAGUAAUGUAGUGCUCUUUUGAACUAUGUUAGGGCAUAACUCUAGUCAUUUUUAUUUAUAUGAAUGAAUAGAUGAGUGUCAUUCUAAUAAAUGGAAAUGUUAAAGUUGUCUAUAGUUAUUAGGUAGUAUGAAAUUUUGAAAGAUGGCUUUUUCUUUUAUUUCUUCUGCCUGAAUAUCAGAUACACUCUCUUUGUACCUUGUCCGUUACUGAUUCUGCUUACUAUUUCAGUAUGUGCAAAUUAUCAUCUUUCGCUAUUUAUAGCUCAAGAAAUGCUAUACAUCUCGCUUGUAUUUGACCAAGCUCCUCCAGCAUUUUGUUUUUGCUCUCUUUCCUCGAGUUAAUACCAACUAUAACAUGAAUAAAUAAACUGAUCAAACUUCUGUAUUAGACUUUGCAAGAGUUUUUUGUACUUCCAUGUGAAUUAUUUCCCUUGGAACCUGAGACUGUCAUUAAGUAGGUUUUUGAAAGGAAGAACUGAACACAUGCCAAAAUAAGCAUCCAUAGAUCUACCUUCCUAUACUAUGGUGUUUAUCUUGGAAAUGAACUGUUAACAGUUGAGGGAUGUGACGUUUUUUUCUGUUAACAACAGUGUAGAGUUAUCUCAAAUUGGUGAGAUGUUUAAUGGUAUCACUCCGGAAAGGGAUGAAAUAUGACAUGGUUAUUAAAAUAUGAACCAUAUAACCAUGUGGAGCAAAAGUUUUGUCGUUAUAUAAGUUCGAUCUGCUCCUUUCCAAAAUAUGCUGGCUUCAGUGUACUUCUAUAAGGCACACUUGUGAACUGUCAUUUGAAUGGUUUCAGUACAUAUCCAUUAUCUAGAUAUUGUGGAAAAAGUUGCAUAAAGGUUGGAAUCAGUGGAAGAGCACUGGUGAGUGGUGACUACUUAAUGAAACUUAAAUAAAUUAUAGCUUCAUAUGGUAUAUGGAAAGUAGAAAGGCAUCUCAUUCCAGUUACUUUUAAGUGGAUAAGUUAGUUUGUGCUCAUUAACAACCACCUGGUUUGUUGUGUGUGCGUGGGGGGGAGGGGGGGUGNNNNNNNNNNNNNNNNNNNNNNNNNNNNNNNNNNNNNNNNNNNNNNNNNNNNNNNNNNNNNNNNNNNNNNNNNNNNNNNNNNNNNNNNNNNNNNNNNNNNNNNNNNNNNNNNNNNNNNNNNNNNNNNNNNNNNNNNNNNNNNNNNNNNNNNNNNNNNNNNNNNNNNNNNNNNNNNNNNNNNNNNNNNNNNNNNNNNNNNNNNNNNNNNNNNNNNNNNNNNNNNNNNNNNNNNNNNNNNNNNNNNNNNNNNNNNNNNNNNNNNNNNNNNNNNNNNNNNNNNNNNNNNNNNNNNNNNNNNNNNNNNNNNNNNNNNNNNNNNNNNNNNNNNNNNNNNNNNNNNNNNNNNNNNNNNNNNNNNNNNNNNNNNNNNNNNNNNNNNNNNNNNNNNNNNNNNNNNNNNNNNNNNNNNNNNNNNNNNNNNNNNNNNNNNNNNNNNNNNNNNNNNNNNNNNNNNNNNNNNNNNNNNNNNNNNNNNNNNNNNNNNNNNNNNNNNNNNNNNNNNNNNNNNNNNNNNNNNNNNNNNNNNNNNNNNNNNNNNNNNNNNNNNNNNNNNNNNNNNNNNNNNNNNNNNNNNNNNNNNNNNNNNNNNNNNNNNNNNNNNNNNNNNNNNNNNNNNNNNNNNNNNNNNNNNNNNNNNNNNNNNNNNNNNNNNNNNNNNNNNNNNNNNNNNNNNNNNNNNNNNNNNNNNNNNNNNNNNNNNNNNNNNNNNNNNNNNNNNNNNNNNNNNNNNNNNNNNNNNNNNNNNNNNNNNNNNNNNNNNNNNNNNNNNNNNNNNNNNNNNNNNNNNNNNNNNNNNNNNNNNNNNNNNNNNNNNNNNNNNNNNNNNNNNNNNNNNNNNNNNNNNNNNNNNNNNNNNNNNNNNNNNNNNNNNNNNNNNNNNNNNNNNNNNNNNNNNNNNNNNNNNNNNNNNNNNNNNNNNNNNNNNNNNNNNNNNNNNNNNNNNNNNNNNNNNNNNNNNNNNNNNNNNNNNNNNNNNNNNNNNNNNNNNNNNNNNNNNNNNNNNNNNNNNNNNNNNNNNNNNNNNNNNNNNNNNNNNNNNNNNNNNNNNNNNNNNNNNNNNNNNNNNNNNNNNNNNNNNNNNNNNNNNNNNNNNNNNNNNNNNNNNNNNNNNNNNNNNNNNNNNNNNNNNNNNNNNNNNNNNNNNNNNNNNNNNNNNNNNNNNNNNNNNNNNNNNNNNNNNNNNNNNNNNNNNNNNNNNNNNNNNNNNNNNNNNNNNNNNNNNNNNNNNNNNNNNNNNNNNNNNNNNNNNNNNNNNNNNNNNNNNNNNNNNNNNNNNNNNNNNNNNNNNNNNNNNNNNNNNNNNNNNNNNNNNNNNNNNNNNNNNNNNNNNNNNUUAAUCACGUGGAUAGCUUAUAUGAUCAUCAGAUAUUGUUUCUUUAAGGGUUAGCUCUUGUCACUGUGUCUCAAAAGUCUAUUAUUGCUUAUAGAUACCAGAUAGGCAAGCAGCAUAUAUUCCUUUUAUUCUUCUGAGUUCCAUUUGGACACAUAGAAAAUAGAGAAAACAUCUUAUUGCAUGAAUGGGAAAAGGAUUUAGCACUAAUAAAGUUACUGUUAGGAUGGAUGAAACUUAAGGGAGAUUCCUGUCUUUUUUUUUAACAACACAAAUGAGUAAUCAGCUGAGGUUAUACUCUACUACCCUACAAUGCUUUAGAAGCAAGUUUCUUUAGCUUUAUACUUAUAUAUAUAUAUAUAUAUAUCCAUCGUCGUUGGCUUGUCAUAUAUGUAAUCACCUUCUCUGUUCUUGAAAGUAUUUUGGCAGUUAAGAAUUUGUAGCAUUUGCCAUGAAGAACAAAAGCAGAAGCAACAACUCCCUCUGUGAGAAGUCAAUGAAGAUGGUAACAAAUGUCAUCCGGCUAUCGUCAUUCUCUAUUGCCAGGAUGAGCCUUGGAAUCGCAACAGAACCAGCACCAGGCGGUAAAAUUCCUGCAUCAUACCCUGCAACAUUCAUCAAAGGCUCACCAACAGCACAAUUCCCUGAGAGCUUAAGGUCACAGGAGCCAGUGAACGUCAAAAAACCGACUGCCUACCUUAUUGAGCCAACUGAAAAUGGUAAAUCCUCCUUGUAUGCAGUUAAUGAUAAGAGUGUAGAUGGUAGGGCCUCUGAUUACAUUAGAAGAGUGCAUGAGAAGAAUCGUCAUGAUUCAAACGAGGCAAUGAAACUUUCUGCAUUCAUCAUUCCACCUCCACCUCGUUUCGUGUAGUCAUAUUUUGUACUACUAACCAUGUGUUUAUUUCCAUCUUCUACUAUUUCGCGUAGCAUAAUUGUCUUCAUCUAUCUUGGAUAAUAUGCUUUGCUUCUCUUGAGAACAAGCUUAUGAUUAGUGCCAUAGUGAUGAAAAAUCUUCUCCUUCUGUCACUUUGGGCUUUGUCUACUGAAGGCUUUUGUUCAUAAGAAGCUUGCAUCUUGAUAUUGAUCUUCUGUCUGUCAUAUAAUCAAUUAAAUCAAAUUAGUUGGAGUUUGUUAUAUGAAUCAUAUCCAUUUUAUUCAAGCAUAUCUCAUUCUGAUAUUAAACAAGUUGUCUUUUAGGUGAAUUAAGGUUUCUCCAAAACUAUAAAUUUCUAUUUUCCUGCACUUAUUUUGUUAUUUACAUACUAUAAGUUUCUACAUGGAAUAUUAAGACUCCAAAAAGUUGGUUUUGCUUAUAUAGAUCCUACUGUGUUAUGUUUUUAGCUAUGUUAUUCUUGCACUUAUGACAUGGAGGUCUAUGUAGAAUAUGACCAAACCAGGAUAUAACAGUGUAGUAUCAAUUAAGAUGGGGUCGGUUCUUGAUUAACAUCCUUUAGACUCUAUCGUAUGUGACCUUAUCUUAGUUUUCCUCUAUGUGUGCUAUUUGCAACGCCUGUCAUAUAUAACCAAUAUCUUUAAUAUUACGCGUUCAUCUUCAACUUGUUGGGACUUAAAGACCUAUUUCCAAAAAUGUUUUUGCUCUCUUAACAAUCACUUUUUUAGGUAUCUUUCUAACGUAUAACUUAGAUAUUUGUAUUGUAUGCAGUUCACCAAAAUCCUGUAAAUUCUUGUGGGAUGAUGUGUUCUUACUUUUAUUUAGUCGGUAACUAUUCCUUCGUAUUUAAUCCGAGAUGGAAAAUAAUAUUAUCUUUUAUAAAAAGCACAUUACCCAAGUAAAUAAAAGUUUCCUUAGAGGGAAUAAAUGCAUAUAUGUGGUCAAGUGGCAAGAGAAUAUUGUUGAAGAAAAAAUGGGAAUAUCUUUCUUUCACUCUACAAAUCCUCACCUUAUCUGUUGGUCUCAAAUAGAGAACCUUAUUUAUUGCGUGUAAACGUGACGAUCUGUAAUUCACCCUUGCCAAUAUUUAAAUGCAUUUCCAUAACAAAGCAUUUUUUUUUAAUAAUGAUGGUAUCCGAGUUAACUUGUACUCAUGACAUAUGAUUUUUCUAUUAGUGUAAAUAUUGAAUAACUAUAUGCUUCAAAUUUUAAAUAAAUAAAAAUCAAUCACCUGAUUUUAUUUUUUUUAUUUUUUAGUUUUGUGUGUAAUUUGAAUUUCUGAUCUAAUAUGAUCACCAUUUCCAGCUUCAUUGACCACAAAUGCACAAAGAAAACACAUAUUUGAGUGCGGGGACCAAUAAUACUGGAACCACUACUCAAAAGAUUUAUUUGUUUGCUUGUUUAUUUAUCGUUACCAAAAUAUUUCAACUUUGACCUAUUUUUAUUUUUAUUUUCAUUAUCAACGAUCAAUAAUUGAUGACACUCAUAAGCAGCAUUGCCAACUUAAUAGUACUGGUGUUUCAACUCAUUUGACAAUAAGUACAAAAAAGGUUCUAUCGUGUCUACUCUUCUUUUAGGAGUGUAUUCGAUCAAUUAUUUUAGAAAAAUGUAUAUCAAAUUGGUUUUUAAAUUACUCUAUCAUGUCUAAUCAAAAUUAAUCCCUCCGUUUAAAAAAGAAUGACCUCUUUUCUUUUUUGGUAACAUUUUAAUUUCAGUUUUUCACCUGGCAUGUUUAAGGCUAUACAUAAAAAGGGCAAUUUUAUACAUUUGACAUAAUUUUAAUUUAGGACCACAAGAUUCAGAAAUCUUCUUUACUUUCUUAAACUCCAUGUCAAAUCAAACUGGACCAUUCUUUUUAAAACGGAUGGAGUAAUUUUUUUUGAAAACGUGUCAAUCUAUAAUAUCGUUAAAAAUUAUGUAAUGACCUGUCCCAUAAGGAUCGAUUUCCAUCCCCGUUUUAGGCAAAACUAUUGGCAGCCCUAGAAUACAGUAGGAAUCAAGAAAAUCAUAUAAUUGUUGCCUAACACAUGCACGACACUCUAACCCAAUCAGGAUUUUGGAUAACGUUAUCACAUGGCCAGUUCAUACAACCACAUACAUAUAUCUAUAGCCUAUAGGACCACGAACAUACAUAUAUCUAUAGCCUAUAGGACCACGAGAAAAAAUCAUUUUGGCCAGAAAAUUUUGAGCAUAUUUACACUAUAAACAGGUUUACUUUUUGAUAUUUUUAUUCUUAUUUAAAUUUAAAUUUAAAUUUAUUAAUUAUUUUUUAAUACAUGAAAAGUUUCCCAAUACAUGGGGAAUAAACUUGUUCCCGGAUUCUCAUAAUUUCCAUAAAUACAUGUUAAUUUCAAUUUCUUUUAAAAAGGCAACAAAAUGAUUGCCUUAGUAAUUUCUUUUCUUCCCUCUACUUUCCAAUAUAAAUUAUAAAGAACACAAAUUUAAAAUUUACAAUUAAGAAAUAAAAUUUAAAAUUUAAAUGGCAAGAUAAACACUAAUAAUAUUAAAUUUAAAAUAAAUUUAUCUCACACUCAAUUCAAAUUCAAGAUUCAUAAAAUAACUUAACAAGUAAAAUUAUUAAUCAAAAGUGUCAUAUAUACUGGCCAUUUAUAUACUACUACUACUACUACUAAUAAUAAUAAUAAAUUAUAUUUCUCAACUUUGUGAUUUAGAGAUAAUAUAUUUUUUGUUAAAAGAAAGUGGCUCACAUCUAUUUCAAUUGUUACAUAUAUAUUACCAAAAAAAAAAAAUUAUUACAUAUAUAACUUUGAUAUAGCUAAAAUCUUUUUUAGCUGACGGAAGUGAAAAAAUUGAUUCAAAAUUAUUUCUGAUAAAAUAAAAAUUACACAAGGUAUGUUUGACCCUUCUCGCAAUAUUUUGAGGUAUGUUUGAAGAGCUAAGAUCAUUUUUGGCUGACGGGAGUGAAAAACUUAUUAAAUUUUUUUAACAAAAUAAAAAUACAAAAGGUAUAUUUGACCCUUCUCGCAAUAUUUCGAGGUAUAUUUGAUCAUCUUCGUACAUGAAUUUUUAUCCUUUUUUUUUAUCUUCUUUAAUUCAAUGACUAAUUUUGAUUUACUAUGUUGAUGAUCAAAUUUAAUUUUUCACUCAUCUUAUUGCAAAGUCUAUUAUAGAUGCAUCAACAUUUUUUACAACUAAAAAAUAAAAUUCAAUAUAACCGCAAAAAAAUUAAUUUUAGUUUGCUUUUUUUAAAAAAAAAAUCAUUUUAUUUUCGUUCACUAUUUCUUUUUAUUUCUCAUGUUUUCCACACUAAAGAAUGAAAGCGAAAAAUUAAAUAGGAACAACAAACUCAAAUAAUGAUAAACAAAUAUAUUCAUGAGGGAGAUAAUUAAGACACAAAUUAACCGUUGAAUUAAAAAAACUCAAAAAUAAAAUCACGUGAAAAAACUAUCCGAUUUACCUCUAUAUGAAUAAUGUUUGAUUAAAUAACUAAAAUAAAUAAAUUAAAAAUCCAAAUUUUAACUUUCGUUAGUCAAAAGUGGAUAUAUGAGUUAUUUAAUUUGCACAUGUAACAGUAAAAGUAUAUGUGACAUUUUUUUUUACGAAAUAUAUAUUAUAUCUAUAUCACAGAAUUAAGAAGUACAUCAAAUCUUUUUCUCCUAAUAAUAAUUCAACAUAAUCUGCACAAUAUUAUUAUUAUGAAGAUCAAACAAACAAUGUGGUAUAGUAAUGAAGUCUAAAAAAUAGUUUGAACCUUAUUUGAUUAUUCUAUAUCAAUGUUAGUAUUAUAUUAAAAAGAGAGUAGUCAAUCUUGAUAUUAAGACAAUUAUAUUAUAAGAACUGACUUUCGUAAUUCAAGACAUCACUACAAAAAAUGCAUUAUUAUUAAUAGUUAUUUAAAAUAUCUAAGUCCCAAAAUUAUAUUAUUAUUUUUCUGAAAGAAAAACACACACGAUGUAUGAACGAUUAAUUAAUUAAUGAAGAACCGUAUUAAUCAUUAUCAUUCAAUUGUAAAUUUCAAAAUCCACAUUUAAUUUACUAAAGUAUAUUGUAUAUUGCUGAGAAUUUCCGAGAAUAACGUGUUAAUGUUAAUUAUAGUAUUGAACCAACACCAUAUUACGUCAAUUUGAUAACUUAUAGAUCAUUACUCAUAUUUGUUAUUAAUAUAUUAAUAUAACGUAUUAAAGAUAUCUAUAUUCAUUGUGAUUUUCAAUGGAAAACUACUUUCCCUUUACUUAAUGAUACUAGCAGGGGUUUUGUUUGAUGUUAUAAAUAAGAGUAGCAUUAAAUAGGUACCACAAAGCAUGACAUAUUUCUGGUCUGUACAAAUCAGGACCAAAAGUGUAGUCAAUUAAUCACCACAUGGAUAUCAUAAACUUUUCCUCAAUAUAUAAGAUUAAUAUAAUUAUGAACCCAGCUUACUCACUCUUGUCCUAGUUUUUUCUUCUUCUUUUUUUCUCAAGAGAUCCUUUGAUCUCAUGCCACACGGAUGAUGCUUUCUCCAUUACUGAAACUUGACAUCACGUUAUAUGCCGAGUGUCUAGUAGAUGAUGCUUGUCCCUGAUCAAGUGACAAUGAUAAUCUCAGUGACAAAGACGAUGGCUCAAUUGUUGAGUUGUGGUUGGCGUUAAGGUCAAUUGCUGUUGAUGGAUUAGGCAUUGAAAACAUAGGAACAGGACCAACUAGCAUCGGUGAAUUCCCAUGAUCAUGUCGCAACAGAGUUGGAUACUCUCUUGACUUGUCAAUCUGUACUGGAAAUAUGAUAGGACCAACAGUUGGUGCCACCGGAAAUGCAUUGGUUUUGGUAGUUGGUAAUGUUGCUGGUGCUACAACUGGGAUUUCUUGCUUAUUUUCCACCUCUUCUAUUGGCAUUACUGAUACCUGUUUGUCAAAGAAAGAGAACCUUAGAAAUGGAUAUCCAUCCAAGUGGCAAAGAUUUCAGUUUGUAUUCAAUAUUUUUAUCUUUUCCACAAGGCAAGUAUAAACAAAGAACUUGACACCAAUGAAAAAGAAUCUUUUAGAGAAAAGACACAAAAGAAUAACAACAAAACCCAGCACCAAUAUCAAUUCAAAACAAGAAAAACGAACGAAUCAAAUUACAACUCCUUCUGUUAAAGAGUGAUAAGAUCGAAGUACUAAAAUCAAGCCAUCUAAUUUUCUAUCUCUAUACACAAUCACUUACCACCUACUCAAAUGAACUUCACUAAUACAUGGCAAAAUGAGAGAAAAUAUAAUCAUAGUAAUUAAAAGUUGCUCGAGUAAUAAUAAGGGUGAGAAACAAGUUUGAUAAAUGGAAGACGUGAAGAAAAAAUAAAUACCGAGUCAGUGGUGAUAUCAAAGAGGCUAGAUCGACGGCGGCGACGGUUGAGGUUGCUUCGCCGGAGGAAGUAUUUCUGAGCAUGACUUGCAACCUGAGUCGGUGUGCGAGUCUUUACGAAGUUACGAGAGAUUCCUCUCCAGUCUCCUUUUCCCACUUUCUGCAAUCCUAAAAGGAAUAACUUAUGCUCUUCCUCUGUCCACGGAACUCCUAAUACAAACAAAAUCAACGCUACUUCAUCAGAAAUCAAUUUCUAUGGAUUCAAAGCUUAGCAGGUUGGAUCAAAACCAUAUUUAUGGUCCUGAAAUCUAGACAGAGGGAAAACGAGUUCCCUUUUACAGAAUCUAAUCUUUUUUUAGGAAUUCGAUCAUCAUUUAUGAAACUAAUUUCAAACAAUUACAUAUAAAUCACAUGAUUAAACUAUGAAUUUGACUCUGUACAAAACAAAUUAGGAUAGAAGAGUAUAACUCAAAAAUUUGUGCAUAACAGAGAAAACGAUCGAUGAAUCUAAUAGAAACUUGACUCAGAGGAGACAUUAAUUGACUAAUCACUGACAGAAAUAACCGAAUCGAAUGUAAAAUGAAGACUAUCAUAAAAACACGGCGAAUAGCAACAAAAAUAGAAGAGGAUCGGAGAUCUCACCUCUCUUACGCUCGCGACCACUGUUGGACUGAUGUUGAACAGCGUCAUCUGCAGAGGCAUAACCUUCAUCCUGAGCCACUUUAGAGGAUUCAUUGUUAUCACCGCCGUUGUUGUUGUUGUUAGCAUUCGGUUGCUCGUACUGUGAAAGAUCGUUUAGACUCACGCUCUUCCUCAUAGGAUCCACUUUUACUCUCACACCAAACAACAUGAUUUCUCCUCCAAAACCGCCGCCGGUAACUGCCGGCGUCGACGACGACUUAUCGCUGUAAACGCUCGACAUCGUUCUGGAAGUUUCCACGAAUCAAUAAAAAAUCAAUUGAUACAAAGUGGUGAUGACUAAACAUACACUCCGUCAAACGGAAACCGUACACACCUAUUGAAAUUGAAAUUGAAAGGAAGAAAGAAGCGAAUAAAGCGGAACGGAGAGUGUAUAGAGAUGUGGAAAUAUAUAGAGGGGGUGAGAUGGUGAUAAGGACCACAUGAUGAUAAUAAUAAUAAUAAUUAAAAAAUAAUAAUAUUUGUAUCGUAUUGUAUCCUACUCUAUUGUCUCAAUGAAAAUAUUAUUUAGAUAGAUUAUAUCGUCAUGUGAUAAACCUAUCAAAAAAGUAAGAUAUGAGUAGAGCUACUGUGAAAAAGUAGAAUAAAAGAUGAAAUAUGAUUAUUAAAUAAUAUAUAAAUACAAAAAUGAAAAAAUAAAUAUUAAGAUAACGAUGUUAAGUAACAACCAAAACAAAUAAAGUAUUGUAUUUAAACUAACGACACAAUAUAAUGUAGAAAAAUGACGAAUAUAUCCCGAACUAUCGUAAAUGGUAUGCAUAUAUCCUCCGUCAUAAUUUUGGGAUAUUGAUGCCCCUGCCAUCCAAAAAAUAGAGUGUAUAUGUCCUUCACUCUAACGGAAGACUAAAUAGGGACACAUGGCGCAAUCUUAUCCGUCGAUCCAAUAUUUAAUAAAUGUUGAUUGAUAGAUAAGAUUAUGACACGUGUAUGUCCGUUAGUAUAAAGGGUAUAUAUGAUCUAGUUUUUGGACGACAUGGAUACCAAUGUCCCAAAAAUAUGAUGAAUGAUAUCUGCAUACCAUUUACGAUAAUUCGGGAUAUAUUUAUCAUAUUUCCCUAUAUAAUGUAAUACAACGGAUAACAUUCUCCCCCAUUAAUAAGUAUUGAAAGUUGAGAGUAACACGUGGCAAUAAUUUAACGGUUUAUCCGAAUCUUCGGUGGAGCUGAGUCUGAUUUUUACGGGAAGUUUCAACCAACUCAUAUAGAAUAGAGGGGCAUACCAUUUUUUAUGUGGAUGGGCCUAUCCACUUACUCAAUUUCCAUUUAUUUUUUUUUAUAUUCAAUGUUGAUAUUAGGGGUGUACAAACCGAACCAUAAAGUCAAACCGAACCGAUGAACCAAGUCAAACCGAGAAAAAAAACCGACUUAUGGUUUGGUUUGAUUGGUUUGGCGUUGAAAAAAAAAAACCGACCAUUCUUGGUUUGGUUUGGUAUUAAUAAAAAAAAAGUCAAACCGAAUCCAACCCAAACCGACAUAAUACAUAUAUAAUUUUAACUUUUUAUACAUAAAAAUAUUUAUAUAAUCUAUUUUAUAAAUAUUUUAAAUUUAGUUUUAUUAAUUUUCAAUAUGUACAAAUUAGAUAUAUAUUCAGAUUUGAGCUUAUAACUUGUAAUUGGUGAAAUGAUCCAUCAAUUGGUGAAAUGAUCCAAGCCCAAUAUAAACCUAAAAGUUAAAACUCUAGAAACUAGUCAUAUUCUCAUUUCUCACUAUCCACUUUGCAAUCUUUCCACUUUCCCUAGAGCUGCUCAAUCUUCAUCUGCUCAUUCUUCUCAUUCAUCUGCUUGUCUAUAGAUAGUCAGGUAUGUUUUUCUUUUUCUUUUUCUUGCAAAUGUAAAUUUAUCAAUGAAGUUCGUCACUUACUUUUUCUUGCAAAUGAGUAACUUUAUUUUGAAUCGUUGUUGGCUGCUGCUACAAGUCUUAAUUUUUUGUGUUUUGCUUCCUUAGAUGGAGAAUACGGCUGGAACUGAUGUAGAAAUGAUAAUCGACAGUCCUCCGGUUGUAUCAAUACCUCAAAAGAAAGGUAAAAGCACUCCUCAUCUCCGCACUCCUCCUAAAAAGCAAAAAAGAACAACCCCAAUAGAUUCCAUUCCUACAGAUGGUAAUACUGGGAGAGAAACGUCACAAAUUUGGGAUCACUUUGCUAAAUUUAUUGCUAAAGGAGGUAAACGAAGAGCAAAAUGUAACUAUUGUGUAAAACACUUUGCUGCUGAGACAAAAACAAAUGGAACCUCUGUAUUGUGGUCACAUUUAAAUGACAAAUGUCUCAAAUCUCCCUUUAGAUUUGUUGAUAGAAGGCAAACAACUUUGAAAGCUGUACCAAUCAAAGUAGGGGGACAAGAAAAUGGAACAAGUUCUAUAGAAAAGGUUGUGUACAAUGUGGAGGAUAUCAGGAGGGCCAUCGCUGAAUUUGUCAUUAUUGAUGAACAACCAUUUAAAGUUGUUGAAGGGGAAGGUUUUAAAAAAUUGAUGGCCAAAGCUUUGCCUAAUUUUGAAUUACCUUCACGGGUAACUGUGGCUAGACAUUGUUUGAAGAUCUAUCAAGAAGAGAAAGAGAAGCUUAAAAAACUUGUCAAGAAUCAACACAUAUGUAUUACUAGUGAUACAUGGACAUCACUUCAAAAUUUGACUUAUAUGGUCGUGACUGCUCAUUGGAUUGAUGAUGAAUGGAACUUACAGAAAAAGAUUCUUAAUUUUUUCCAAACUCCGGAUCACAAGGGUGAGACUAUGACACUAACAUGAUGGGUGAAGUUGAUGAUAUAUUGCAUUCUCAAUGGGAGAAACAUUUAGAAGAUGAGGAAAACAUUGGAAAAAAAUCUGAGCUUGAUCAAUAUUUGAUGGAUAAUGUAGAGAAGCCAAAAGAUUUUAAUAUCUUGACUUGGUGGAAAGCUUCAUCGAAUAGAUAUCCAACUAUUUCAAAAAUGGCAAGGGAUGUUCUUUCUAUUCCCGUGUCCACUGUUGCAUCUGAAUCAGCCUUCAGUACAGGUGGUCGUAUUCUUGAUUCAUAUCGGAGCUCUUUAUCACCAAAGACAGUAGAAGCUCUUAUUUGCACUCAACAAUGGAUACGGUCACCUUCUAAAGAAUGGAAGGUUCAAAGAUUAUUUGGACGAAGUUCAAAAAAUUGAAGAAGUUGAAAAAGGUAAUUUACUAAUUUAAUUCUUAAUUCUCCAUCUUUGAUAUUAAUUUUCUACUUUGAAAACAACUUUAUGCUAGUUGCUAUCUAACAAAGUUGAGUUGACAAAUGACUCAAUAUCUAAUUACUCAUUUAUGUGCUAAUAAUUCUUUUCCUUACAGAAUGUCCAGGUGCUCCUUUGAGUAUCGAUUAGUUUAAUGAAGUAGCUUUUUGCAAAUCUUUUGAUAUAUAGGUAUUUCCUUUCCCUUUAUUGAAAUAGCGUUUUACAGUUCUUUAUUAUCUAACAAAGUUAAUUUUACAAGUCUAGUUACUCGUUCACGUGCUGAUAAUUUUCUUUCUUUCAGAAUGUAUGUCUAGGUGACCUUUUGAGUAUAUAUUAGUUUGGAUGAAGAAAAUAUGCAGCUGGAUCUUGGUAGUUGAAGAUUAUUGGAGUAGUUUUGCAAUUCUUUUGUUGGGUUUUUAAGAGAAUAUUUUACAAACAUUAUGUGAAGUUCUGUGUUUUUAAUUUUCAAUGUUAAAUAGACUUAUUUUUUAUAAGAUAUUUGCUCUUGUUGAUCAUGUGAGGAUCUUGAUAAUCAAAAUUUGUAGAAAUCAGAUUGAAAUGAAAUGGUUAUUGAGCAGUUGUCAGGUGGCGUUUCUCUUCGUAUCUUCUUCUAUCUCGAUGUGUUGUCUUCUGAUGUUAUAAAAUCCUCAUUCUCUAGUUGUUUGCUUUAGUUUUCUGUUAGGUUGAUGAUGUCUUAGCGUGAUGGGUAUUGUAACACAUAUCUGUCAAACAAAUAUGUAAGCAAUUCUUGUAGAAUAAAGGCAAUUCUUGUAGAUAAGUGUAAGCAAAUAUGUAAUCAAAGAGUUUAAGUAAUUAUGUAAUUAUGUAAUCAAAGAGUUGAUUACAUAUUUGAGUUGACCUAUUUGGUGAGGAAACUGAAGAGGAAAAGAAGGCUGCUGAAGAACGUGCUGCAGCAUUGAAGGCUUCAGGGAAGAAGAAAGAAUCUGGUUUGACAGAUGUGUGUUACAGAUGAAAUGAUUUUGUUUGACAAUAUUUGCUUGGUCUGUGUUGAAUUGGCCAGAAAGCAAAUAGUUGUCCAAAUGUAGAAUAAAGGCAAUUCUUGUACUAAAAACACCUCUAGCUUGUACAAAAUGAAGAUGGAUAGAUGAAUAUUGGCUUCUCCUAUUGUAAAACCUAAACACUCUUUAAAAAAACCGAUAAAACCGAAAGAACCGAAUAAAACCGAAAGAACCGAAUAAAACCGAAAGAACCGAAUAAAACCGAAAGAACCGAAUAAAACCGAAAGAACCGAAUAAAACCGAAAGAACCGAAUAAAACCGAAAGAACCGAAUAAAACCGAAAGAACCGAAUAAAACCGAAAGAACCGAAUAAAACCGAAAGAACCGAAUAAAACCGAAAGAACCGAAUAAAACCGAAAGAACCGAAUAAAACCGAAAGAACCGAAUAAAACCGAAAGAACCGAAUAAAACCGAAAGAACCGAAUAAAACCGAAAGAACCGAAUAAAACCGAAAGAACCGAAUAAAACCGAAAGAACCGAAUAAAACCGAAAGAACCGAAUAAAACCGAAAGAACCGAAUAAAACCGAAAGAACCGAAUAAAACCGAAAGAACCGAAUAAAACCGAAAGAACCGAAUAAAACCGAAAGAACCGAAUAAAACCGAAAGAACCGAAUAAAACCGAAAGAACCGAAUAAAACCGAAAGAACCGAAUAAAACCGAAAGAACCGAAUAAAACCGAAAGAACCGAAUAAAACCGAAAGAACCGAAUAAAACCGAAAGAACCGAAUAAAACCGAAAGAACCGAAUAAAACCGAAAGAACCGAAUAAAACCGAAAGAACCGAAUAAAACCGAAAGAACCGAAUAAAACCGAAAGAACCGAAUAAAACCGAAAGAACCGAAUAAAACCGAAAGAACCGAAUAAAACCGAAAGAACCGAAUAAAACCGAAAGAACCGAAUAAAACCGAAAGAACCGAAUAAAACCGAAAGAACCGAAUAAAACCGAAAGAACCGAAUAAAACCGAAAGAACCGAAUAAAACCGAAAGAACCGAAUAAAACCGAAAGAACCGAAUAAAACCGAAAGAACCGAAUAAAACCGAAAGAACCGAAUAAAACCGAAACCGAAAAAACCGAUUUAUAUUGGUUUGAUUUGGUUUAUAAACUUAAUAAACCGACAUAAUUGGUUUGGUUUUUUUUUGAUAAAAAACCAAACCAACCCGACCUAUGUACACCCCUAGUUGAUAUCUCCACUAUAUCUACUUUUUUUUCAUCUUAAAAUUAUUCUUAAAAAUAUAUACUUUUAUGAACUUUGUCAAAUAAGUAGAACUCGAUUUACGUAAAAUAUUAAUAAUGUCAUUAAAUAUUUAUUAAUAAAAUUAACUAAAAAGAAAAAUAUGACAUAUAAAUAUGAAAAAAGAAAGUAACAUUUUUAAUUUCUUCUUAUUGAGCUCUCACGACAUAAGUGAAUAAUAUUCUAGUGGUACUCUUUUUUUCGAAACUAAUUUCACGAGAUAUUUAUCACUUUUUACCAGUAAUAAGUAUCAAAUAACUCUAUUCACCAAAACUAAAAUAGAUGAGAAGAAAUCAGAUAGUAGUAUUUUUGUUUGUACUAAAAAAUUUGAACUUAGAACAUCAUAAUUCAUAGUUCCUCCUAAUUUGAUUGAAGUAUAUACUCCUUGUGUCUCAUACUAGUUAAUCAUCUUACUAAAAAUAGUUAUCUCAUAUUAGUUGAUCAUCUUACUAAAUCAAGAAAAUAUUAAUUAAAAUUUUCAUAUUAUACCCUUGCAAUUAAAUUUUUUUGAAAGUGUAUUUAUAUUUGUAAAAUUCCCGAGAAGUUUUUUAAGGAGUGAAUUAGUAAAAUUAUCUUCUUAUUUUAUGAUUUCUUAAUAUAUAUGUAAAAAGGAAAAAUGAUCAACUAGUAUGGAACGAAAGGCAUACAUUUUAUUUCUAAAAAACUUGGAAAUUUAAGUAUUGUAUUCAGGGGCGGAGCCAGCAUACGAACCUCCUUUGGCAGAAAAUAUUACUAUUUAUACAUUAAAAUUUUGUUAUGUAUAUAUAUCUAUUAGUAGAUGUCGAAAUCCUCUUUGAUUAGUUUAUGUAUUUACUUCUUCAAAUUUUGAACACCCUUAUUAAUAAUCCUAACUUCACCACUGACCGUAUUAAUACUGAAAUCUAAGUAAUUUAAUUUGCAUAUUUAGCUAAGAUAAUUGAAGUGAUCAAGUUUUGACUUUGUGGGCACUUGUCUUGUCGGACUUUUGUUUUGGGAAAGAGAUUACUCCUAAUUAACAUCAUUUUUUAUUUGUCAGACACGUAUUUGUUUGGACGCAAAUUGCAAUAACCAGCACGAGAAAAUAAUGAAUUCUAAGCAUAAAAUUUUAUUUACCGAUUCAAAAUUUAAAUUUUUUAUAUAAAUAAAAAAAUUAUACUCUAAUUAUUUGAAAAAUAUAUUUAAAUAAUUCAUCCUUUAUUUGCGAUUCAAAAGAUUGAAGCUCACUUUAAUAUUGACUCUCGAUAAACGAACAAGUAAAAACUAUCAGAAGACAUAGAAACUAAUUUCAUUAAGUUUUCUGAUUAGUCGGUGAAUGGAAUUAGUUUUAAAAUGGUCAAAGAAGCAAGUUAAUUAAAAAGGCCCACCUACCAUUACCAAGAGAUAACAUUAUUUUUUUCUGAAGAUAAAAAUUGACUUUAAUUAAGAUAAUAAUAAUAAUAAUUAGUACUAAUUAAUUAAACUUGGAUCAAUACUAACGUGAUUUGGUUCCAUCAUGCACAAGAACCAAUGUUGUACUAUGAACUUAAAAUAAUCAAAAUUAUUGGCACAAGUGGAUGGUAAAAUUAAAUAAAAAAUAAAAGAAUCACGUGAAAAAAGGAAAUGCUUAGUGAUUGAUUAACUGACAAACUUGUCUAAUUAAACUUAUUUAAUUAAGUUGAGUAGCAUUAGUUAGGUACUUAAUUGAAAUCUUUACAACACAACUAUGGAUGGUUAGCUGUGUUUCUUUCUCAAUUAUUUGACUAGAGAUAAUAAUGUUUAUUAUCUUGCUAGGGCCUCACUAAUUAAUUACUUAUGAAUUAAUCUGUAAUGCAAAGUACCUUUCAAUCCUAUAUGGAUACCUAAUACCCGCAAACUAUUGAAAUUUGGAUAGGAGUGAAUUUAUCCACCGCACAUUAUAUCAAAUGUUUUUCUUUUUCUGGCUUAGUUGGUAACUUGGUAUAUGAAUAAAUUUCGAAGAUUUUACUAUUAAGAGAUAAAGUGAAAUUGACGUGAUCAUUUUAUUCUUAAUCAGAUCUGAGAUAAAUGCGUAGAUAGCCACUUGGAAUAUCACUAUUCAAGAUAUAUCCAAAAAUAAAAUUAAAAAAAUGUUAUUUAGUCAUUUUUUAAUCAAUUUCAGAUUGAUCGAAUUAAAGUUGAAAAUCUAGGUAUGAAAUUAUAUAUUAUGCUAAAAUUCUUCUUUAAAUCAAGUAUGGGGUUAUAUAUUGGCAUAUUAUAGGUGACAAUUAAAUUAUAGCAUAAUAUGUUUGCUGGAAAUUGACUUAGAUAUUAAUUAUCUUUACUUUGAAAAGAUAGGUUAUUCUUUACAAUGAUGAAAGAUAUUUGGGCAUUAAUCAUUAAUAGCUACACAACAACUUCCCCACCUAAUUCAAGAUUAAAAAAUACUUAGAUUUUUGUUACCCUAACUACAAAAUUAUUCGAUAAUUACAUAUCAAAGAUUUGUAUAUAUGAUCUUUAUGGAUUUGACUACAACAAUAUAACUUCCAAUAAAAAAAUAAUGUUACUUUGAAUAUGACAAAUCGAUAUAAAAUUGUAUUCGACAUAUAUAUUAUAUAUAUACAAAUAGAUCUUUGAUAUAAUCACGCAAAUAGCAGAAUCUUUUUUGAAUGGGCUAAUUUUUUUAAAAGGAAGAAGCUCAAAUAUAUCAUCGAAUUUUGCUCAAAGGCUCAUAUAUGCCAUAAUUAGAAGUUUGUCUCAUCUACGUCAUUUGAGUUAACAAAUAAUGAUAUGGAUGAAUAUUUUCUCUAACAGAUAAGAAAUAGCAUAGAUGAAUCAAUUUUUUAACGAAUGACAUAGAUAAGUCUUUUCUCAAAGUUCGAUAACAUUUUUGAACCUUUUCCUUUUUUUAAUGGUAUGCUAGAUAAAUACAAUGCCUUUGUCAAAUGCUCCAUCUCUUAAUUUUGUGUGUGAAUAGUGAUAAGUGAAGGAAUCAGAAUAUUCAUUAAUGUAUGUAUAUUCUUUUCUUUUUAAUUAUUUUUUUAGUUAAUUGGAAACAAUAAAUACCUAAACAAAAGUUGAUGAUGGGGCUCACACUCAUCUGGAUAACUAGAGAUAGAGGUGUCUAUCUUGUCUCCAUUCUUUUGAAUGGACCCUACCACUUAAUUAUUAUACAGGAAAAAAUAUUUUAGCUUUUGAGAAACAAUUUUGAUAAGAUGAUUAUUAGGUAAGUAUCUUCAAACAGAAUAUAAAUGCUAUCCACACAUUUAUUAAAGGGAGUUAUAAAAUUUAAUUAGUACUCACUCCAUUUUAUAAUACUUGAUCCAAAUUAAUUUGAGACACUUCUUAAAAGAAAUAUUUUCUCCCUUUGAUUUUAGUUGUUUAUAUUUAAUUGGAUGCGUUUUUUGAUAAAUAGUAAAUAAAGUGAUAAUUUUAUUAUAUUAUUUAUGAUUGUUAUGUAAGUCAUAUUAGUGAAAAAUGAAUUAGAAAUAAUUAGUAUUUAAUAAUUUAUCUAUCUAUACUACCUUAAAAGUAUGAACUCUCAAACUUGAAUGUUGAAUUGCUAUAAUACCCCUAAUAAAAAACACUCAAUGUAUUUUAUUUAUUAAUUUAAUUAAUUUUACUAUAUUGAAAGUAGAUACAUUUUCAAAUUAAAGGAUUGUGACUUUUUCAAUGAGUUGUGAGUUUUCCAAAGGGUUGUGACUUUUUUUUACAGGUUAUAACUUUUUCAAUGAGUUGUGAUUUUUUCGAAGGGUUGUGAUUUUUUCGAAGGAUUGUGACUUUUCUAAAGGGUAAUGCCUUUUCUGAUGAGUUGUGCCUUUUUCAAAGGGUUGUUACUUUUCCGAUAAGCAGUGACUUUUUCGAAAGGUUAUGACUGUUUGGAUAAGACACAAUUAACACAUAUUCAUACUACUAUUUGGUAGCUAUAAAAAGAGGGGUUUCCUCACACUUUUAAACUACAAUUUUUUUAAGUUCUCUACUCUUCUUCUUCUUAAAAAAUCUCAAGUGUUAUUUGUAAAAAUUGUGAAUCAUUCAUCAAUUCACAGUCAUAUUUUUUCUUACCAUUUUCAUGAGUUAACAAUGACGAAAAGUUAUGUGAGAGACAAUAAUAUUAAACAUAUAUGAACAAAGGCAUAUGAUUUGGGUAAGAUAUUUCUUCUUUGUUUUUUUUUUUUAUUAUUCUUUUCCCUUAAACGAUGGAGUUUCUUCCUAAUUUUUCUAUAACAAUGGGUAUCAACGUAAUCCAUUGAAUUAUUAGUUUUGAUGUUAAAUUCACUAUUUCAAAAUAGAUUUUAACUUUUACUUAUAAUAUGAUAACAUAGCCAUGAUAAUAAUUAUUUUUAAUAGAUAUGUACGUAAAAAUGAACGGAUAAAGUAAAGUGUUGGUGGCAAGAGGUUUAAAUCAAAUGGAACACUAGAGUAAAUAUAGCAUGAACAUAUAUUUUCGUCUUCCUUCUUCAUUGGCUAUGUAUUGUUCCAUAUUUUUUUUAUGUCACAAGAUACACUCCUUACUAGCUAUAUAAAAAUAGAUAAGAAAACAGUGAUUGAUCAUAAAAUGAUCAUAAAUCAAAUUAAUGAUUCUAUAAAUAAUACUUUACAUUUUAUUCAUCUAUUAAUUUUUAUUAUUGAAAAAUUUAAUAAAGAUAAAAUAUUGAAAUACUUAUGGUAAUCCUUAUUAGUGUCAUGCGCAUACUAAAUUUCAAGUAUUAAUAUUUAAGACAAAAAUUUGUACUUAAACGGUGUACAUCAUUUAUGUUCAUAUCCUCAAGAGUAAAGGCUAUUUGUUACAUUUUUUGAAUGGAUAUUUUUUUUUCUAUUUUGUUGGUUAGAUUUGUUUACAAAAUUGAGUGAAGUAAGAAAUAAUAUUAUUUAAGAAAUGUCACUUUCUCCCAUAGUUAAACUUUGAAUGUAUUUUGAAAUGUUUUAAUAAUGUCUGGUCAUUUUGAUCUCAAAAUACAAGUAACUCUAUGACAAUAUGUAUUAAUAAUUUAAAAACACUUGUCCUAUGUUCGUUCAAUUAUAAUUAUUUACUAAAAAUCUUUAAUUUAAUAAUAUUAAUUCUAUCUUACAACGUCAUAUACUAUAUAUAUGAUACACACGUGCAACGCACGUGCCGUAAAACUAGUAAGAAUAAAAUAUAUGUAAGCUAACAUUUUUUAUUAUUAUUUAAAUUGAAUAAGUAAAAAUGAAAAUUAAUUUCUAAUAUGAAUAUAGUGGAUAAGUAAAAAUGGAUGAAGGAAGUAUUUAUUAGGGGUUUAUUUUAUUUAUCCAUUUUUAGUUGUUCACUACAAUAAGAUAGAUAACCGCUUUUAUUUCUUCAAUUUGAAAAUUAAGAGAUAUUUUAUUAUUUUUAUACCUAUUUUACCUUGUGUACUUUUCGUAUUCCAAUGCAUCAGUCAAAAUAUUGAUUUUAUAUAUUCAAAUAGUGAUUUAGUAAGCUUAUUAUUUUAUUAAUUACUUUUUAAGGCAUGUGCCAAAUUAAACAUGACCAAGUAAAAAUUAAAUAGAAAGUACACUUAACUAAUCUUAUUAAUUAUUUUCUCUGUUUCAUAUUACUUGACUCCUUUAUUAAAAUUAAGAUGUUUCAUUUUAAUUUUUUCCUUAUCAUCCGUAGUAUUAAAAAACUAGAUAAAGUAAUAGUAGUAAAAUAUAAAAUUUCAAAAUAUCAUUAGUAUGGUUAAUUGAGUAAAAUAUAUCCGUAUUAAAAAAUCCUUAAGAAGUCAUGUGCCAAAUAAUAUGAAACAAAGGAGGUAUGUUUUAAAAUUUUAAAUUUUACUGGUAGUAAUUUAAAACUCGUUAAUCCAGCUCAUUAUGUUUCUAAACUUCAUUAAACAACCAUUGUUUUCAGACAUAAUGCACUAUAAUUAUGGACUACUUUACAAUUAUCAUCAUCAGUUUCAAUAAAUAUUGCACUAUAUUGUGAUCUCGAGGUUAACAUUUUUUAUUUCUUCUCGAUGAAAAAUGAACUUAGAGAAUAUAAGUCCAUCCGUUUCUUUUUAUAUGUCAUCUUUAUUAUAAAUAAUUGAUCCAUAAUACUUGUCAUUUCAUAAAAUUAAUGCAUAAAUUAUAAUAUUCUUCCUAUUUUACCCUUGUGAGUUAUUAGCCUUGAAAAUAUAUAUUUAACAAACAUAGAAAAAUUAAGUGAAUAAUUCAUGUUCAUUGGUCAAAUUAUCAAAAUAAAUUAAUUUAUAUUUAUUGAUUGAAAAAUUAACUUCAUAAAAAGUUAAAUAAAGGUAGAAUAGUAAAAUUACAUAAUUUCUUAAUGCACGGCGAAAUAAAAAAUGGUGACAUAUAAAUAAAAACGGAUGGAGUAUAACUUUAUCAUUUGUGUGACCGAAAAUAAUAAAAAUAGGAAAAAGGUUCAAAAAAGUCCUUGCAGUUUGCAAAAUGGUCUAUUUUUGCCCUCUAUUUAGAGUUUGAGUCAAUUAUGCCAUUGUUAUUACAAAACACAAUUGUGAAUUGACAUUGUAUAUAUUGAUACUUAUUUUCUACUAGUUAUUUAUUUAAAAAAAAAUAGGGUCAAUUCAUUAGACAAGUCAUUAUGGUAAAGGCUUUUAGACCUUCAAAUUUUUGGGGCCUAUUUCUAUCAAUAGUUAUUAAAAGUAAAGCAAACGUGUGUAAAUUUCUUUUUCUUUAAAAAUAUAUUGAAUUAAGUUAGAAAAUAAUUCAUAGUCUCAUGUGCUUGAUAAACUACAUAUUCUAUUUUCCAAAUUAAAACACCGUCAAAUAAUUUUAAAUUUAGAUAUCAAAGUCUGUCGAAAUAGGAUUAUCCUUUAUCUUUGUUUUUAUGUAUACCUCACAAGCACACAUGUUUAACACCAAUAUAUAUAUGUGAUUUAAUUAUUUUUUUUACUAAUUAUUGACGUAAAAUGUAUAUGUAGUGCACACAACACAUGUAUAAGAUGCACAUGUGGGGAAAGACACUACUAAAAAAUUGUCAAAAAAACAACGGCCAAAAGCGACGGACUGCGUCGCUUUUUUGGUCAAAAUCGACGGAAAAGCGACGCAAUCACUUCCGUCACUUUUAGCUCGACGCUUUUCAAAAAGCGACGGACUGCGUCGCUAAAAAGAGACGGACAACGUCGUUUUUAAAAAAGCGACGGACUGCGUCACUUUUAGAGACGGACUGCGUCUCUUUUAGCGACGGACUGAGUCGCUUUUUUACUUUUUUUUUUUAAAAAGCGACGGACUGCGUUGCUUUAUUUUAAUUUUAAUUUUUUUUAAUUUAUAAAGGCCGACGCAGUCCGUCACUUUUCUGAAAAUUUAUUUUUUGAAAAUCUCAGAAAAGCGAUGGACUGCGUCGCUUUUAGAGACGGACUGAGUCUCUUUUAGCGACGGACUGAGUCGCUUUUUUACUCUUUUUUUUUUGAAUUUUUUUAAAAAAACGACGGACUGCGUCGCUUUAUUUUAAUUUCUAGGGCGAUGCAGUCCGUCGCUUUUUUGGAAAUUUAUUUUUUGAAAAUCCCAGAAAAGCGACGGAUAAAAGGACACUGUCCGUCGCUUUUCUGGAAAUUUAUUUUAAAACUUAAAAAGCGACGGACAAAACCACGCUGUCCGUCGCUUUUCUGAGUUUUAAAAAAUUAAAACCCAAAAAGCGACGGACUAAACCACGCUGUCCGUCGCUUUUCUGAGUUUUAAAAAAUUAAAACCCAAAAAGCGACGGACUAAACCACGCUGUCCGUCGCUUUUUCUGCAAUAUUUUUGAUAGCAGGAGCUCGCAGCUUCUGCUGCCCACCUGCAAAUGCAAUUCAAUUCAAUUCUACACUAUUCAGCCCAAUCAAACACACACAAUUAUAAACAAUCUAAACAAAACAUAAAACAACAAACUUAAAAUAACAUUCAAAAGUAUCUAAAUCAUAAAUUAAAGACUUAUAAAGUCUUUUAAAAUUCGUUUUAAAAUUUCAAAAAGUUCAUAAAUGUCCAGAGAUCUAAACUAGGAAGUUAGAUCUACAUAAUCAUCCUCAUCACUCUCGUCGUCGGUGUCAUCGGGAGCCGAAGUACUAGGUCGACGAGCGAGGUUCAUCACUUGUUCUUUGAUUUGCUGAACGGUCUCACUCAGGCUUUGUUGUUCAGCUACUCUUUUCCGCUCCGACUCUGCUAGUGCCGCUGUAAGUUUAGCUAUUUGAUCCGACAUAGCAGCAAUCUGAACACCGUCAAGUGCCUCAGCUUGACGUGACGAUCCAAUACCUUCUAAGCCUGACUGAAGGCGUCUAACAUCGUUGCGAGAGCCUAGACCAUAGCAUCUACCCUUGUGUGUCCCCCCUACCACUUUUUCUUUCCAAAUCUGAGUGGACAGUUCAGGUGUCAAUUGAACCAAACUAUCUAGAUUCUCAUCGACGAACUUAUGAAAGUCAUUCUGCAUAUUAAAUAUAAAUAUUGACAUCAAUAUAUAUACAUAUCAUAAAUAUAUUCACUAUUGAUAUAUAUUAUUCAUAUUANNNNNNNNNNNNNNNNNNNNNNNNNNNNNNNNNNNNNNNNNNNNNNNNNNNNNNNNNNNNNNNNNNNNNNNNNNNNNNNNNNNNNNNNNNNNNNNNNNNNNNNNNNNNNNNNNNNNNNNNNNNNNNNNNNNNNNNNNNNNNNNNNNNNNNNNNNNNNNNNNNNNNNNNNNNNNNNNNNNNNNNNNNNNNNNNNNNNNNCUCCCAAGUACACAUAGUCUGAAAAAAAUUGAAUAAUGUUAAUUAAAUCGAUAGUAAAAAAAAGUAAAGUAUACUAAACUUAACUAAAAAAUAUAUACCUUAAAGUUAUUAAACAUCGCCUGGCGUAUACUGUUUGGAAUCUUGCUCCAAGAGUGAUAAGCUUGUGUAUAGAGUCUUCUAACACACUCUUUUAAAGCCCGGGCAGCAUCCUUUGCAGGAUGCCACCUGCAAAACACAUAAUAAAUAUGUUAGUUCAUGAAUAAUAUAUUAAAGUAUAAGAAAUAAAUAAAAUAAACUAACAAAUAGAUAACAAAACAAACUUACGAUGAUCCAUCCGGCUCAAUCAUGACUAUACCAAGUCUGUCCUUCUGUCCUGGAGCUAGAGUAGACAUCGUAUCAUAUGGUGUAGCACUUGAUUUGUUAAACUACUCGAGGAAUAUAUAUAUAUAAUUAAUCAACGUAUUUCAUACUCCGAUGAAGUAUCAUUUACAUGUCAUCAUAAUUAGGAGGUGAUCACUACACUUGACAUCCAUUCAAGAUCGAACGUAUAUAAUAAUACUAUCUCGCAUUUCAUACUGGAAUGAAUUAUAUGUUAGCUCUUCACUUCUGCUACAUCACGACAUGAGAUAUUAAGUUUAUGAUUAGACGACGAACUGAUAGGAUUUGUACAUUACUCUAUAAAUAUAAGUAUAAUUAUCUCCUAAUUCAUAUCAACGUAGUUUCAUACUCUAAAUAUGGAUUAUAGAUAUUUUUUUAUUUAUUCCACGAAUUCUAACUUUUUAUUUAUAAAAGUAUACAAAAUUGUUACACUUUUUGAACAAUUAAUCGUAGGUGUAAAAUGAAAAUUUAAUAUUAUGCACAAUAGCAAAAUUAUGAUUAAUAGAAAUAUUUUAAACAUACCGACCUCCGGAUGUCGCUUUUAUUAAAAGUAAUUAGAUAUAAUAAAAAAUACCGACCUCAUGAGGUCGGUAUCACAUUAAAUUUUAAGAUAAAUAAAAAUUAAUCAUGUUAAUUAAAUAAUAUUGACAUCGGGAGGUCGGUAUUUUAUAUUAAAUUAUUUUUUAACUUAUAUAAAACCGUCAUUCGGUUUAUUUAAAGUUAAUUGAAAAUAUUAAUUUAUUACAUACUAUUUAAUUUUACCGACAUCUGAAAGUCGGUAUUAUAAUUUUUUUUGUUUUUUAUUUUACACAAAACCAUUCUCCGGAAGACGAUUUAAAUAAUUUAAAUCAAAAUAUUUCUCAAUUUUAUUUUUUAUAUGAUUAAACUUUAAAGUACUAAAAAGUGUUGGAGAAUUUAUUAAUUUCCUCAUUUCUCAUAUUGUGAUGGCUUUGGUACCUUAGACUUGAAGAAAACUCUUUUUUCUUUCUAAAGAAGUACAGUCGAAAUCAUGAAUUUUUAUAAUUAAAAAAAUUGUGUCAAAAGUUGGUGGGAAAGUCUAAAGACACAUGCCUAUUACAUUUCAAAGGAGGAAAGGUGAAGAAUAUAAAAGACAUAAAAUAAAACGAAAAGGAAUAUAUAUAUAUAUGGAGAGGCUCAACGGAAUUGGUGGCCUAAACUCAAAUUUUAAUUAGAGAUUUCAAGUGUAUAUUCAAUAAAAUUAGCUUCUGUGAGCAUCACGUAUCUCUCACUACUAAAAAACUGCUAAAAAACGAUAGAAGAAAAAGCGACGGACUAAGAGAUGCCGUCCGUCGCUUAUUUUAAAAACUAAUUAAUAAAAUAAAAUAAAUUAAAACGACGGACAGCGCAGUUAUUAUUUAAUUUAUAAAUAAUUAUUUUUAAUAAAAAGAGACGGACUAAGAGAUGCAGUCCGGCGCUUUUUGGUAAAAAAUUUUAAAAAUAAUUAUUUUAAUUAAAAAGCGACGGAUGGCAUCUCUUAGUCCGUCGCUUUUUCUUCUAUCGUUUUUUAGCAGUUUUUUAGUAGUGAGAGAUACGUGAUGCUCACAGAAGCUAAUUUUAUUGAAUAUACACUUGAAAUCUCUAAUUAAAAUUUGAGUUUAGGCCACCAAUUCCGUUGAGCCUCUCCAUAUAUAUAUAUAUUCCUUUUCGUUUUAUUUUAUGUCUUUUAUAUUCUUCACCUUUCCUCCUUUGAAAUGUAAUAGGCAUGUGUCUUUAGACUUUCCCACCAACUUUUGACACAAUUUUUUUAAUUAUAAAAAUUCAUGAUUUCGACUGUACUUCUUUAGAAAGAAAAAAGAGUUUUCUUCAAGUCUAAGGUACCAAAGCCAUCACAAUAUGAGAAAUGAGGAAAUUAAUAAAUUCUCCAACACUUUUUAGUACUUUAAAGUUUAAACACUAAAUAAAGUUUUAUUUUGACAUUUGGUAAAAUAUAUCAUUUCACCCCUAGUGGCUUUAUGCUUUUUCUCUCAACCAAGUGCAAUUUUUUUUCAUAAUACGUUGCAUGGUGCAUGCAACUUAAAAAAAAAUAAUAUUAAAGAAUAAGAAUUACUACAUGUAAAAUGUUAGUAAAAUAUUAUUUAUUGUCUUAUUGACCAUCUUAUUAGAAGUUCUAGAUCAACAAUCAACCAUUUUACUUAUACAAUAUUUCAUACAUCACAAUAUCUAUAAAUUUCAUCGUAUUUUCUCCUUUCUUAACUGAAAGCACUCAACACACGUCAACGAACACAUAUAUUAUAUAUAUUAUGUAUCUAGACACAUAAUAUAUGUUGCGCGUGUGCCCCCAUUUGAGAUCUAAAUUAGGUCAAGAAGAAGGGCCUCCAUUAUUUAUUGACAUUUUUUUUUUCUUUUUGUAAAGUUGGACCCUUAGGGUUGCAUGACAUUUAAAUAACAUAUCUUAUACCAAUCUUAUUAAAAGUUAUUAAAUUAGGCAACUUCUGCAGGACAUGUCAAAGGGAGAGGCAUUAUAUUGUCUCUUAUAACCCUCAAAUUACCAAAUUGAACAAUACAAGAACUAAAAGUUCAAUUAAAAAAUUAAAUCAUGUAUGUCGCUAAUUAAUACUCACCUGAUGGAUAUUUAUUGUUUUAUGGACCAGAUAUAUUCUCAUUUGCACUACAUUAUUUUAUGUUUAUAGCCAACAGAUUGAAUAUAUGUUCCAUGUUCAUAUAUACCUAGGCCCUAGACUUAAUUGAUAAGUCCAUAACUAGGGAUGUUAAUCAUUUAUUAGGGUGAAGAUUAAUUAGCCAAUCUUAUUUAAUUGGAGUUAAUUAGUUUAAUCUAGAUUCUAGACUAGGGAUAGGUUAUCACAGCUGUAUAGUUGUACAAGCACAUGAUAUCCACAUGAAAUUGUUGAUUAAAUUACCAUAUAUAUAUAUAUAUAUAUAUAUUCAGAGGCGAAUUGAAAGUUAAACAUUGGGAAUUCUAAAGAUUCCCUAGGGGAAAAAUAGAGAUGUCUCCUAUGUUACCCAUAAUAUGUGAAAGUAUCGACGUAAUUUCAUAGAGUUAUUCGGUCUGAAUGCUACAUGAAGAACAUAAGCCAGAUGACGGAACGGGAAGACCCAGGAUGGCUUUUUUACCCCAUUGUAGGGUGGAUCUCGAAAGAUAUGAAAGAUCUCCCUCCAAGCCGUACAUACGACUUUCAUCGGCUAUAUAUAUAUAAAGUAAAAUAGAAUGACGGGGCUUGAAAAAUAAUACUUCCCUCUGUCCCUUAUUACUUGUCCACUUUUGAAUUGACACACCUAUUACGAAAACAAUUAUUAACAUAGCGAGUUUACUAUUUUACCCCUAUUAAUUAUGAAGUGAAUGAAUUAAAAACUUAAGUUUUCAAGAAGUUCUACUUUUUUCAAAGUAAUUAAUUGAUGAUAUAAUAGGUAAAAAAAAUUGUCCUUUCUUGAUUUGUCAAAAUUGACAAGUAAUUAAGGACAACUAUAAAAAGAAAAGUGGACAAGUAAUUAGGAACAGAGGGAGUACUACAAAUUAUUGGAAAUAGAAGAAAUACUACUAAAAACAAUACAAAAAAUCAACGGACAAGAGCGGUCCAAAAAAGAAAAAUCUAGAAAUUGAUCUUGUCGGUUAAUUUUUUUUUUUUCAAAGAAGAUUGAUGGACGUUUAUUUUCUCGCACAAAAAUGCGUGAAAAUCAAAUUGAUUAGAAAGAGUUGUUCGGAUGGUAAGCAUUUCUCACCUUCAACACGAAAGUUGUGAGUUUGAGUCACCAAGGAAGCAAAACGGUGGAAAUGGAAGCCCCUGAGGUCGAUUCUAAAUAGAUAUAAAAUUGAGUAUAUACCGUCCGUCGGUUUUACGCCUAUAAAGCUUAAUUGACGAUACAAGAUUAUGUAGGCCACAAUUUGAAUUGACAUAAAAUGAUAAAUGUCACUAAAUUGCGACUCUGCUUCACUAGCUAGUCAAAGUAAUUAAGAAAGACAAGUUAGAUUAUGUGACCUAACAAUUAUAAAGCUGUCCACCCACAUUGGAUGGACAAUUAUGUGUUGGAAGCAUAUAUUAUAUACAUAAUAAAAUUGUCUAACCUAUAGUGGUAUAUUAUAAGCAAUUAUUCAACAGAAUAUUUUGCAGUAUAGUUUGAAGUCUCCAAAUUUUGCCCAUCAUUCAGAUAUAAGUGGAUUUACACGAUAAAGUUAUAGCUACUUGCAUUAUAUCAAUGAUUAGUGAAUAGUCAUGUCAUUUUUUUUCUUUUUUUUCAAAAUGAAUGAUUGACCCCAAGAAUCAGACAUGGGGUUAAUUACAUUUCUCUAAAGAAUAUUUUUAUUUUGGCAAUGGGAAAUAAUAAUAACAUAGUAUUCUCCUUUUAAUUUGGUUACUUAGACAUUGAAAAACUGAAUUAUGAAAUUGUGAGAUAGAAUUUUUGAAUUGAAUUAAUAUGUGCCAAAUUGAAUAAGCAUGAAUAAUGGAUCCAUGGAUGAAGAUAGAAAGUUGAAUUCUAAUUGUAACUAAAUUUUCAAUUUCUUAUUUGUAAAGAAGAAAGUGAAAUAAAAUAACUAUAUUAAAUAAUGAUUUUGAUUUACCAGAGAUAUCAACAUAUUGUUUUAGCUUGGUGGAAAACAAAAUCGUUUUCCUCAGGAUACUAUAAAUUAGAAAUAAUAGAGAACAAAAAUAAUUAGAAAGAUUUUUAAAAUGAUCAUCUACAAAGCCAUUCAUUUUUAUCUUUAUUCAUACCAAAAAAUGACAUAGAUGUUAUGAGUAGAUCCCCUUGCUCGUACUUAUUCCUAUUGAUAUUUUUUUAUGUAAAAUAAAAGACCGCUAGACACUGUCUAGUAGGCUUAAAAAAAACAAAAAAAACAUGAUGAAGUUGUUAUGAUUAAUUAAAAAAAAUCAAAAAUCAUAACAACAUCGGACCAAUUUGACAUAUUAUUUGAGAUCCUUGACAAUAUUUAAAGAUUUUCGUGUUGAACUUCUUUUUCUCGAAACGGUUGCUAAAUAUUUUUUCACCAGAUACAUUUAAAUUUAGGAAAAGACUCAAAUAUGUUAUUAAACUUUGGAAAAAAGUUCAUCUAUAUUAUUCGUUAAAAAAUUGUCUCAUUUAUGCCAUUUCGUUUGAAUAGUUGUGCAAAAUCAAAACUAUUUUCAAUUGAUAAAUAAUGACAUAAAUGAGUCUUUUCUCAAAUGAAAAUGAUACAGAUCGAUGAACCAAACCUAACGGAAAGCCAUAGAUGAACUUUAUCUCAAAAUUCGAUGACACAUUUAAACAUUUUCCAUAAAUUUUAAAAAAGAGAAACUGAAAAAACUUUCUCUAAUGCAGUUUGACAGGAGGUACACUAUUCUCGAGUUUUACAAUACUCGAUAGGAAUCGAAUUUCACUUUCCAAAUUCCGAUUCCCCAUUUUUUUUUCCGGUUUCUCAUUCAGUGUUGAUACUCACAUUAAUGAUUAUUAAAUUCGAAUUCGCCUCGAAAAAUCGAUAGUAGUGAUUAUUAAAUUUGAAUUUGCCUCGAAAAAUCGAGAGCCUAACACUAUCCCGAGACCUCUGCUCUAUCACAGUAUAGUAAUAUAUUCAAAAGAAAUUACAGAUAACUGGAAGGGAAAUUGAAAUUGAGGCAAUUGAAGGUUGCAACGUGUAAUUUGAACCAAUGGAAUAUGAAUUUCGACUGCAAUUUGAGGAACCUGUUAUGCUCACGUAAGUUUCUAUAUGUGCUAUGUUAAAUAUCAUUUCUUCGGGUCGUUUUUGUUCUUGGUUAGGAAGUGAAUUAUUCAGGUAUCAAAAUCAGCAUAAUUGGAAUCGUGUUUGAUAGCAUUUUAGUUGUUAUGUAUCAAAUUUUACACACCAAGCACGGUGUUUGGCUACCAGUUUACAAUCCCGCACAACUAAAACAUGUAUUUUAUGUAGGGCAGAAGAUGGAAUAACUAAACUCGACAUAACAUGCAUAACUUUAACAAAUAAUUGUGUGAAUAAUCCGGGUAAUCCUACUACUUUGCACAUAUGAAUAAAUGAAUAAUUGAUUCCACUAGUGUGAGCUUGCUCAAAUUGACAGUUUCAAGCUUGAAUAAAGGAGGAGAGGGUUGCAGUGGGCUGACAAGUGACAACUGGUGUAUAACUUGUCAAUUAACCGACCCCAACUCGUUUUGGACUGAGGCGUAGUAGUAAUUGUUGUUACUUUGCACAUAUGAAUGUUUGGUUUUGUUGUGGAGUAACAAGACCUAUUGAUAAUAUAAUAUGCUGAUUUUUCAUUUGAGAUGGAAAUCAGUUUGUUUUGCCUUGGCCACAACAAGUCAAUUAUAUUGGUGAUAUCAUCAAGGUUUCUCAUCAUUGAAAUACUACUUGAUGUUUAAAAAGAAAGACUCACUGAUAAGUUGGCAUCAGAAAAGAAGUAGAGAGACAGUAAAUUAUCAUUUGAGUUUUUCCCUCCUUUGUAAAGUUUCCAUUAACUUGCAGGUGGGAGAUUGGACUGAUGGCAUAUUAUGUUUAUGUAGCUUCAGUAUAUGUGCCUGUUAUCAGAUUCAGAACAUUACAACUGUCAAAUGUUGUGCCUAAACAGGAAAAUAGUCAUGAUAAGGCCAAAGUUGUGGCUAGCAAAUGAUGGCAACUACCGAGAAAUCCGAUGGUAAACAAAAAUAGCAUCUUCAAGGACUGCUAAAUGUGCAUAGUUUUGGUGAUCCUGUUUUUGCCUAAACCAAAAGCAAACCAAUUUUUAACAGGCUUUAAAGUUACAUAUCAAAACCAAACCAAGAGUGUAAAAGAAUUGUCUGUUUUGCUUUGUUGGUUCUAAAUUGGUGUAUUUGAGUUUAUCAAGUCUUCAUUGUAUUUUGCUUUAUCAUUGUAUAUCAAGUGAUAAUGGUUCUUACUUCCCCUUUGGUACUGUCUGGUGUAUUCAGCGUUUCUUAAUUAAGUUUGCUUAGUGAAUUGCUUUCUGUUUCCAGAUUAGAUACGAGGAGGAUAUAGCACUUGAACCUUUUGCUGGCUAUGGGAUUAUCUAAGAGUAAGUGGUGCAUCUGGAUUUUUGCUUCCAGUGUCUGGUGGUGCUGAUAGUUCCUUCCUUGUUGCUAUAGUUUUUCAAUGUGACAUCUUGUAGUAAAAGGUUUAUUGGAUUCUCUUCCCUUCUAAACAUCUAUAUUGUUGAGUUCUAGCUAUUUUCCUGUUUUUUUGUAGCUAGAGUAUGACAAUCACAUUGCUGUCAUGUAAAUAGGUUUCGUUGUAGUUAAUGAGAAGAAUGAAAUUGCAGUGAUUAUGUUCCCCUAUCCGUGUAGUCGCUUGAACCUUUGGUAGUUUCCUACAUGAACCAACAGCAUCCUUCAGUGAAAAAAUGAUAGAUAAUUACUGGUGCUGUUUGAUUACUCAAAUUAUUAACUGGAUUCGUAUUUGGUGAAUUGUUACCGAGAAAACAUGGUACGUGUGGAGGUCUGCUUUGUUAAAAUGUACUAGUUACUAAAGAAUGGUCUCACUUAUAUAAUUUUGGGAUUGAACUUCCCAUGGUGUAGUUAAACUGAAAAUGCUACAGCAUGGUCAAAUUUUGAGGGGAUCCUUGAUUUGUCACAUUAGUGGUCAGGUUUCCGCUACACAUCAGCUAAUUUUUCCGUCUGUAGUGUUCUAGAGCUGGCAAGCAUUUUUAUUAUCCUAUCCGUGCAUGUCCUGUAAUACAUGUACCCUGUCUUCAUUUACGCUAUUCUGACUGAUAAAUUGCAUUGAGCUGGUCAGAUUGUCUACCUUAUUGUUAAAGGUAAAAGUAAACAGCACUUAGCUUUGUUUUCUCUGUAGUUUACUCACCGGUGAUGUCAAUGCAGAAAUUGCAAAUGGCGAUGAACCGGUAAAAGCUGAUGACAUUUGAAUUGGCUAAUACACUGAUGGUUAGUUUUCAACGGGAAGCAAAGAAUUUGCUGAGCACGUUGUUUAUACUGUUUUUACUUUUUAUGGGAUCUGAAAAUAGGCAAUAAAAUCAGCAAAGUGCCACUAUUUUCUCCUUUAUCAGAUUUUCUAUUCUGAUUUAUAGGUGUUCUCUAAUUACAACUGUAGUAAUAAUUUACUACUUUAAAGUUGCUUUGCUCAUUUUCAAUUUGCAAAUGGCUUUUUUAUUGCCUUGCCUUGGGCAGCAUAUUUCUGGUCCAGAAUUGAGAGCCCUUUUAGUAAUCUUAAUACAUGUAGAAAAUUUGAACAUUGCAAAGAUGAGAAUUUGGUCAUCAUGAAAUCUCGGCUAGACCUGUUGUGCUACUGCCUGCUAAACCAGUGUUCUCAAAGGCGAUCGCCAUUGCACCUUUGGCGAGAGGCGAGGCGAGGCAAGGCUAGUCAGACCCUUGUCUCCGUUUGUCGCCUUUCGCCGUCCAAAACACUGUGCUAAACCAAAGCUGACAACCAACCUCAUGAAUUCUAGGAGUCAACCCUACUUAGAUUUUGUUCUUAAAUGACAUUCAUUCUCUAAUAUCAAGGACUCAUUAAAAUUCCGAGAAGUGAAUAUUCCCAUAGAGUUUAAUGACACCGUUGAUCUGAACUUUAAGGGUUUAAAUUUUGCAAGUUUUUUACUUUUACUGGCGGAUGAAAUUAGAAAGAGAAUGACAUCUCCAACUGUAAGCAGAUGAUCUACUAUAAGAUUUCAUGCCUUUUCUAUUGAUUCAUAUAUGUCACCUUCAGUGGAGAAGUCCUAAGGGUGUCCUCACUUCUGGAGAAUACCAACAGUGUUCUAUCAGAACUCUAUGUUUGAAAAUGAUUUAUUUGAAUUGAUUAUUGAGCCAAACAGUGUUGUUUAUGCGUGUGACGGUUCAGAAGCCACAAAAAACCGGGCAAAGGUGUUGUCUAAUGAGAUAGAUCCUGGCCUCUUUAAUUUUGGUCUCUUCACUACAUUUUAUAUUUCAAACACUUACUGGAAAGUCCACACUACAAGGUAAUAAUGUGAUAAAUUUUACCCUUAUCUAAUUAUUUGCUUUAUGGAGGAACUGAAACCUUUACCCUCAUAUUGUUUGGCCAACUAAUAGUUGGUUGGACUAAUAAGAACCAUUUCUGAAAUAAAGACCAAGUAAUUGCUUGUCAGUGCAAUUUUAACCUGAGUAUCUCUUUGUAGGUAGAUGGGGGGAUAAGACAUUGAACAUGUAUUAGUUAGUCCCGAGAUUAUUUAUCCCACCAUUUAUGAUAACUAAUCCCAUGGGAUCACUUUGUCCCAUCCCCGAUACCAAACAACCCCUUAGGGUAGCAAAACAUUCAAGCUUGCGUCUGAAUGGUUUUAGCGUUCAUGUUAGCAUCUCUACUACCGUGGCUUCAUAAUAAACCUGGUUUUUAUCUAGUUUUUGGUAGCUCCAAUGUGGAUGGAUGAAGGAUUAUGUGGUUACUUAACAAAGGUAGAAGAAUUUUUUGUUGAAUCGAGUCAACAGACGUGAUGAGAAUAUAAAGUGUAAAGUUAGUUAGCUGUGAACAGUAAAAGUUAGUUAGUUGUGAACAGUAGAGUUAGUUGACAUUCAGUUACAUUAGAGUCAAGUUGUUGAUUAGUUAAAUUCUGCCAUAGUUUGUUGAUUAGUGAUUUGUAUAUAUAGAUUCACAUUGUAAUACUUAUUUUCUUAAUUCACAUUCAAUGAAAAAUAUCUUUCCAUGUAUCUUCUCUCUCGAUUUCUUUCUCUCAUAUCAGUACAUUCUCCAUUAAUGGAGAUUGGGAGCUCACAGUGCUGAUUUUGUCAAGACGAUUUUUGGGCCACCUAGCUACUACUGUUUGAAUUUGUUUGCAGCUGGCUUGAACUCUCCUCAUAUUUUGAUCUUCUGUGCUUGUAGAGCAUGUUGAUAAACAGAUAACAGAUUGAAUUGUAUAUUAGUGCAUCUCUCUCUUUUUUUUCUAACACUUAUUCAGGUGAUAACUGUCUAUAUUUGCUGUAUGAUUGUAGUUCAGCAGAUAUAGAUAUCCAAUUGGAAGCAUCAGUAAGAUGGAUCUUCGAACAUUUCUGAAAUGGGUUGCCAUUCAUCUCGGUUACUCAUUCUCGACAAAGAUUGUAGCUGCACCACCUACUGCUGAAGUGGAACCUAUACGUUCAAAUUAUAGUCAGGUAUUGAUUCAGUGUACUGCCUAUUUUCAGUUUCUAAUGCCUUUUCUAGUCUUGCGUAUGAUCAUGUUUCCUGUUACUAGUAUUUUCUUAUCCUUCACUAAUAAAUCACUAUGGAGAGUUUUUAUUCUGCAUUACAAUAUUUGUGAAACAACUGGAUGAAAUGGAUAAGGGUAUGACCUAUGAUGAGCUUUCAGUGUAUGGAAGGUUGUGGAAGAUUUUUCGCUGGGGACCUGUCCGUAUCAAUGUUUAAGAUUUGUCCUCUCAUUCUGUAAGUCUAUGGAAGCAGACUUGCCGUAGGAUCAUUUCUUCCACAGGUUUCGUAGUCCUUGACAACUUACUGAAUCAUAUUGCAGAAUAUGUGUUACAAAUGGGCACAAAGUUGACGCGUGCAGAGGUGGCUGACAAAGUGAAGUACCUUCUUUAAGUACUAUUCCAUUCCAUCAAUAGACGGACAAGGGAGGCUUGCUCAAGUGGUUCGAGUCACUCUGGAGGGUAAGUAGAACACUGUUGAUCCUCCUUAAAAAGAGAGAGAGAUACAUACCCGUACUAAAUGCCUGCCUACUCGUUCCCAUAUCCAUGUACCUUAAAGCCAAGUAGUCAGAGCCAGUAUAAAGGAUUUAGACAGUGUAAUGCUAUUGUUCUGUGUUCCAUACUUUCAUUAGAGAAGCAUCAUCAUCAUUUACGCCUCAAUCCCAAGCAAGUUGAUGUCAACUAUGUAGGCAUUAGAAGUUCUUUAUAGUUUCUACAUAAGAUUGUUUAUCAGAUAAGGCAUAUAAAGUUUCUCGUCUUGCAGAGUUGUGUUAUUCACCCAAAGACAACAACAGGUUUGAUCUGCGGCAGCUUCUGUACAAAAUUAGCCAGCCUUAUCAACUUUGAAAGAUUGAUAAGCUUGCUGGUGAAUGGUGAUAGAGAAAUGGGUGUUGUGGCAACUGGCUUGGGCGAUUAAAGGGCUCGCGUUUCAUUCUAACUUUGAUGAUUUAGCUCAACGUGCAGCUGAAUAGGAGAAACUGGAUUUUAAAUGCUUUCCAAGAGAUCUUCAUUUUUACGCACAAGAGAUAUGAAAAUGUUACUUUUUUCUUCUGUUGCUCAUUUUGUAAGUGGCCAAAUUUGAUACAAAACAACUACUAACACAAGAUAGAAAAAUGAAUCAGUUAAACCAAAACUCUUUGACCAAUCACCUAAACCAAAGACCAACCAAGUAAUUUAUUUAACUUUUUAUACAUUAGCAGUUUUUUUUAAGCAUAUUUUUACCUAUUACAACAAGUUAUUUACUUUACCCAAUUAUGAAAGAAGCAAAAUAGUUGAAUUAAUGGUUAAAAAAUAGACUUUAACUAUUCAACGAUUCAUUGUUCUAUUUACCUAUUUAAACUAUCACUAUUAAUAUGCACCUUGACAUGGAGUUAGCCGAAUAUUUAUUCCCAAUUGACAAUUGCCGUAUGUUAGUUAAAUCAACUUAACAUCGAGUGAUAAUUGAAGUAUGAAACUCGCAAAAAAGUGAUAGUUUAAAAGUAUUUGUUUUACCAUUAAUUCAUAUUAGUUUGAUUCAAACUUGCAUUUUCUUUUUUAAAAUGAUUAUAUUAAAUACUUUUUUUUUUGUGAAUUGCGUUUAACAAAUUUUUUAGGCCGUUGCCGCUCUAGAUCCUCUUUUCCCUCCAUUUUUUCCUCAUGUACUGACAGUACCAGUGACAAUAAUGUACUUUAAUUCGUUUUCAGGGGCAUUUGAGUAAUUUACUAAAGCAAAACAAUUUCCUCCUGUUUUCUUAUUAAGCAAAAAAACCACCUUCGUAAAUUUUGUUCUUCACAUUUCGGUCUGGAAAACCUCAAACGACAGCUUUGUGCUUAGUUCAAGGAAACAGCAAUGGAUGCCGACGAGGUGACAAUUUUUUAUUUUUUUUGCAUGUUUUCAUUUUUAUGAUAAAUGUUAUUUUUAUUUUCUUAUAUUAUGUUGGAGUAUAACAGAACGAGUUUAGGAUUGAGGUUUGAGGAGUGGUAGUAUUAAUUAGUUGUAAAUUUAGUGAUAUAUUUUUUUGAUAAUUUUUGUAUGUGUUUGUUACUAUCUGUUGCUUCAUUUACUUUAAAUCUUAGUUUUUGCUGUCUUAUUUUCUAAUAAUCGUGUUCUCUACCUCACAAAGGUAGUGUGGUAAGGCACCCAAGGGUGUGUCGUAGUGGUCAAUCGAAGUGGUUGAGAAAUUUGAGGUCUCAGGUUCAAAACUAGCGGAGACUAAAACACUAGUUGAUUUUUUUCCCAAUUGUCCUAGCCUUGGUGGACAGAGUUACCUGAUACUUAUUCCUGGUGGUGGAGGUGGCACAAAAGUUGGCCCGGACACCACAGUCACAAAAAAAAAGAAGGUAGUGUGGUAAGGUCUAAGUUGGGGCGGUGGCAACUAUCCCGUGGAAUUAGUCGACGUGCAUGACAGUUGGUUCGAAUACCACGGUCAUAAAAAAAAUGUAGUGUGGUAAGGUCUAAGUUGGGGCGGUGACAGGUAUCCUGUGGAAUUAGUCCAAGCGCGUGAAAGUUGGUCCGAAUACAACGGUCAUAAAAAAAAGGGUAGUGUGGUAAAAUCUAAGUUGGGGCGGAACCAAGUAGGGCUGAAGGGGUUUAUUCGAAUUUAUACAUGGUUAAAACUAUUUUUUAUGUAUAGAUAGUAGAUAUUGAAAUCGCCUUCGAUUUCUUCUAUUCAUAGUUAGAAACUCAUUAAUGAAAAUUUCGGUUGUGCCACUUGAUCUAAUGCAGUGGUAAGGUGUACGCUCAUUUUAACCUCCCCAGGCUCCACUUGUGAGAUUGCACCGAGUAUGUUAUUCUUGUUGUUUCAUUUGUUAACAUUGUAACCUCCCUAGACUCCACUUGUGAGAUUGCACCGAGUAUAUUAUUGUUGUUGUUUCAUGUGUUAACGUCGUAACCUCCCCAGAAUCCACUUGUGUGAUUGCACUGUGUAUGUUAUCGUUGUUGUUUCAUUUGUUAACAUCGUAACCUCCCCAGACUCCACUAGUGAGAUUGCAAUGAGUAUAUUGGUGUUUUUGUUACAUUUGUUAAUGUUUUUUUUGGGUUACAGAGAUUAAUAGCUUUAGAAAAGGCGUAUACGGAUGUAGUCUUGAACACAGAGAAAGAAGCAGCGACGAGGAUUAUGGUGUCGGAACAGAAAGCUCAAUGUUUUCAAGAGGAGCUCCAAGUGGUGAAAGAAAAGGGGCUAAUGACGCUGAUGAAGCUCAAAGAGAUGAUGGAUUCUAAGGUGAACUCUAUUGAACACUAGGCAUUUGACCAUGAAAUUUUUUCACUAACAGCACUGGUGUUCUUUGCUCAAACCAAAAUUGACCAUGUUGCAAGUGUCUGCUGAUCUUAGUCCCACAAUCAAUUUGAAGCCAAAGCCAACUAUAUCUCACACUUUUCAAUACUACAACCAAUCCUCGGAAUAUUGACACUUAAGUUAUAAGCAUCAAAUAAUGAUUUUAAGCUAACACACACUCUGUGCUCUCCAACUAUCAAACAUAAUCUUAUCUUUAUUUCAAAAUUACGUUAGGAAAAUUUAACCUCUAUGAAUUUUUUCCUUUCCAUUUUGUUGUGAAGACCUGAAAACAAAGACGUCAUUGGCAUGCAGCCAAAAGAUAUGGACUGUAUGAGUGUCUCAUUUUCCUCCACAAGUGCACAUGUCCUCCAAUGCAACUCCCAUUUCCACUUGGUCAUCCCACUUUAGAGUUCUUAAGUACAUCUUGAAUAACUUCUUGCUACCAUUCUCUGAGCAAGACACUUUUAUCCUUUGUAGUUCUUGUUUGUCUACUAAAGCACAUCAACAUUCGUCUCACAAAUUCACUCUGAUAAGUUCUAAAUGGGGGCUUGUUCAAUUUAUCGCUUGAUAAUUUAUUUAUUUGAGAGGGAACCCAAAUCUUCAUACCUUUUGUAACUACCUUGUGAAGGUGUGCAACCAUUUUGGCAGCAUUUGAGCCUAAAACCUUUCUUGUCAACCUCAUUGAAACCUCUUGAACAAAAUAUGUCCCUAACUUCUCACCCUUAAAUCCUAUUCUAAGCAUUGGUUUGUUUGAAUAGCAAACAUAGGCCAAAAGCCUAAGUUGGGUGUGUGUCACGACCCAAAGUACACCCUAGACGUGACAUGGCAUAUAAGACCCCGUGAGGUUUAUUAUGGCAUCUUUAUUGAUUAAUACACAAGAGUAGGCUAUACUCGCUAUAACCCAAAGAUUAGGUCCAAGGCCGAGAAAAAUCUGAGAUGAACACAUGAGGUAGAUUUGGGUUCAUGCUUAUUUUUGGAGUAUAGUUUAAGUCAGGGCUAACAUAAGCAAGUUCGUUGAGAGGCAGUCUUCUGUCUUGUCAAAUAAUUUUGAAAGGGGGAGUAAUUAUUUAAAAGUGAGGUGAGUAGACGUUUUUAAAUAAGCAACAUGGUGACAUGCUAAGGACCAAAAAAGUUUCGAAGAUAGUCAGCUCUGAAUCUGAACUCUAUGAAUCCUACUUGGGUGAUUUGAUUGAUUCCUAAUUCUUCCUCACAUAAAAAUGUUCUUGCAGUUUCAAUAAUGUAACGAUGCUAAGGCAUAUAGAAUGGAGUAAAAAGAUGUUCAAAUUUUGGUAUCAAAAUGUUUUUCUACCUACGGAUGAAAUUUUUGAAAAAGCUAUUUGACUUCAUUUUUACCUUUUUAGUGUGUAGAGCGAAGUGUUUGUGUAUUGAUCAACAAAGAUGCAAUAAUACAUGUUUUUAUCAAGAGAUAGAACAAGACAAAUCACUUCAAAUAAUUUAAAGCGGUUUAGAGCUUUUCAGUGUCAAUUUAUAAAAUGGAUGUUAAUGAGCUUACAUGUGAGCUUGUGGAGGUGAAAUGGGCCACUCAUGCAGUCCACUUUUGUUCCAGCCGCAUGCCAACGAUGUCUGAGUUUUCAGAUUCUUCACAACAAAAUGAAAAGGAAAGCAUCCAACAGAUGUUAGAUUAUCCUGACAUAGUUUUGGAAACAGAUAUAAAAUAUAAUUUGAUUCUUGUAUGUCAGUAGAGCCAAUAUGUGAUAUGGAUUUGUUACCAUCGUGCACGUUGGCAUCCUUGUUGUCGUGAUACGAUUGUACGUUGUGCGGCUCCGUUGCGAUAUGAUGAGUGGCACCGGAGUCGAUUUACCAAGGAUUGGCAGUGGUAUUGAUUGGUAGACACUUGCAACAUCGCCAAUCUUGUUGCAUAGAAACAUUGAGUAAUGACAAUAGUGUUAUUGUUAUUCGAGGACUGAAAUAAUGGAUUUAUCAAAAAAUAAUAAGAUAAAACUGAGCCUUUUUUAUUUCUAUUUUUUAAUAAGGAGAGAUAAAUGCCAGUUCUUCCCAUUCUGAUUUUACAAAGCUUCUUUGAUUCUCAGUUACAAAAGAAACUUUUUUUAUUCCCGAUUCCCCUCUGGCCAAUUAUUUAGUAGAUGUAACUAAUUUUAACUUUUCUCCUUUCUUUAUAUAUCAUUCAUCUAGAAGACAUCUUGCAAACAUAUUCAUUGCCAGUAUCCACUAUUUAUAUUUUUUCCAUAUCUUAUUGACAGAUUAUUGAAGUAGAGUUGACAUCGUUGAGUCAACAGAGGAAGAUUGAAGAACUUGAAGCUCAACUUGAGGAAGCAGAAGAUAUUGUAAGUGAUCUCAGGGUUGAGUUGAGAGAAGUUCAAGCUGAACUUGAGAAAGUUGCCAGCAAAGAGAAAGAAGAAAAGCAAUCACUGGAUGUUGAUAGUACUGAUACUAGAGAACUAACAAAGGACAACACAGUUGUAUUGCCUCCAGAAUCUCAGGAUGAUUCAGUGACAACUUCUAACAUGGAAGUUGACAGUAUGAACCAGAAAACUGAGGGCUACCAUUCUUGUCAUACAAAGGUUAACCCUGGAAACUGUUCUGUUGCUAGUUCGGAUUUAAGUUUGACAGGCAAAGCUCUAGAGUUAUACCAAAAUGGACAUACACAGAUAAUUCAUGCUGCUGAAGGAAACCUGUCAGAUAGGGAAAUCAUUCAAAAUGAAACAUUUUCUGAACAUUCUUUGAAGUUGGAAAACAUGCCAACCAAUAAUUUCUUGACAGAUGAUUCAACUGUAGCAAGAGGCAAUGCUCCAAGUGAAGAUCCUUCUGAGAUGGUCCAAAGAUUGUCCACAGGAAAAGGUGAACAAGGCAUAGAGAUGGGAUAUGCAGAAAGUUCUGAUAAUAAACCGCAGUCUUUUGAGGCUUCUGGUGUUCAUUAUGCAAUAGAUGAGCCUGAGGAGUUGAUGGGGAAGAUGGAUCUUUCAGAAGAAGAUAUUGAAAAUGUUUGCAAUCAGUUGUUCUUUAUAAAAGAUCUUUGCAGUCAACUGUUAAAGUCAGAGUCAAGGGUGACUGAUGUAAACAAUCGGGUCCCUAGCCAACCUCUAAAUGAUAGAGUGUUUAAGUACACAUACCAAAGAAAGAGGAAAAGAGAAUUGUUGAGUGUAUCUGAUGAGAAAGCUUCAAUUGCAAAGAGCUCUCAAACAAAAAAAAAGUGUGAAACUAGACAGUCUUUUUGAGACACAGGAUGAGUUCAGUGACAGAAUCAUCUCAGGACAGUUGGCAAAUGGCAUUAGGUUGCUCAACAGGUUGGUUAUUUGCUUAUUUAUUCCCUUUGAUUAGUUGAUAAUUAUGUUGUAUACCUAUCUCUGUUUAUAUACUAAUUUAACUGGUAUACCUUCAAUUUGAUAUAUGUAGCAAGUGUUCCCUCACAUGAAUGUGACGAUAUGUAUAAUUUUUGGUAUGAGAAGGCAGGCUGGUAGAGCUCGUCCAAUUGUUAUAAUGUGCUUUUUUCCCAUCCAAAAUGAAACAAGAGAAAGGAGAGGUGUCAAAUUUGAUGUCUUUUUGGUUAUCUAAAAGUUUUAAUACAUAGAAAACUUGGAAGUUCUGUCUAUUUUUAGAUCUUUGUGGGGAAUUUGCCAGGAGUUCUGAGAAUAUGUUGCAACUCCAUUAAGGUUAUCUGCUUUCUGGACUUACUGACUGCCUUCCACAAUUUCAUCAGUUCCUAGCAUUUACAAAGUUUAUACUAAGGAGGCAUCGUUCUAGUGGGAAAGGCCAAACCUUCUACUCUUAAAAAGGACUAUGUUUAUAGUUUAGUCGACCAAAUUCGGAACUUGUUUAUUUUGAGGACUUUAUGUCAAGUGAAGUUUCACUAGAAGAACUUUUGGAUAAUAUUGUAGAAGUUUUUUGUGUUUGACCAUCUUUCCGAAGUAUCUUUUUGCAUUGAACUACACAAAAUGACAUGUAAAGAUUCACUUUAUAAUUAAUAUGUUUUGAAUAGGUAAAUUGAUUUGAUAUAUGCAUUAUGAGACUCUAGUUAUUCAACUUCUUUGCAUUAAAAUACAAAAGAUAAGUUCACAAAAUAGAGAGAGGGAGCAUGUUUAUGAGACUUUGGUCAUAGAUGGGUUGUUAACAAUGCAUGACAUUAGUUUUCAUCCAUAUGCUAAGGGUACUUUGUCUUCAAAAAACAAAAAACAGCUUAUGGUACUACUCAUAAGGAGAAACUAUUUUUCAGUUUCUUUGCCAAAACAGAAAAAUAAGCACACACUUUUAGUUUCUGAAUAGUUUGGUUGAACACGCUAGUAAGCUUCUUCAUAGAAAGAUGUUAUGGAAGUUGGAAUAUUCCAUCAGGAUAAAUUUUUCGAGAAAGAACAUUUAGGAAUAAUGAAUUUAUCAACUCUUAUGUUGGUUUAAUGCUCAGUACUGUUAAGUAAUGUUAUCAUAUUGCCCUAUUUUUGUUGGUGUGCUGCAAAUUUUGAUGACUGUUAAGAUGUUAACUAGUUUAAGGUUUCUGAAAAUAUGUUGUUUGUCUCUUGGUUGCUCAUAUCUUCCCUGUUUGUUCUCUGCAGCUAAUGUGUCUGUCUAAGAAGUGCUAGUGAAAUUGUGUGUGCCAUGUCUUCUGUGCUAUAAAAUAAGGAAUGUCUUCUGUCAGCUAUCUCUGAGAUCCAUCAUGUCAUUUAGGAUGGAGGUUUACGAGUGAGAUGCACGAUCCAAUUGAUUGUUUACAUGUCCAGCAGGGGCCGUAUCUAGCCUUAAUGCACCAGAUAACUUUUUCCCAGAUCAUGUAUUUGUAUCGAUAAAUCCACUAAUUAGUGAACCUAGUUUUUGUUGUAUAUUAACUUGAGAUCACUGUAGGAACUUGUGACUUUGUUAUCCAGUAGGUUAACUAUUAUUAUUGUUUUGUUUGGAUUUGGAUGCUAACCUUGUAUAUUAUGUAGCUUUCAAACUUAAUGAUGUUCAUCUUUCCUCUUUGAUCAUCCUUUUAGGAGAACAUUUGCGUAACUGGUAAAGUUAUUUUCAUGUGAUCAGGAAAUCAUGGGUUUGAGUUGUGGAAACAGCUUCUUGCAUAAAUGCAAACUCUGUGUACAACAAAUCCUUUUAGUCCGUCCCUUUCUUGGACCUGUGCAUAGCGAGGGCUUAAUGCACUGAUCUGUCCUUUUAGUCAUUCUUUUACAUAUUUAAUUGUGAAAUGUAUCUAUUGAUUAAGAAUGGGACUUUCAAAGAUAACUGAUGGAAUACUUCUGUUGAUAAAGAAUCACAUUUUUGGUAGUUUAUUGUGGAAUGCCUUUGCUGAUUCCUAUAUUCACAGUAUUGAUAGUUUAUCUCUUCUGAUGGUAUUAUGUCUUUGAAAUAACCUUUCACUAACAUAAUUUUAUAACUAAAAGACUUGUAACUAAAAGAUUGUGUUAGAGAGGUAAGUACGUCGCCAUUUUUUUUAUCAAGGGUUUCCUAUCGGAGACUUAAAAAUGGAAUCUUCUUUGGAAGAGAAUACAAAUUCAAAUUGGUUGAGCUCCAAAGUGAGUAUUGAAUAUUAGGCGACAAACUAAAAAAUUAAGAGUAAUCAAAUUUUAUCCAUAGUGAUAAAAGAUAUUAAGCACAAUAGCCUGAUUUAUUUUUAUUAAUAAAAGAAAAAUUAAAUGGUCAAAAGCUAACACAUUUAAACUAUUAUCUUUUCACAAGUUUUAUUUCUUACUAUCCAUUGUUUUAUUUAUCUAUUAAAUUAUCACUUCCUCUUAUAUUAGAACACACAUCAAUGUUGAGUUGAUGUUAAGUGAAAAAAUAUUUGUCCAACUACGCAUCUAUUUUAAUACAAAAAAAAAUAAUAGUUUAAUCUAGUAAAUGGAACCAUGACAAUUGAGGUAAACUCGCAAAAAAAAAAAAUUAUUUAGAUGUAUUUUUAACCAUUAAUUUUAAAAGAAAAUAAAAAGUGGUAGUCAUAAACCCCUUCCAAGUUGGAAAUAAGAGGGCUUUUUUUGGGGCUUUGCAAUAUUGAAGUCAUCUUCUCCAUUUCAAUCCCAACAACUAAACGUUCGAAGGCAAACGCCGGAAAAUGGGAGCAGCAAGCAAGGCAGGGGACUUGAUAUUUAAGGCCUUCGUCGGAGGGCUCGGUGUCACCACCAUUUAUCUGACGGCGACAUUCUCCGUCAACGUCUACCGUGGUCUCUCUUGGCAUAAAGCCCAAUCGGUAACCUCCACAAUCUCUUAUAAGCAGUUAGUGUAUGAUUGCUAGUUGUUUUUCUGUUUGAUGGAAAACCUAAUUGUGGGAUUUCUAGCUGUGAUGCCCUUUACCUUUGAAAUGAGAAUUUUUAUGGGUUUUGUGUAUUUUAUUUGCGAAGAUAUCUCGAUCCAUUUUUAGUAUCUCCAUUUGAUCUUCCGUCAUGCUUAUUUGAUUUCGUUCGUUUAUCUGUUACAUGGAUUAUUCAUUUGCCUUUAACUUGCUCAGGUUGAACGUGUGAUAUAUGGGUUUGGUUGGGUUGUUGAAAAUAUGCUUAAACUUAGUGAAGAAUUAGACUUGAGUGUAGCUGAUACUUUGCCCGAAUUACCUACUUUAACACACUCAUUCAUUCCGAUAUAAUCUGUUUGUCUUACUUUCAGUUUUAGUCUGUUUCAAAAAGAAAAUCUAUUUCCUUUUUUGCAACUCUUUAGUUCUAACUUCCCAAACUUUGUGCCAAGUCAAAACUAGAUAAACAAAUUGAAAUGGAGUGAGUAGCUCCUAGUAUGUCAUGAAGAAUGUCUUCUAGUACUAAUUUGAAAGAUUAACGAUCAUUUUCUUUCUCUUGUAGCAAUUGUUUGUCUAUUGCUUUUUGUAUAUUUGCUCCUUUGUAUUGACGCAAUACAUCAAUGAGGAUUGUUCAGCUCAAGAGUAGUGCCUCAUGUUCUGCUGGCUACUGGCCUCUACUUGAAAACCAUGCUGUUCAGUGUGCCAGACAGUCAAGUAGGACCGAAGUUCCAGCUGUCACUUAGGCGUUGGAAGAGCCUGUACCUUUCCCCUAAAUCUUAUCCAUAUGAUUUAGCUCUAAUAUUUUUGUGUGCUUACACAACAAGUUCUAAUUUAAUAUUUAGUUUGUGUUAACCGUGGUAGAUUUAUUUGAGAUAAACAUCAGUCAAUUGGUGACUUUUGUCAAAAAUUAAUAUGAAGAAAUACCUGUCGUUGUGUCUUUUUAAUCAUCAAAUUGCUGGAUGUGGACUUUUAAUGAGGUGUUUAGUUACUUAAGGGUAGGAGAAGGGUAAAGGAAGGAGAAAUUCAUUAGUUUAUGUCCCUCCCUCCCAUUAUUUGGAAUAAGUCGAAGGGAUAAAGAGAUAUUUUGUCCAUUUAGUCCUUAAAGAGGCUAAAAGAGCGGACUUGGAUAGGUAUCUAGCAGAACCUUUCACUUGUACUCCUAUCUCCUACCCUUCUGCUCUCUUUAAACAGACUGUAAAUGAAUUGACUUUUCCAAAGUGGAAAAGAAUGUGAUAAAAAAUGAAACUUUUCUGCUGCCAGAGAUCACUGAUCAGUGGAACUCUUUGCUGACCUAUUUCAGAGUUCAUCUAACAUGCAAGGUGGAUGGCUAUGUUGCUUGGACCCUCCAAAAAUGUUGCCACACCUAUAUAGGAUUCUUCAAUAAUGCUCUGCUUUUGGAGGAUCCGACAUGCACUUGUCGACAUUUUUAAAGAGUCCAAGCAACAUAGGUGGAUGGUUAUUUUGGUUUUCUUGGAGUCUUUUCAAAUGGGUAUAAUGAUUUUAGUUAUCAAACUACCAAGUACUGGUGCGCAAAAACUGAGCAACUCAAGCGCUUUCAUUUCUUGAGCACUAAUGAUGUAUUCAAGUGCAAUUGUUUCUAGUGAUCUAAUGAGUUCCUGAAAGAUGUGUUUGAGCAUGGGGCUUCUGAUUGAGAACAUACUUGAAGAGUUGUUUUGUUCUAAGUUGGCUACUUCACUCAUUGUGUAUGUGCAACUGCUUUAAGGCUGAUGUGUGUAAUGAGUCAAGUUAGCAGCUAGACCAUCCUUCAUGUUUUGUGCUUGCUAGCGUGCUAUAUUUGCUAAUUGGUAUGAAAUUUGGAACACUAUGUCCUUCUAGUUUCAGGCACCUGGCUAUGCAUCACAUAUGUUCCCUAGUCCCUGCACAUUUUGUGCGCUUUUUGUUAGUGAUCUUCUGUACAUAUUCUGCCUUUGGCCUAUUGAAUGCUGACAGUGCACCGUUUCUCCUAGAUCAUCUUUGCUGAAUCUGAAUGUUACGUAUCAUAUGGUUCGUUAAUUAAAUUGUUAGUUCUACAAGAACGCUUUCUGAUAUAUGACCUUUUUCUUCCUGCAAAUGUAGAAAAAUGAGAAAGAUGGAUCUGUAGUUCAGCAGGAAGAAUGACCCGUCUUCAAGUCCUACCCUUGGUCAUCGUGUUGCUAGCUGAGGUCCUGCCAGAAAUUUCGGAGUAUAUCUGAAUCUUGUCGCAUUAUGUAACGACUCUUUCACAGUUUUUCCAUAGGAUACUUAAAACACAGCAGCACUUCAUAAUCUUCUCCAUCCAACAAUCAAAUUGGAUGGACGGUAUGUCAUGUUUAUUCAUUUUCCAUUGCUAUAUUGUUGCUGAAAUUCUCCACAACGAUAUUCGGAGUCCCACAGUUGUAUGAUUUACCUUCAUUAUUAAUUCUAUUUACAAGUAACAUACAUAGAUAGCAUGGCAAUGGAUUUUCCUUUUGAUUAUGCAACCACCCAUAAAAGGCAAGUUCAUUUUGUGGUACUAAAGAUAUCACAACACAUCAUAUGUCAUACAAUAACCAAAAGAUGAAAAAUAAUGUAGAAAAUAGUAAAUUAGGUAAUUUCCUUUUAUCAUAUCUUACAUGCCCAUUUUGUAUUGUUUCCCAUAUGGUUCUUUUGGUGCAAUUCUAAAGGAAACUUGUAUCCAUAAGCAAAAAAGCAAGGCUAACUGCUUUUCCAUUGAUAGAGAAAUGCCCAUUGCGUAUAUAUACUCAAAUGUGGAAUUAGUUACUUGUGUGGUAAAACAUCACAUUUGAAUAUUAAUUUAUUUUUUCUAAAUAACUUUACAUAUUUAACUAAUAAAUUGAAUUAGUAUACAUAAUUUUGUUUUAGUUAAAAAUAGUACUAGUACAUUGUAAGCAGUUUAGAGAAGUUGUAGUUAGAGAAUAAUUUUGAUUAACCAAAUAAUGAGGACACAAUAGAGUAACAUCUUAUUUGUUCAUGUCAAUGUUUCUCUUGUCAUGACAUUGUCCGGAUAUCGAGAGUCAAUUUUUUAAAAUUAAAUUUGGACAUAUAAUCUUUAAGUUUUAUUUUUAUUUUUUGUGAUAAGGGAAAUUUGCAGUUGCUAUCCUUCUUGUGCAUACAGGUAAAACCCUUGCUCCUAUGCAAUAGCUCGCAAACCACACAAGAGAGCUAACCUGAACUAGGCAAAUCCAGUGUAACGAGCUCGACCUAAAAAAUGAACAAACCUCUUGCUUUUGCUGGCAAGGGGUUUCGAACUUGAGACCUCCAAUAUGGAAGUCCCAAGACCGUGAAUAGUAAUUUACAUAUUUAGAAACUACAUAAAAAUACUAUAAGUCACACAAAUUAUAAAUUUAAAACACAUGAAUAAAUCGCAAUCAAAGAUUUUCUCGUUUGAUUUUCAAAAUCUGAAUAAUGUCAUACAAACUAGGAUGGACAGGAUAAUUUUUUUUUUAUUGAAUGUCCUUUUUGAGAUUAUGUACAUUUCAACAAUAAUAACAUAUUCAAUAUAAUCUCAUUAAUAAAAUAUGGUUAAGAUAUGAUAUUAAUGAGGAAUUAAAAGACUAUUUUCGAUAAAAUCUUGUUCCGAGACUUUAACAAAACAGGGUUGCGGUAUAGAUUUGGUAACAACCAAGGGCAAUUUCGGUACACUAUAUUUUAUAUAUAGUAAAGUAAAGAACUUUUCUAAUAUUGAAAAAGCCAAGCGUUACACAAAGCAAAUUUCCGUUAUCUUCUCUCUCUAAACCUAUCCACCUAAAUUCUUCAGAUAUAUUUCUCUGAUCAAUUUUUAGGGUUUUUCCCAAAUUUUUGAUUUACCGAUUCCACUCAGCUAACAAUAAUGGUUUCCGAUUCAAUUGUCAACGUUUCAAUCCCUGUUGCUUCCUCUAAUCCCAGAGAUUUUGGCAAGAAAAAAAGGGUAACAAUUUGUUAAAUUUGUUGUUUUUUUUGUUCUAUUUACUUUUACAUGUUGAUAAAAUUUAAGCUUUUAUGGAUAUUUUUUACCUAAUUUGAUUGUGCUAUGUAUUUCUGAUAUUUGCUGUGAAUUUCAGGCUAAUCGGGCGGCUAAGUUGAAGCAGUGCAAGCUUGAUGCUCGACGUGAACAGUGGCUCUCACAAGGUUGUUAAAGUUUCUCCUUUUUUAGCAUAUCUUUCAUGUAUUUUAGUAUUUAGUAAUCUACCCUUUUUGGUUGGGCUAAAAUUCAUUUCUUUGGAAUUUGGACUUGAAUAUAUACAAUUACCAAGUUUUUUUAAUAAAUAUUUUGUCAUAUUAGUUCUAGUCAGGGGUAUUUCACACCCAUUGAGUUAAAAUUUUGGCUGAAGUCAUAUGCCAACACUUGGGGCGAAGUUUCACUUAGACAGUUUAAACAGCUGAAGUAGGGUUUGCCUGUGCUAUUUUGAUAAUUUUUGCAUCUGCUUAUAAAAAUCUCAGGCGUGUGUGCAAAAACGUUUCUUAUGUGGAUUAAUUGGUCAUUUAAGUUACUGUAACUGUCUAGAUCAUGUUAUUCACACGCCACACCCAAAAUAAAUAAAUAAAUAAAGAGAAAAUGUAGGCCAAAACACAUAGCAAAGAGACCAAUGAAUCAAUGACAUGUGGCCUUUUUGCCCAAAUCUACGAGGUAAGAAAUCCUAAUUUUACGGAGAACAUAUGUCUUCUUCUAACCUAUAUAUGUCAUACCAAUUGUUGUGAUUCUAAAGUCAUAACAAUUCUACAAGAACAAGAACAAAAAAAUUUCCGCAGUUCUUGGCCUAUAUAUACAUGCUGUAUUCAUCUAUCUCAUUGUGGCGCCUUGCAUAUAUUAUGAUUUAGAGUAUGACUAUGUUCAAAAAUUUAAUGUCCAUAGUAAAAUAGUGUCAGUUGGUGGAAUAUUACUCCAACCUGUUAAAGUUAAUUGGUUUGUGUUGCUUGAAUGGAGACAUCCGGAAAAGACGUGUCUGGAAAGUUCCUUUUUUUAUCAUGUAAAAAUAGAUUUCACACUAGACAAAAUAGUCAUUUAAGUAUCUUUUUAUAUUUAGGACAUUCCGAAUUAACUAAAAUUUUGAAUAUUAAAAUAUUGUCCUAAAUUAAAGUGAAAACACGUUUAUUAAGCAGACCUCCCAACCCCAUCCAAAUUGUCUUCUCCGCGGCCAUACCCCUCCUUUUUCAUUGUCUUUUCCGCCACCCCCCACCCCCCACCCCCAUUUGAUUGUCUUCUUUGCCGCCCUCUGCAUCCUCCCAUUUCUUUGUCCUCCACAAAAAGCAAGAAAGUUCACCACAAACACCACUCGUCCAUUGCUCCAAUGGAAGAGCGGAAUUGCUCCAAUGGAAGAGCGGAACUCAAUGUUUCAAUAUUUUGCCAGCGAUAGAUCUUAAAGAAUGUCAAUUUUCUGCAUGUUUAUUACUCCAUUACACAGAAAAAGCUGCAAUAACAUGUCCAAGAUAAACAUCAUGAUUUUUAUUACAUGGAAUGGUGGUAGAUGGAUUUGCUGAAACAAUUUUUAGAAGCUCCUUGACUUUUUAAAAAGUAAAUUGGAUGUCAACGACAAAAUAAAGCAAAUCACUAUUUCACAAAUCCUAGAAUAAAUUUGAGUCGGAAAAUUUGACCUCCAUUAAAGGAGUUUAAGCUUGGGGAAAUGGUGGGAGGUAGUGACUGGAAAAAUAGAAUAAAAUUUGCCAAAUAAACCCCUUAAAUGCGCUACAAAUGAGUGUAUUAACUCAUUAUGCCAUGCCAGCAACAAGUGUCUUAUUGAUACGAAAUUCAGGUAUUGUUAGUGUGUAGUAGGUACACAAUCUACUUCAGGUGUCUAAGUGAAACUUCGUGUCAACUUUAGUUGUUUGCGUAUGACUACAGCCUAAAAUCUUUGAAGGUAAAAAAAAGUAUGUGCAUUUGGUGUUUGAAUUAAUUAAUCUCAAGAUUGGUACUUUUCUGUGUUUCUGUGAUUAGUUAUGUUGCUUUCCUAUAUUUAUGUGCCUAAUUCUUGGUGGUUGGGGCUUGUGUAGGGAAGAAUAAAAGCUCCAAGCAGGAACUUAAUGGUGGGGGUGGGGCUUGUGAGCAGGGGAUGCAGGUUACUAAUGAAAAGGGCCAAUUGAUGGAGAAGUUAGCUAUAAAGCCGAGAGGAAAAGCAGAGGAAAAUGGGGGUUACACGAACACCUACAGUGAUUUUGAUUCACCUUCUAAUAGCCCCACCAGCCACACUAGUAGUGUGUUGGAAGGAAAUUAUUCUGGGACCAAUUUCACUGGUGGCAGCAGCAGUAGCAGCAGCAGUAGCAGUGGUGGUUUUAGUAGCAGUGGUGGGUGUUGCUCAGUAAGUAUGAGUGAGGAAGAUAACGAAGGGGACGAUGACUGCUUGGAUGAUUGGGAAGCUGUUGCUGAUGCUUUAGCUGCCACUGAUAAGGAGCAGGAGCAGCAUAACUCUAGCUUGGAUUCAGCUCCAGAGGUGCAUAUGAGUUUUCAACAAGAAGUUUCUGACGGGAAGGUACCAGUGAUGGAUACAUCACAGCAGAAUCCCAAGGGCAGAGGAACUAUACCUGGAUUUCCUGUCAGCUUUCAGGCGUGGAGGCCCGAUGAUGAAUUCCGUCCCCAAAGUCUUCCAAAUUUGUCAAAACAGUAUACUUUCCCUAUGAAUUCGGGGCGGCAUUACCGGGGAGGCUCUGUCUGGGGAUGUAAAAGUGCAGCAAUACCCACAUCAUGUCCUAUAUGCUGUGAGGAUUUGGAUUUUACAGAUACAAGUUUUCUCCCUUGUCCUUGCGGGUUUAGGCUUUGUCUCUUUUGUCACAAGAAGAUUCUUGAGGAGGAUGGGCGUUGUCCAGCUUGCAGGAAGCAGUAUAAACAUGACACGGUUGGAGGAGAGACAACCAAAGAUGCAGGCGGCCUGAUGUUUCAAGUGGCUCGUUCCGGUAGCAUGAUCUCAAGGUCAUAGGAAGAUUCUGUUUUUCUAUAAAUGUGUAUGUUGUGUCCUCUUUCUCUGUGUGGCUUGACUUUGUCUUUGUUAGACUCCAAUUUUUCUUAGCAUUAGAUGUUGAUAUAGGAUCGAGAUUCUGAAAGCACAGGGGAACUGUUAUAGUUCUCUUAUAAUUUUUCUCAUUAUAGAUAUGAUGCUUGUGCUAAUGUAGAAGACUCCUUAUGUGAAUAGAUAAGGUGGAUAAAGGUUAGAUAGAUUGAAUUUGAUGGUAUAAAUGUCCUAGUCUCUUUGAGCACUUCGUCACCUUCUAUCAGAUUUCCAUGAAUAAAAAUGAGAGAACAAUGGGGCAUCAAUCUUUGCAUGAAUAUCUUUCUUUUUGAAUAUUUUUGCUGCUCUUCAUCUUGACUUUUUGCUAUGAAUCUGAUAAAAUAUACAGCAUAUAUAUAUAUAUACACACACAUACACCUCAAACUUAGCAGUUAACUGGUCUAUUGCUCUCACUUUUCUCUUCAAUUCAGUUUGGGAUCGAACCACAAAAUGCAUCCUUACCACAUUGUGGGCUUUUAGUUCGGCAGAUAUGUACUGAUAAGUUUACUGCCACCAGAUAUGUAUCAAUGCUCUGCCUCAAGGUAAUAAAGAAGUGAAUUUUGGGGAUAGAUAUUUAGAUUCUCUUGCGAAAUGCUAAGUUCUUGCGCUUUGGGAGUCACUUUUAAAGUGUAGGGAUUUAUGAAGUGAAGUAGUCUUGUUGAGAUUAGACUGUUCAGCUGUAUAUUUGACGUUCUUAUUUUUUGUUAUCUUUGUUGUAUUACCUAACAGUUCUAUAUUCAAAUUGUGCACUCAUUGUGUGCUCACUGGACAUGUGGAUUAGAUCAUUCUUGGGGGGUGUUCAUUUGGAAGUAUCUCGAAAAAUGUUCUAUUCCUUGAGCUUCUUAUAAGCUGGUAAAAAUAUCAAGUCCUUCAAUAUGGUUAGUUUUGUUGAAAGCUAACAUUUAUGUGGACUUUUUCUAAGCUUUAUAUAGUCUACUUACUGGAUCUUGACAAGAUUAUGUUAGUGUGACAAUUGAUUUUGGAGAAACAGCAGCAAUUAUGUGGUGUUGCUUCCUUUUUCCUGGUACAAGUUGAUUCCUUUUCCAUGGAACAGAAGACAUUGUGCUACAGCUAAUAUUCUCCUUGCUGUUCUUGAAGUUCAAUUCCUUUAGAGCCUCUGGUUUGUUUCAGGGAUAAACACAUGAGAUCUUUGCAUGAUUCCCAUGGCUGAUAGAUAAAAGUUUGGUUCUGUAUGAUUUAUUAUACAUUAUUAUGAUGUUCACGAGUUUCGUGAGGUUAUCUUUUCCAAAUUUUUGUAUGGACUUGGCUGUCAGUGAGUCCCAAGUAUGGCUUGGAUAGAGGAAAGAAAAUCUCAUACAACGCGAAGGUGCAGUUGAAACCUUUUGCUGUCACUAUGCUGUCUAGGUAUCUUCCUAUUAGAAGUUGUAAAAUUGAAGUUUUGCUAGCUUCGUUACUUAAAGGUUCUUAAAACAUAAACAAGUGGGAAAUUCUCGGUGUACAUGGAAAAAUUGUGAGUUUGUUGUAUCCCAACCUUAAAUACUUGAAUGUUGCUAUUCUUGCUGCUAAUUUACCAUACAAGUAAAGCAGUUCUCAGGAAAAUUGAAACAUCAUCAAUUAUCUGAGCUACAUACAUCUGGUUACUCUCAUUGAAGUAAUGUGGAGCUGCUAGUCUAUCUUUUUAUUAUUAUUAUCUUAAGCAAAUACCAUCUGGCUGCUAUUAUUAGGGGCAUUGGAAUAUACGUGGUGGAAUGUUAUAGGUGUCUGUAAGUUGGCUCGGAUACCAUCUUUAUCAAGAUAUUAAGGCGCAAGGCGCUAAGGAGUUAUUUUCUCUGAUACCCAAGAUGUCUGUUUGUGCUGAGGAGGGAGUGUUUUCCACCAUUUGGUAUAGGUAGAUUCAGGGAAGAAAACAUCAUCGCCAAGAAGGCUACUCUGGAUCCAGAUAUUCGCAGCUGUUUCUAAACUCAGAACCCUGUCUUGCACUUGUGCAAAUAGCUUGUUUCUUAGUUCCUCCACUUCGGCCCAGAAACAAGACUCGGAACGUGCACCAGCUUGCACUUUAUCAAAAUGCUCUAACCAUCUCUGUGUGAACCGAUAACGCUUAGGCCUAGCCCUGAUCAAGUAAGGUCCAGUAUCUUCAUUCUUCAAGUGCCUGUAAUAGUUUGCAAUAUCCAAGGGCUCAACUUGCCUGCGAAACUGUGUCCCUAGUUCUAUCCAGUCUCUUCGUCCCUCAAAGCUAUCUGGGAGCUCAUACCUUUUCAACAUUUCAAUGAUCUCAUCCCAUAUACCUGCUAGCUCAAGCCUUUUCACAUUAGCUUUGAAGUCAUCUUCGGUGUUUUGAAUCUUGAAUGCAUCAUAAUACCCAACUUUACGGAUAUCACACUUGGUCUGGUACUCCUGUAUCUUGCUUAAUGCGUCCCUGAUGCUGCUCUUAUUUUGUUCAAUCUUUUCCUCGUUCUUCUUCUUCUGCUUCUCCCACUCUCCUGCUGCACGAAGACACAGCCUUGCUCUUGUGCUCUGAGAUUUAGAUAAUGUGAAAACGCCUAUUAGCUUGAGCAAGAUAGACAAUUCUGUUGAAAAUGAAAAAUUAACCAUAUCUAUUGCUUACCAGGCCAAGGUCAUUCAGUGCUGAAUUCAUACUUGCAACUUCACCCCUUAGAUCAACAUUUGAAGAUAAAGGAAUAUCAGUGAGAUUGUUGAGAUGAACAACAUCUUGCAUCUCUAAGCUAUCUUGCAUUUCGUUUUUAUAUAACAGAUGAUCAUUUAAGCUUCUAGCACCGACUACUGCAGCUUCUGCUUCGGAACUCAGUUGAGAGGAAUAGAACAGUAACUGCAGAACAGCAUCAGGGUUCUCAACGACAACCAGUUUCCUAUUCCCAGUGCAGAAGAUGUAAGUUCCAAAGGGUCUAUAAGGGCUGAGUUGAACAAUGUUGGAAACAGUUUCCAACAGCAAGUUUGUGCAUCCCUUCAGAUUACAUGCAGCAUAGCUUGCAACAGAGGAUGCAUUCCUCAUUACAGUCAUAAAGAAAUUCAAUGCAUUACUUGAUCGUGCAACAGCAUCGCGCUGAGAAUACUGGGACUUCGGAUUGAUGAAGGGAGAGAUUGCUUGAAGCAAUUCUUGAAUUGAUGAAAGAGGAGCAAGCAUCAUCCUGGGGACAAUGUCGUACUUCAUGACAAAAUGUAUGAAGUAACGAGCCCAGUUUUCGCGCCUGAGGGCAUGAGACCAUAUCUUGUUGCCAACAAGAGGGGAUCCAAAAGUCAUACAGUAUAGAUGGACUAACAUGUCACCUUCUGGUCUUGUGCGGCAACAUUCCAGACACCAGAGAGCUGCCAGAAUAGCUAUAGCACCACCGGACGAGUGCCCUGCAAACACUACUUGUCUUCCUUUUGACAUUGCCGUCUCCACCUAAAACCAACACAACUCCAUGAAUCAAUAUUCACUUUCCAAAUCAAAGAUGAAGGUAUGAAGCUUAAUUUCCAUUAACCUAGUCUACACUCUACAGAGGCAUUAUCAUGAUAGAAUCUAUGAUAGGAAUCAGUACUCUAUUUAAACUUGGAACAUAUUGCUGACAUGAUAACUAAUACUCCCUUCUUUGCAACUUAAGUGUCUUACUAUCUUUUUUGGUCUGUUCCAAAAAAGAGUCUCUUUUUAUAUCUUGUAAGUUUUCCAAUCCCAACACUCUACAAGGAGUUUAAGACCAAAAGAUUUAUAGGACUACACACAUAUUUAAAAGUCUCCCUUUAUUUCUUAAACCCCAUGUCUAGUCAAACUAUGACACUAAAAUUAGGACGGAGGGAAUAAAUAAACCACUAGACGGAAUCAAGUUGAUCAAACUGAACUAUCAGGAGUAGAACUUCCAAUGCUCUUAAAAAAAAUUGAAUCAAAAUGAAAAAAUUCUUUGUCUAAAGACUUGCACAGAAUUUGAUUCUUUAACUGGUGUACACUCAAGAUGUAAAAAACAUUUAUCUAUAGGUUAUACUAAUAUUAAACACUACAAUUUUUUCGUGUCAAGUCAAAAUCAAGACAAACAAAUUGAAACAAAAGGAGUUUUAAGAAAGAACAAGAUGAUUGAACCCCAGUAUGUAUACCUCCUUUUUAAGUGAAGAUUUGUCCAGUAUGUCUUGAAAUCUUCUAGCAAAUGCUUCAUUGACCUUAGCUACCUCAUCAGUGCCAACACUUCUCAAAGAUGGAAACAGAGUGGUGUUAAUCUCUGUCUCUCCAAAAGAAGUGUUACUGUACCAACCAUCAAAAGACAAAGUUCCAGCAAAAGCAAAAACAACAUCAGUAGACCGAUCUAUUUUCUUGUAAAUAUAAGGUAUCCCAGGUGAUAAUUUGUGAGCUUCCAUGGCUAAGUUACAAGCUUUCUUGAUUAGCUCUUCUCUGACUUCAAAUUCCUUCUUCCAAAUUUUUCACCAUUUUUUGCUUCUUAGCUGCUUAAAGAUUGCAACUUUACUGUUUAGUUUUCAAAAAUCUUUGAAGAAAGAUUGAGGAUGGAGAGAUGGAAUGAAGGUAAAGGGGAAAUGGGUAUUUAAGCUUUUGGUGAUUGGAUGAAAUGUAGAGGAAAUGAGUCAUUGACUUUUGAAGUCUUUGUUUUGCUUUGCUUGACUCUUGCCUGUGGAAAUUGAAUAGGAAGAUAAAUAGUAUCUAUCAAGGAAAUUUCCUACUAAUUGUUCUGCAAAAUGGUUAAUGUACGGACUCUUCAAAAAUGUUAUUUUUAUAGAAAUGAUUACUGUGGAAGGAUUUGAUAUGCACUCGCUUUUUAUUUGUCGUGAAUUCCCCUUUAUGUCUUCCAUAAGAACAAGAGGGAUGGGCUCUCCGCCAACACUUUUCAUAUACUUGUCGACAUUUUUAAAAGUUUGAACGACAUUGUAUAUUUUACUUUUAUUUUUGUUCUAGCUUGUUUCAAAAAAAUAUAUCAUAUUUCUAUUUUACUUUUUAAAAUAGUACUCCCUCCGUUUCACAAAGAAUGACCUUCUUUCCUUUUUAGUCAGUUUCAAAAAAAUGACCUCUUUCCUUUUUUGGUAACAUUUUACUUUUUGCUUUCCACGUGACAUGUUUAAGACCACAAGAUUAAGGACAAUUUUGUACAUUUAACAUAACUUUAAUUUAGGACCACAAGAUUCAAAAAUCUUCUUUAAUUUCUUAAACUUCAUGCCAAGUCAAACCAGACCAAUCUUUUUGAAACGGAGGGAGUACUUUAAUAUAAGCUAAUAUGUAAUGUUUAAGAAUACAAAUACUUUUAUUUUGUUAUGCACGUAUUUAAUUUAAGAGAACAAAAUUAAAAGAAUCUUUUUCUUUAUAUUCUACUCCCUCUGUCCCAUUUUAUGUGAGAUAGUUUGACUCGGCACGAAGUUUAAGAAAGAAAUGAAGACUUCUAAAAUUUGUGGUCCAAAAUGAAUGAUAGAAAUUUGUGUGGUUGAAGAAAGAUUGAGGAUGGAGAGAUGGAAUGAAGGUAAAGGGGAAAUGGGUAUUUAAGCUUUUGGUGAUUGGAUGAAAUGUAGAGGAAAUGAGUCUUUCAUAAGAGCAAGAGGGGUGGGCUCUCUACUAACACUUUUCAUAUAUUUGUCGACAUUUUUGAAAAGUCAUUUAAAAUGAAAUAGUAUAUUUUACUUUUAUUUUUGUUCUAGUUUGUUUCAAAAAAAUAUAUCAUAUUUCUAUUUUACUUUUAAUAAUAGUACUUUAAUAUAAGAUAAUAUGAUAUGUUUAAGAAUAUAGGUAUUUUUAUUUUGUUACACACGUAUUUAAUUUAAGAUAACAAAAUUAGAAGAAUUUUUUUCUUUAUAUUCUAAUUUUUAUGCACAUUACACAUCAAAUGCGACCGACACAUGGAAAGUGAAAAGGGGGGAGCAUAUUGGUGCUAUUAUAUUCUUUCUCUUGAUUAUAUAUUUUGAAAAGUUGGUACUUUCUUUGUUUUUUCUUUAAAAAAAUUUAUAAGAAAUAAAGGUUGGGAAGUUAGACAAGGCAACUCGUUUUGAAGAAAAAUAAAAUUUUGGGAAUGACAAUCAAAAUAUCUCGUGUUCACCUUGGAUCCAAAGAAGGGCCUAACCCGAGAUACAAAUAGAAUAGAAAAGCUACUUUGUUAUUGUCUCUAUUUGAUUAAGGUUUAUUAAAACUGUUUAGUGAUUAACGAGCAAAACAAACAAUUCUAAUAGACUAGAGUUUAGUUUUGCACAUUAUUAAAACUGCUUUAUGGACAAACUCCCUUUCACUAGUUCCUUGAAGGUGACUUGUAAAAAGCCCAUGGUUCAGCAGAAGUAUACUCUGUCACCUGCUUAAUGUUCAAGAAACUUUCAAGACCCCUGCAUCAAUGCACAAACGAUUAUCACUUAUCAGUCCGAUCAGAUCAGAUCAGAGGUAUCAAGUUUGUGCAUUGAAAAAUGAUACAUAGCUACUUAUCUGGCUGCUCUUAUUAGGGGCAUUGGAAUAUACGUGGUGGAAUGUUAUAGGUGUCUGUAAGUUGGCUCGGAUACCAUCUUUAUCAAGAUAUUAAGGCGCAAGGCGCUAAGGAGUUAUUUUCCUUGAUACCCAAGAUGUCUGUUUGUGCUGAGUAGGGAGUGUUUUCCACCAUUUGGUAUAGGUAGAUUCAGGGAAGAAAACAUCAUCGCCAAGAAGGCUACUCUGGAUCCAGCCAUUUGCAGCUGUUUCUAAACUCAGAAUCUUGUCUUGCACUUGUGCAAAUGGCUUGUUUCUUAGUUCCUCCACUUCUGCCCAGAAACAAGACUCGGAACGUGCACCAGCAUGCACUUUAUCAAAAUGCUCUAACCAUCUCUGUGUGAACCGAUAACGCUUAGGCCUACCCCUGAUCAAGUAAGGUCCACUAUCUUCAUUCUUCAAGUGCCUGUAAUAGUUUGCAAUAUCUAAGGGCUCAACUUGCCUGCGAAACUGUGUCCCUAGUUCUAUCCAGUCUUUUUGUCCCUCGAAGCUAUCUGGGAGCUCAUACCUUUUCAACAUUUCAAUGAUCUCAUUCCAUAUACCUGCUAGCUCAUGCCUUUUCACAUUAGCAUUGAAGUCAUCAUCAGUGUUUUGAAUCUUGAAUGCAUCAUAAUACCCAACUUUAUGGAUAUCACACUUGGUCUGGUACUCCUGUAUCUUGCUUAAUGCGUCCCUGAUGCUUCUCUUAUUUUGUUCAAUCUUUUCCUCGUUCUUCUUCUUCUGCUUCUCCCACUCUCCUGCUGCACGAAGACACAGCCUUGCUCUUGUGCUCUGAGAUUUAGAUAACGUGAAAACGCCUAUUAGCUUGAGCAAGAUAGACAAUUCUGUUGAAAAUGAAAAUUAACCAUAUCUAUUGCUUACCAGGCCAAGGUCAUUCAGUGCUGAAUUCAUACUUGCAACUUCAUCGCUUGGAUCAACAUUUGAAGAUAAAGGAAUAUCAGUAAGAUUGUUGAGAUGAAUGACAUCUUGCAUCUCUAAGCUAUCUUGCAUUUCGUUUGUAUACAACAGGUGAUCGUUUAAACUUCUAGCAACGACUACUACAGCUUCUGCUUCGGAACUCAAUUGAGAGGAAUAGAACAGUAACUGCAGAACAGCAUCAGGGUUCUCAACGACAACCAGUUUCCUAUUCCCAGUGCAGAAGAUGUAAGUUCCAAAGGGUAUAUAAGGGCUGAGUUGAACAAUGUUGGAAACAGUUUCCAAGAGCAAGUUUGUGCAUCCCUUCAGAUUACAUGCAGCAUAGCUUGCAACAGAGGAUGCAUUCCUCAUUACAGUCAUAAAGAAAUUCAAUGCAUUACUUGAUCGUGCAACAGCAUCGCGCUGAGAAUACUGGGACUUCGGAUUGAUGAAGGGAGAGAUUGCUUGAAGCAAUUCUUGAAUUGAUGAAAGAGGAGCAAGCAUCAUCCUGGGGACAAUGUCGUACUUCAUGACAAAAUGUAUGAAGUAACGAGCCCAGUUUUCGCGCCUGAGGGCAUGAGACCAUAUCUUGUUGCCAACAAGAGGGGAUCCAAAAGUCAUACAGUAUAGAUGGACUAACAUGUCACCUUCUGGUCUUGUGCGGCAACAUUCCAGACACCAGAGAGCUGCCAGAAUAGCUAUAGCACCACCGGACGAGUGCCCUGCAAACACUACUUGUCUUCCUUUUGACAUUGCCUUCUCCACCUAAAACCAACACAACUCCAUGAAUCAACAUUCACUUUCCAAAUCAAAGAUGAAGGUAUGAAGCUUAAUUUCCAUUAACCUAGUCUACACUCUACAGAGGCAUUAUCAUGAUAGAAUCUAUGAUAGGAAUCAGUACUCUAUUUAGACUUGGAACAUAUUGCUGACAUGAUAACUAAUACUCCCUUCUUUGCAAUUUAAGUGUCUUACUAUCUUUUUUGGUCUGUUCCAAAAAAGAGUCUCUUUUUAUAUCUUGUAAGUUUUCCAAUCCCAACACUCUACAAGGAGUUAAAGACCAAAAGAUUUAUAGGACUACACACAUAUUUAAAAGUCUCCCUUUAUUUCUUAAACCCCGUGUCUAGUCAAACUAUGACACUAAAAUUGGGACGGAGGGAAUAAAUAAACCACUAGACGGAAUCAAGUUGAUCAAACUGAACUAUCAGGAAUAGAACUUCCAAUGCUCUUGAAAAAAAAUUGAAUCAAAAAGAAAAAAUUCUUUGUCUAAAGACUUGCACAGAAUUUGAUUCUUCAACUGGUGUACACUCAAGUUGUAAAAAACAUUUAUCUAUAGGUUAUACUAAUAUUAAACACUACAGUUUUUUCGUGUCAAGUCAAAAUCAAGACAAACAAAUUGAAACGAAAGGAGUUUUAAGAAAGAACAAGAUGAUUGAACCCCAGUAUGUAUACCUCAUUUUUAAGUGAAGAUUUGUCCAGUAUGUCUUGAAAUCUUCUAGCAAAUGCUUCAUUGACCUUAGCUACCUCAUCAGUGCCAACACUUCUCAAAGAUGGAAACAGAGUGGUGUUAAUCUCUGUCUCUCCAAAAGAAGUGUUACUGUACCAACCAUCAAAAGACAAAGUUCCAGCAAAAGCAAUAACAACAUCAGUAGACCCAUUUAUUUUCUUGUAAAUAUAAGGUUUCUCAGGUGAUAAAUUGUGAGCUUCCAUGGCUAAGUUACAAGCUUUCUUGAUUAGCUCUUCUCUGACUUCAAUUCCUUCUCCAAUUUUUCACCAUUUUUUGCUUCUUAGCUGCUUAAAGAUUGCAACUUUACUGUUAGUUUCAAAACCUUGAAGAAAGAUUGAGGAUGGAGAGAUGGAAUGAAGGUAAGGGGAAAUGGGUAUUUAAGCUUUUGGUGAUUGGAUGAAAUGUAGAGGAAAUGAGUCAUUGACUUUUGGAGUCUUUGUAUAGCUUUGCUUGACUCUUGCCUGUGGAAAUUGUAUAGGAAGAUAAAUGGGAGUAUGUAUCAAGGAAAUUUCCUACUAAUUGUUCUGCAAAAUGGUUAUUGUACGGACUCAUAUUAAUUUUAUAGAAAUGAUUAUUUUUGAAGGAUUUGAUAUGCAUUCGCUUUUCAUUCGUCGUAAAUUCCCUUUUACGUCUUUCAUAAGAGCAAGAGGGGUGGGUACUCUACUAACACUUCACUUUUCAUAUAUUUGUCGACAUUUUUGAAAAGUUAUUUAAAAUGAAAUAGUAUAUUUUACUUUUAUUUUUGUUCUAGUUUGUUUCAAAAAAAUAUAUCAUAUUUCUAUUUUACUUUUAAUAAUAGUACUUUAAUAUAAGAUAAUAUGAUAUGUUUAAGAAUAUAGGUAUUUUUAUUUUGUUACACACGUAUUUAAUUUAAGAUAACAAAAUUAGAAGAAUUUUUUUCUUUAUAUUCUAAUUUUUAUGCACAUUACACAUCAAAUGCGACCGACACAUGGAAAGUGAAAAGGGGGGAGUAUAUUGGUGCUAUUAUAUUCUUUCUCUUGAUUAUUUUGAAAAGUGGGUACCCACUGAAGGACAACUUGGUGGUUGGUACUUUCUUUGUUUUUUCUUUAAUUUUUUUAUAAGAAAUAAAGGCUGGGAAGUUAGAAAAGGCAACUCGUUUUGAAGAAAAAUAAAAUUUUGGGUAUGACAAAUAAAAUAUUUCGUGUUCACACUGGAUCCAAAGAAGGGCCUAACCCGAGAUACAAAUAGAAUAGAAAAGCUACUUUGAUAUUGUCUCUAUUCGAUUAAGGUUUAUUAAAAUUGUUUAUUGAUUAACGAGCAAAACAAACAAUUCUAAUAGACUAGAGUUUAGUUUGCACAUUAUUAAAAUUGCUUUAUGGACAAACUCCCUUUCACUAGUUCCUUGAAGGUGACUUGUAAAAAGCCCAUGGUUCAGCAGAAGUAUACUCUGUCACCUGCUUAAUGUUCAAGAAACUUUCAAGACCCCUGCAUCAAUGCACAAACGAUUAUCACUUAUCAGUCCGAUCAGAUCAGAUCAGAUCAGAGGUCUCAAGUUCGUGCAUUGAAAAUGAAACAGUUUUUUGGUAAAGAACAUUUUUCACUUUAUUAGAUCUUAUACAAUGUGAGUUCAGAUUAGUGAGUGCUUACCAUUCCCCUAGAUCACGUCCAAAACCACUACGCUUUUUACCACCCCAUGGAAGCUGAUUAAAGGUUGGCUGUGAACAGUUAAUCCAGAUGAUCCCUGUCUGAAAUGCCUGCAAAUUAAAUUCCAGCUAAUUAACAACAGGUCAAUCGCCUUCUGAUAUUGAUUUAUAAAGGAAUUGAUUGUAGCAAAUGUGAAAUACUAGCUCCCACCUUUGUAAACCUCUCACACCUUUUAACAUCUUUUGACAUAACAGCAGCAGCCAAACCAUACCUAUGAAAAAAGGAGGAAAAAAUCAACAACAAACAACUAAAGUUUGCUCUAUUUUCUAUUGGCAUAUAAAUCUCUGAGAGAACUAUACUCCUAGAAAACAGUGGAUCCAAAGAAAACAUACCUAAAACUUAGUUCCAACUAACUAAAAAGGUAAAAAUGGAAGAACAAAAAAACAUGGUUAACAUCAGUCUGAAUAGGCAACUCACUUGGUGUCAUUUGCUAGUUCAAUGGCUUCCUCUUCAGUUUUGAAUGUUUUGACACAAAGAACAGGUCCGAAUACUUCCUCUUUCCAGAUUUCCAUUGAGGUAUUAACAUCAGUAAUAAUAGUUGGCUGAACAUAAUAUCCUUUCUUCAAAUGCUGCAAUUCAAUUGUGAUGACUUCAGUUGUUUUACAAAAGAUUGACAAACAAACUAAAGCAUCUGCAGGCUUUUGCUAAAAAGGAUUUUUUUUACCUGAGGCCGUUUGCCACCAUAAAGAAUGGUUGCACCUUCACUUUUGGCAUUUGAGAUAAACUUCAAUACCUUCUCAUACUGCACGUUAACAAAAAUUAGUACAUAGAUAUUGUCUACAAAUUGUGUGACCACUCCAUCUACAAGAUCCGCUAGAAAAUAACAAACCAAAAGCAGUGUCAUCUAAUGAGUUACUGUGUCAACUCAGUAUUAAACAUCUACGUUUUGUUUAUGAAGCACUUUAUAGUUAGAGAACCACAUAUCCUAUUUUACAUGCGAUUUCUUACUUGUCCAGCACUGACGACAGGACCAAGCUUGCAGUCUUCUUCCAAAGGAUCGGAGAUUUUGAUGUUUUUGGUCCACUUAAGCAGCCUGUCCAAAAAUGCAGAAGCAAUGCUUUCCUGGAAUAUUCAGAAUUUGAUUUUAAGAAAAGUAUCAACAUGGUAGAUAACAGAAAGGAAAAUACCACAAAAGAAUACAUCAAAAAGACCGGGAAAUGCUACAGUUUUUGUAAGUUAGAACUAAUGUAAUCAGCAUUCACGUCUGGCCUUGAUAUGCUAUGUAUAGUAAAACCUCUACUAGAUCAUAUUUUUCUUGGGAAGGCCACAUCCCAUCUCAUAUACUCAUAUUUGCUACACCUUUUUACUAUUUACUGAAUUCUAGUAUGUAAUUUGAUACUACUCUCCAUGCAAUUUCUAACUUUAUAAAGUUUUUUUCAUUAGAUAAAUCAAUUGAUAUCCAAUUUUAUUUUUUUUAAAUUGCACCCUACCAAUCCACAUCAGCUCACGUUUAGGAAAUAAAUUUAUCUUUCCCACCCUGAACAAUUUUUGUUCAUAAGAAAACAAAGUAAAUGAACUGGAGUCCCAAAUUUUUCCAAGAAAUAGGCAGGUAAGACAGUGUCACACAAUUUGAAUCUUUGAGUGGCAAUUUUGGUGAUCUUCUCUCAGGCAUAACCCUCUCUCACAAAGUGUUAAAGAGUUGAACUUCACAUUCCUAUUACACUGCCAAGCACGAUAUGACUUGACGAACAUACACACACUGACACACAGAGGUGUUCCGAGAGGUACUUCCUAGAUAAUUUGUAAAUAGUACCAAUCCAGGACCGAGUUAACCAAAGGAGAACACUGUGACUAAAUAUAUGGACCUCAUCCACUUUUACACUUGUUACCUGUACUAUAAGCCGUGAUGUUGCACUACAAACUUGACCAGUAUUCGCAAAGAUACCAAAAAGAGUCCACUCAGCAGCUGCAUUAGACAACGAAGAACAUAGGAUCAAUAACCAAGAUUAUAUUCCUAAACAAAAGGGUGAAGUUAACUUCUUAACCAAAUGGUCGUGUGUACAAUUUAAAAAGAACAAACCUAUAUCAAGGUUAUCGAUGUCGUCAAACACAACUAUUGGACUUUUUCCACCAAGCUCAAGACUAACUGGCUGCAAAUGAAACAUAAGGGCUUAGCAAUAAUUAAUCCACCCGCACGCCAGCAAGUUAUUUUUCCAGUUAGAACCUAAAAGAUUACUUAUUUACGACAAAGCGUACUUUAACAAGUUGAGCUGCAGCAGUCAUGAUCUUAGAUCCUGUAGGUCCACUUCCUGUAAAUGAAAUCUGUCACCAAAAAUUUUAAAAAUCAUUUCAACAUAUUUUAUGUGAGAUUCGAUAAAUAUACAAAAGACAAACUCGAAAAGGAAACAGGCAAACCUUGUCCACAUGAGGAUGAGAUGCCAAAGGACCACCAGCUUCAGGCCCUAAUCCUGUUAAAAUGUUAAGGGCACCAGAAGGAAGACCAAUCUCUCUACAGAUCUCACCCAACUCCAAACAGGUACUACAAUUGAAUGUCAGAAUCAUUUAAUUAACGAAGCAAAUGAUGCGGAUCAAGGAUAUAGAUACUGAAGAUGAUAUGCUACAAGGACUCACACUGAUGCUAGUUCAGACGGCUUAAGUAUUGCUGCACAACCAGCAGCCAGAGCAGGGGCAACUUUCCAUAUGGCCAUUAACAAUGGAUAAUUCCUUCAUUAUGAAAACAAAAGGAUCAUUGACUUGAAAAAGUAUACUUGAAUGUCAUUCUCAUUGUUCAUUUAUUAGGAUUAUGGUCCAACUUUUCCAAUGAAAUAUAUUGUUGAACUAGGAGACAACUAGGUUAACUGAAUAUUCUUCAUUUUCGCCAUAUUUCAACAUUUUAAGAACUAACCAGACCACCUCAGAUAAAGUAUAAUGACUUACUUUUAGCUUGUCAAUGAUACGAAAACAACCAGUGGAUAUAUAAAUGUACAGAAAACAUUAGUUAAAUGCAGAAGUUCCACCACAAACAUCUGCCUGAUCAAUAUGUGGUUUGUAAAACUAAAAAAACCGUAAUAACUCUGAAAAAUGGCACCUACCAUGGAGUUAUCAAUCCCACAACACCAAGAGGUUCUCUAAGAACAUAAGUUUUAAAUGAAUCCGAAUUAAGAUUGACAGGAGUCUUCCUUCUCGAAUCCAAAGCUUCAGCGAGGUCUGCAUAGUACUCAAAACAUCCUGCGACAUCAUCCUGAAAUAUAAGACAGCACAUAGAAUAAGUUUGUGUACAUCAAGUUGAAGCAAACUAUAUAUUUAUCUCAUUUAUGCAAGAAAGUACCAUAUCUGCAGCAGACUCAAACAAUGUUUUUCCACUAUCAAGGGAUUCAAGUGUUGCAAGUACGGAUUUCUUCUCCAGUACCUAUGAAAAAAAUAAGCUAAAACAGUUAGCAAAUGAAUCAUUUAAAGAAAAGCAGAAUAGUCAAUUAGUUCUGAAGAAUGUCCCAAUAUCUUGCCAACACCAUGCAAUAUAUACAGCAGCUCACUAGUAUCCAAGAACAUAAUCUACUUGAGUGGAAAUUUCCUGUUUUUCUCAAAGUAGUAAGGUAGAUGCCCCUAAAAUGACUCCUCCGCGACAUCUACAGCUGCACAGUUUUUCAGGCAUCUAUAGUGGAUAAAAUUUGUGCUUAGGACAAUCUAAAAGGCGCUCACAGCUUGGAGGAAUCACAAAUGUAAUAUUACAUAUACACUAAACCUAUUACUAUGCUUUAAUCUCAAAUCAAAUCGUUUACGUUCAUUUCACUCCAGUUGGAGACUUGUUUCACUCCAAUACUGAAUAGUUUAUCUAUAAAAAAGAAAAUUGAGUUUUAUGUACGUAGUAGACUUGGCAUUCUCAGAGCUAGCUAUCCUUCAACGGAGAAAGAUUUAAUUAUCUGUCGACACACUAGCAGUACUUAGAGACAAUCAACUAGCUUUUACGCCUAAAAGUUUCACUACACCUGAGUUCAAUCCUUCAAGGACAGAAGGAACCGCGAUCUCGAUGUAACUCAGAGAAUACAGUUCCUAAAUCCUGUAUAAUUUGAGCUCACACUGUUCCGAACUCAUACAUAAUUACGAAAUUAGCAUUGAAAUAUAGAUAAUUUUUCUGCUUCUGGACUAGUAACUGCCUUCAUCCAGAUUCCAGGGUUCUAAUAAAAUUCCUGAAAAAAAUCAUGAAUAUGUAAAAUUAAGAUGCCAAUGCAGAACAGUACACAACCUUAGCAGCAAUAGCACGGAGAUAUUUUGCGCGUUGUGCCCCUGUUGUAGAACCCCAGUCAUCCCUAGCAAUCGCUUUCCGUGCUGCUUCCACAGCUAUAUCCACAUCUUCCGCGGUAGCCGCCGGAAUAUCCCCUGAAAAUCCAAUUUAAACAUAAUCUCUCAUCAGAACAAAAGUAAUUUUCACGUGCUUCACCAGCAUUCAACAAAAAAAAAAAAAAAAAAAAGAGUGAGAAAUACGAUCAGAUUACAAUUACGGAUAGAAUAGAGUAUGCUAAUCAUCUACUGACGUACCGAUGAUUUCUUCAGUAGCCGGAUUGAUUAUCGGAAUCCGGUUCUUCUUGACCGGUUCUCUCCAUUCUCCGCCGAUGUACAGCUGUCGACGUGAGAUUGGUACAUUACGAUUUGCCAUAACUCGAUACAAUCACCUCACAGUUUAAGACUCUUACGUAGAGAAAACUAAUCUACGUUACCGCCAAAAAAUGGCGCAGGGAGUAAUUAGAUCAGUGAUUUUUGUUCUUAUAAAAGCCACUAUAUAAAGAAAUGAGCAUACAAAGAAGUCGAAAGGAUUUAACAUCUACAAUUUUAACCUAUAUAUAAGUAAUUUUAGGGUUCUGAUGAAGAUGUUCCACGACCUAAUAUUUGUGUGAUUAUGAAAUUUUUUUCAUUUAAAAGUAAAAUGUUGAUUUUAAUUCAAAUUAUAAUUCAAAUGAAGAAAUGCAUAAUUAUUUUUGGAAUAAAUUGAUAAGAAAAUAAUAUUACUAUUUUUUUUGAGAGAAAUCCUCAAAUGAAUGAAAGUGGAAAAAGAAGAAAAUAUAGCUCCAAAGUGGAAAUUGUGCUUUAUUGGAUAAUGUAUGAUUAGUAACAUCACUUAUCCAUCUUUUUCAUGUGUUAGCGUGGGUUAGAGUCUACAUUGAUUUGAGAUAAUGGACUAUGGUUUGAAAUUAAUUCUCAUUUUAUGAGUUAGUAUUUGACUCAUAUGUUAUAUUAUUACAUAUUACUAAAGUCAGAUUCAUUCAUGCAUUCAUAUGAGUGUCAAUAAUGCUUAGGUUUCUUGAUAUUUCUUUUGUUACGUAGAAACUAAGACAAUCAUAAAUAUUUGCGUUCAUACUUAAUAUUUACGUCAAAUCAAAAAUAUAAUCUUAAUAAAUAAUAUGAUAAUACAUACUAUAAUUGAGCAAUAGAUUUAUGUAUAAAACUAUAAAUAUUAUAUAUUUAUUAAAUUAAUAUAAAUAUCGAAUAUGAGUAAUUUUAACGCGAAAGAUGUUAAUAGUAAAGGGAUCUAAGGCAAUGGUGGUGGUGGGGGGGGCCUAACCAGAUAAGAUGACAAUGAAGUACUCAUCACUUGUUGACAUUUCAGUUUUUUUGUUUUUUGACAAUAACAUAAAGAUAUGCUUCUCAGUUCUCACUUAAAUCAACAUUGAAUUUAUAUUACUUCAUAAAUUUUAUUUCAAUCAUGGUAUUCAAUUGUUUUUGUAGGUUGUAUACUUAAAAAUCAUUAGUAAUGGUUUCGUUUUUUGAAUUGUUAUACUUAACCUAGAUAUGCCUUAUAUACUUCAUCUUUUAUGAUUUAUCAGGUUGGAUUAAUUAGUGAUGAUUUCUGAUACUGAUUGAAAAAAAUGUAAUUAAAGAAAAUCGAUCAUGAGAAAAUUAAAACGAACAACACAAUAACAAGACAUAUAAAGUAAACCAAGUAGCAAGUGGUUGUGAAAAUUGAAGUAAUUUUAUUACUUCAUAAAACAAUACUCCAUAAUUUUAUUUUAAUUUAUAUGUUUUACUUUUUUAAUCCUUUUUAAAAAGGGUGUUUCUUCCUCACAAUUUUCGGCAAUUUAUUGAUUUAAAUUUUUUCACAUGACAUGUUUAAAAUCAUAAAAUUAAAUAAUAUUUUCUACAUAUUUUUAGUUUAAUAUCACAACAAUCAAAAUUCUACUUUAAUUUUCUAAAACUAUAUAACAAAUCAAAACUAAAAAAAUAAAUUGAAACCAAGAUCGUACUACUAAUAGAAUGGACUAAUAUGUAUAGGAUCUAUCUAUAGAAUUAAUUGGGUUGGCAUUAAUUUGUUGACCUAGCUCGAUCAAAUUUGUGUAUUCAUACCUAAAUUUGACCAACUUAUUAAUGUUAACAUAAUGAGAAAAUACUUAAAUAAUAAAAGUAUGUUUUUUCUAACAAAAAAUCUCACUACCAUUCAAAAUUAAAAAGAAUCUCCACAUGCUUGGUCAUGGAAAAAAAAUCAAACCCCCACAUAAGGAGCGUAUAGUAAUUAAAUAAAAAUAUCAAACCCGCACGUAAGGAGCGUAUAGUUUAUCUUUUGACUUUGCUGGAUUAUUAGUCUCCAUGAAUUGAUUUAUUCAUUUACUAUUAAAGGUGAUAUUUUAUUUUCUUGCAUCAAAAUUUAGGCUUUUGACUACUAGAGAACAACCAGACGCUACUCUUGGAUAUUAUUUAUCUCAUGUCUAAGGUGAACCCAUUAAUCAUCAUACAGUUUUUGUUUUUGGUUUCUCAUUCAACGUUUGAUAUUUAUAUUAGAGUUUGAUUAAAUUUAGAUUUGUGUUAGAAAGUUCACUCUAAUACAUAAAGUGCUCCCUAAUAAUAAUGACUCUAUACCCAAAGAAACUUGAACUCGAGACCUCCGAACCCAUUAUAGUUAUACCACAAAAACUAGGUUCUUUUGCAGUGACUCAAUUAGUCGCCACAAAAGCAAAGGAUUUUAGGAUUUUGUGACAAUUAUAUGCGCAUUCGAGUGACUACAAUAGCCACAAGUAGCGUUAUUUUUCAUAUUUUUGAAAAAUUAACAAUUUCACAAUUAGAAUAGACAAAUAUUAAAUUAAUUAGUCAAUUCAAAUAGAAGAAACCCAACUAUAUAGUGAUAAUUAAUAUUUUUUUUCUUAUUGAAUAUAAUUGUAGUUUAAUUAAUUACUUAUUCCAGGGAAAGAAAAGUUUACAACUAGUUUCAGAUCUCAUACACGUUUCUUCAUCUAGAAUUUGCCAAAUAUAAAAAUGUCCAAUAGGAUCACAAUUAUCCUUAUCUCUAUCAAAGUUAAAUAACUCAAAAUGGACAUGUUUUUUUGAUAAAACAAUUAAAUCUAUAUCACAAGUGAGUUUGUUAUCUCCUUUGGGAAUUAUAGGAAUAUCGAUGUAAUUGAGAUCACUUCCGGGAAUUAAUUUACUUUGGAACACAUCUUCUCCUCUCAAAAAACAAUCGAUUACUGCUAUUUUUUAAGCUUUAUUUUCAAUACCAACUGAAUAUAUGAAUUGUGAACUAACUGAACAUGAGAAAAUAAGUAGGAGACAUGUAUUGAUAUUGUAUAGAUAAUUAUGCUAUGUAUCAAUACUGUAUAAAUGGUGUAUAAGUAUGUAUCAAUAUUAUAUAUAUAUCGAUAUUGUAUAAAUAAUGUAUAAUUGUGUAUCAAUAUUAUAUAAAUAAUUAUGUAUUGUAUAAUAUCAAUAAUUAUUUGACUAUCAUACAUUCCCACCUUAAUAAAUAAAAGAAUAAAUAAAACAUAAUAAAUCUACACAAUUUUUUAUUUUUUUUAAAUAGCACGGCAAAAAAAACAGAAAUAAAGAUUUUUUUUAAAAAAACAAGGAAAAUGGCCAAAUUUACAUUCCCAGUUGUAAACCAAAUAGACGAGCGACUAUAUUUGGUACAAAAAAUGGCAAAUUGGACAUUUUUAAUAAAAUAAAAAAAAGGUGAAUUAUUUUUUGUGUAAGUGAAUUGUUUUUUUAAUCCAAUGAACAUUUUGCAUGAUUUUUCCAAUAUAAAAAUAAAAGUAAGAAAAUGGGUGUCUUGAGCCCAAAUAAUUCGUCUAAAACCUUUCAAUUUAUCAGGUUUAUAUAUAUAUAACUAGACUCAUAUUUACGAAAUGUAGAAAAAAAAAAACAAUUCACAAAAUACAACAGAAUAUCUUUCAUAAAAUAUAUAUAAAUUUCACUAGGACUUAAAUGUUUCGCUCAAAGGCAUAAAAAAUUCUAUCAAUAUUUUGUGUAUGAAAAUAGAAUAAAAUUAAGAUAUGUAUAUCUUGCUCAAAACUUAAAACUUUGCUCACAUUUUGUGUAUAAAAUUUAUUAUGAAAUAUCUAUAUCUCUCUUGAGGCUUAGAAUUUCGCUCACAAUUUUCUUAUAUGAAAACUGUAUAGAAUGAUAGAAUAGGAGAGAAAAAAUUGUAUAACUAUUGUAUAAAUUUAAUAUAACUACAACACACAUGUAAAAGUUCUAUAUGAAAUAAAUCGAGAUUAACCAUAUCUUUUCCACUUAAAAAACAAUGGACUUCCGCUGUUAUUGAAGCUAUAUUUUUAAUAUCAACCCUGUACGAUAUUUGUGAAUUGAGUAAACAUGAGAAAAUAAGUGAGAAGCAUACUAUGAAUAAUGGGGAAGACAUGAUGGCUUUUUCUUGUUUUUGUGUGAGUGUUUGUGUUGAUGUGACAAUUUAUAACAAAUGUUCUCAUGUUACUUGAGAUUCAUGUAAUAUGAUUUUAUUUUAUUUUUGUCUUUGCAGAGAAUGAAGUUUUAUUGAUAAGUCUAUAUUAAAUUUGAAUUAAAUGUCAUAUUCAUGAUAUGUUAAGUAAGUUAAAUUAUUGAUAAAUAAAAUUGGAUUAAUGUACAAAAACUAAGUUAUUGUCCUAUCGGGAACAACAAAAUCCUCUUAAGUCUUAAACUCAGACACGCGUCCAAUGAUUUAUAUUAUAUCCCAAAGACAUUAAUUACCACAAUUGAGUUUAAUAUAUAAUUAGAUUACUUAAAAAUAAUUAAUUUUAAUGUAUUCACUUGUAAUUUUUUUUUAUAUAACAAUUCUCUCUUUAUAUUACUAUAUAUAAUAAGUGGGAAUAUCUACUACUUAGCACAUGACAAGUGUUGGAUGAUAUGUGCUUUGAUAGUGUUGUACAUUCUUCUUUUAUGGUUGUACCUUUAAAAUUUAUAUUAUUGAACAAUUUAACAUCAUUAAUUACCUACUACUUUAUUAGCCGAAAAGAUAGACCUCAUUUGGGCCCAUUUAUUAUUUAUAUGUUUUCAAUUUUCAAUAUAUGUUGUCUAUCUUAUUAUUUUUUUCAACCUUUUAUUUUUAAACUUCUUGAAAUUUAAUUACCUAUUUAUUACUCUCUCUAUACACUUUUUAAUUGUUAUGAUUUUCCUUUUUUAGAGUCAAACUAUAAGAAUUUUAACUAAUAUUUUACAAUGUGUUUUUUCAUCAUAUUCAUAUGCAACAAAUUACAAUUUAUAGUACUUUAGUAUAGAUUUUACAUAUUUAAAUUUUUUGUUUAAAAUAUCAAAUUAAUACAAUCUAAUUUAACUUUGAAAAUUAUUAUAUUACUACUAUUAAUAAGAGUGAAUGUGAGGAGCUUCCCGUUUAUGGGACUUGACAAAAAAAUCCUCAGAUGUUAUUUUUGUAAUUUCACAUGAAAAAUGUAAUUCAAUUGGUUAGUUAAAGGAGUAGUGCAGCUGCAUUUCAUUUUUUGUAUCUAUUGGACUAAUUUGUCCCCUUAAAACUACAAAUAAUUCGCACAACUUUCUGAAAACAUGAGCCCCACUUAUUACUACUUAGUUGUAUUGCUUUGGUGACUGAUAUCAACUAUUCUCUCACCAAUAAUAUUUCUCCAGUAUUGACUUUAUACAUUUUUUAAGAAAUUAUAAAUAAAAGAGUAAUAUUACUAUAUCAUUCUUUAAAUAUAAUAAAUAUAAUGUAUUAAAAAAUAUAAUUGAAAAAUGACUAUAAUUAAUGAUAAGGGGUAAACUAUCCAUUGAUUUCAUAAAGUGGACAAGUAUUGUAGGACAUUCCAAAAUAGUAUAAUAGACAAUAAUUAUUGGACGGAUGGAGUAGGAUUAAGUCUUUCUUUCAGUACUUUUCUCACAUUAAUUAAUUUCUCUCAGCAUUCAAUUAGUGAAUCUUUAGUAGAAUUAAUUAGAAUACUUUUUACUUAAUAAUACGCACAAUAAGCAAUAAGAGGAAGCUUUCGUUGGUCUGUUCUUUUAAGGGUAUGUUGCUAAACCAUCAACACUGAAAGGUAGCUCUACUGAUAAUUGUGAAGAAAGCAUAUUAAUGGAUUAAAAAUCAAAAAGAGGUAAUUAAACCCUAAAAUAUUAUAAAGACAUCUAUAAAAUUUGGUUGAAGCUCAAAAUCUAUUAGUGCCAUAUAAAUUAGGAUAGAGGAAAUAACAUAUAUUAUUUGAAAUAACAUGAAACGUACUACAAAUCACACAAUAAUUAGCAACUUCAAAAUUUAAAGGACAUACAAAAAAUUUGAUCAACUCUCAAAAUUCUACUAAUGUCACAUAGUUUGGGAUAGAAAAAGUAACAUAUACGUAAAAUGUACUAUAACUCAUAAUAAUUAAAUAACUUCAAAAUCUAAAAGACAUAUACAAAAUUUGCUUGACUUUCGAAAUUCUAUCAAUGACACAUAAAUUGGGACAAAGAAAAUAUUGAAAAUUACAUAUAAAGUAUUAUUAACCACAAUAAUCAACAACUUAAAAUUUAAAGAACAUACAAAAAAAUUGUUUGACCGUUAAAAUUUUAUUAAUGUCACAUAAAUUAAAAUAAAAAAUAAAAAUAUAUGUUGGGCCCGUGCUAGCACGGGCUACUGUAACUAGUAUAUAUAUAUACUUAAAUCCUUGACAGAAUAAUCCUUCAUUAUGGACAGCUAAUAUAUAUCCAAAGCCUGCCUGGCCCCUGCUACCACUAGUAAUAUUCAAAAACACAUUUCUCCUUAAUUUAUUUUUUUUAUUUUGUUUUAAUUAGUUAAAACAAAUCUUAUUUUUUUUAAUUUUUCACAUGGUAUUGAAUCCAUAAGAUUAAAAAAUAUUUUUGGUUUAGGAUUUUAUUUUUUAAACUACAUGCUAAAUAGAAUAGACUUAUAUUGUAUAGGAUUAGGAUCUAUAUAUAGGAUUGGGUUGACAUUAAUAUAGUUGACCUAGGUCGAUCGAGUUUGUGUACUCACACCUAAAUUUGACUAACUUAUUAAUGUAAUGUAAUUACGUAAAUCUAUAAAUUAUGCGAUCAUAUAAUAAAACUUUAUCUUUUGACCUUGUUGGACUAUUAAUCGCCAUGAAUGAUUUAUUCAUUUAUUUUUAAAUAUGAGAUUUUAUUUUAUUUUCUUGCAUCAAUGUUUAGGCUUUAACUAUUAAUUAGGGAACAACCAGGAUUUUAUUCAUCUCAGGUCUAAGGUGAACCCAUUCUAUAGUUUAUUUGUUUUUUUUUGGUUUCUCAUUCGAUAUUUGAUAUUUAUAUUAAAGUCUGACUAAAUUUAGAUUCGUGUUGGCAAGCCCACUCCGAGAAAUAAAGUGAUCCCUAACAAUGAUAAUUUUGUAUUCAAGGAGACUUAAAUCCGAGACCUUCCGAACUCAUUAUAGUUAUACUACAAAAAUUAUGUUCUUUUGUGGUGACUCAUUUAGUCGCCACAAAAGGUUGAUUCUAGUUGUAGUGUUAUUUCUUAUAUUUUUGAAAAAUUAAUGAUUCCGCGAUUUGAAUGUAUAUAUCAAAUAUUAAAUUAAUUAGUCAAUUCAAAUAGAAAAACUCAACUAUGUAUUGAUAAUUAAUAUUUUUUCUUCAUGAAUAUAAUUGUAGUUUUAUCAAUUACUUAUUCCACAGGAAAAAAACCUUACAACUAGUUCCAAAUCCCAUACAGAUUCCUUCAUCUUGAAUUUCCCAAUUACAAAAAUGUCCAUCAUCACAAUUAUUUUUAUCUCUAUCGAAGUUAAAUAACUCAAAAUGAACAUGUUUUGUUGAUAAAACAACUAAAUCUACAUCACAAGUGAGUUUGUUGUCUCCCUUGGGAAUUAUAGGAAUAUCGAUGUAAUUUGGACCAUUUCCGCGAAUUAUUUGACUUUGCAACACAACUUCUCCUCUCAAUAAACAAUAGAUUACUGCUAUUUUUGAAGUUUUAUUUUCGAUAUCAACCUUAUAUAAGAUGGGAUUUGAACUAAUCGGACAUGAGAACAUAAGUAGGAAACAUGCUGUAAAUAAUGGGGAGGUCAUGAGUUUUUUUUCCAUUUUUGAUGUGUGUGUCUUUUUUUAUGUUGAUAGGACUCUAAUUUAUAAUAGUAAUUAUUACAAAAAUUUAAUUACUUCUCAUCUUCUAUAUAUAAUAAAAAUAUAAGUCAUUGAAUCUAGUCCAACAAUUACAACAAGUAAUUCUAUUUACAGAAAAAGGCAAAUUUCAUUAAUAUACAGAAAAACAAAAAAUUACAAAAAAAAAAAGUAAUUUUAUUUACAGAAAAAAUAGUCAAAAAGGAUCAUGCACUUUUACAAAAAAAAUAAGUAAUUCUAUUUUUUUUUUCAGCGUUCGUUAUUUUUAAAAAAAAGUGUUUCUUUUAAUUAUUUUAUUUUAAUUUAAUUUAUUUGUCUUAUUUUUCUUUUUAAUCCGCUUCAAAAAGAAUGUUUCUUUUUCUUCUUGUUUUUUGGAUAACUCAGUAAUUCAAUUUUUCCACAUGACAUGUAUAAUAUACAACAAAAUUAAAGUACAUUUCGUUACAUUCAACAUUAUCUUUAGUUUAAAAUCACAACAAUAGAAAAUCUUCUUUAAUUUCUUAAUAAUAACUCUCUCUCUAUUUAUAUAUAUAUAUAUUAAAGAAGGUGAUGUUGUGCUUAAAGAGAUGAUCGAGAAACCAGGUGUACGAGAUGUUGAGCCAAUGGAAAAAGUGCUUAAUUGGACUUCCACUCCGCUCUUGAUUCCUCGCUCAUCCUGAUAGACAGAGAUGAAUUCUAUGCCAUUUCAAAAAUCUGUGGUAGUCCGAAGGAGGCCUGGAACCCACCUUUUGUGUCUUUUUACCUAAUUAUCUUUCAAUUUCCUUCGUAAUGGUUUGAAAAAAUCAAAAUGGCCCAUGGUCAUGGCCAAAGUUCGUAUAUCCUUAUUUUCAAUGAAAGCUACCUCUAUUGUGAAAAAUUUAUUUCACUUGCUUUAAUUCUUCUAUCUAAAAGUCUUUAUUUCAGUAAAAAUGAUUUUAAAUCUAUCAACAUCAAGUCAUAUCACAAGCCGAAUGAACAAAUGAGGUAGAUGACAAUGUGUUCUAAGAGUAUGAUGAGAAAAUCAUGAUAUCCAAAUACAUUGCCAACGCAUUGAAACGGUUCGAGAAUCAACAUAAGUCGAAUCUAGAUGAUAUAGAAACUGUGAAUCUAGAAAAAAGAUAAAUGUGUCAAUCAAACACGAAUCAACGUCUACCUGACUAAAGCUUAGAAAAGAGAACUCAACGAUUUACAUAGACAAAACAUCGAUACAUUUGAUUGAUUACAUGUCACGGUUGGGCGUAGAUAUUUAUCUCACGAGUCGUCAGUCGACUCAGGUACUGUCAAAAGAUACUAUGUUUGAAGGCUCAUAGUUUCUUUUAUUUCUUUCCUUGUAAUCACAUAAUUUGCAUGUAAUAAUAUAUGCUUUAUAGUUAGAAAAUUAUCCUUUGUAAUGAACUACGUCUGACCUAAAUUCUCAAGAAUGAGAUACGUAGGCGGCNNNUAUAUAUAUAUAUUGAUCAUUUGCAAACUAAAUCACUUAAAGAAAAUAAAUUAAAACAGAGAGAAUAUUGUUGUUAGUAUAGAUUUAUAAGUUAUAUGUAUAAGAUCUAUACAUAGGAUUGGGUUCGAUUAAUAUAGUUGACCUAGCUCAAUUGGAUAUGUGUAUUCACACCCAAAUUUGACUAACUUAUUAAUGUUACAUAAAUUUAUAAAUUAUAGGGUCAUAUAAUUAAAUUUUAUCUUUUGACCUUGUUGGAUUAUUAAUAGCCGUGAAUGAUUUAUUCAUUUGUUUUUAAAUAUGAUAUUUUAUUUUAUUUUCUUGCAUCAAUGUUUAGGCUUUAACUAUAUAUUAACUAGGGAACAACCAGCAGGAUAUUAUUCAUCUCAUGUCUAAGGUGAACCCAUUUUGUAGUUUGUGUGUUUUAUGGUUUCUCAUUUGAUAUUCGAUAUCUAUAUUAAAGUCUAAUUAAAUUUAGAUUUGUGUUGAAAAGCCGUAUCUAAAAAAUAAAUUAAAGUACUUCAUGACAAUGAUAAUUUUGUAUUCAAGGGGACUUGAACUCGAGACCUCCGAUCUCAUUAUAGUUAUACUACAAAAACUACGUUAUUUUAUGGUAACUCAUUUAGUCGCCACAAUAGGCUGAUUCUGAUUGUAGUGUUAUUUCUUAUAUUUUUGAAAAAUUAAUGAUUCCGCGAUUUGAAUAUAUAUAUAUAUAUAUAUAUCAAAUAUUAAAUUAAUUAGUCAAUUCAAAUAGAAAAACUCAACUAUAUAUAUAGUAAUAAUUAAUAUUUUUUUUCUUAUUGAAUAUAAUUGUAGUUUAAUCAAUUACUCAUUCCACAUGAAGAAAAGCUUACAAUCAGUUCCAGAUCCCAUACACAUUCCUUCAUCUUGAAUUUCCCAAAUACAAAAAUGUCCAUCAUCACAAUUAUUUUUAUCUCUAUCAAAGUUAAAUAUCUCAAAAUGGACAUGUAAUUUUCCUAAAACAAUUAAAUCUAUAUCACAAGUGAUUUUGUUAUCUCCUUUGGGAAUUAUAGGAAUAUCGAUGUAAUUUGGACCACUUCCAGGACUUAAUAUACUUUUGAACACAUUUUUUCUCAAAAGACAAUAGAUUACUGCUGUUUUUGAAGCUUUAUUUUCGAUAUUAACCGUAUAUAAGAUGAAAUUUGAACUAACUGAACAUGAAAAAAUAAGUAGGAAACACGUUAUAAAUAAUGAGGAAGUCAUGAGUUUUUUUUCAUUUUCGAUGUGUGUAUUUUGUUUGUGUUGAUGCAACUCUAAUUUAUAAUUGUAAUUAUUACAAAAGUUUAAUUACUUCUUAUCUUCUAUAUAUAAUAAAAAUAUAAGUCAUCGAAUCUAGUCCAACAAUUACAAAAAGUAAUUCUAUUUACAGAAAAAGUCAAAUUUCACUAAUAUACAGAAAAACAAAAAAAAUACAAAAAAAUAACUAUUUAGAGAAAAAAUAGUCAAAACGGAUCAUAGGGUCAACAGAACUUAAAUCGGCCCAAGACCUUUAGGCCAUUUUGCUUCCCUUUUUUUUUACCAGUGUUCGUUAUUUAUUUUUUUUUAAAAAGUGUUUUUUUAAAAUAAAAAAGUAUUUUUUUAAAAAAAAUAAACUUUUUCCAUGUAUCAAUAAUUCAAUAUAGUAUAAAUCUGUACAAAACGUGUAUUGCUAUUGUAUAGAUAGUUAUAUAGUGUAUUGAUACAUAAAUGGUGUAAAUGUGUAUCAUUAUGAGAUAAAUAGUAUAUAAACUAGUAUCGAGAUUAUAUAAACAAUUAUGUAAUGUAUUUAUAUCAUGUUUAUCUGACUAUCAUGUAUUUUCACUUUAAUAAAUAAAUGAAUAAACAAAAAAUGGUAAAACAACAUAAAUAUUCGUUGUUUCCGCAAAAAAAGUGAAACAAUUAGAAAAGGAACCAAAUCAAACCAAACGCAAAUAAAAUCUGUUUACUUAAUCGAUUUUUAUUCAAACUGUGAACACCCUUCAUUGUUUUAUUUUAAUUUAAUUUAUUUUUCUUACUUCUCUUUUUAAUCCAUUUCAAAAAGAAUGUUUCUUUCUCUUCUUUUUUUUCUUUUUUUUUGGAUAACUCAGUAAUUCAAAUUUUACACGCGACAUGUAUAAUUUACCACAAAAUUGAAGUACAUUACAUUCAACAUUAUCUUUAAUUUAAAAUCAUAACAAUUAAAAUCUUCUUUAAUUUCUUAAUAACAAGUUUAUAUAUAUAUAUAUAUAUAUUUUGCAAGUUAAAUCACUUUUAAAAAAAAUUAAAGCAGAAAGAAUACUACUAUUAGUACGGACUUAUAAGUUAUAUGUAUAGGAUCUAUACAUAAGAUUGAGUUGGCAUUAAUAAAGUUGACCUAGCUCAAUUGAGUUUGUAUAUUCAGUUGUUCACACUUAAAUUUGACUAACAUAUUAAGGUUACAUAAAUCUAUAGACUAACUUAUUAAGGUUACAUAAAUCUAUAGAUUAUAGGAUCAUAUAAUUAAAAUUUAUCUUUUGACUUGCUGGAUUACUAAUCGCCAUGAAUUGAUUUAUUCCUUUAUUUUUUAAUACGAGCUUUUAUUUUAUUUUAUUGCAUCAAUGAGUAGGCUUUAACUUAUUAGAGCACAACCAGACACUACUCUUGGAUAUUAUUCAUCUCAUGUCUAAGGCCAACCAAUUAUAUAGUUUCUGUUUUUUUGGUUUCUCAUUCAGAGUUUGGUAUAUAUACUAAAGUCCGAUUAAAUUUAAAUGUGUUGAAAAGUCCAUUCUUGGAAAUAAAACGCUCCCUUAUAACAAUGAUGAAUAUGUACCCAAAGAGAGACCUCUGAACCCAUCAUAAUUAUACUACAAAAACUACGUUCUUUUGUGAUGACUCAUCUAAUCACCACAAGAGUAAAGGAUUUUAGGGUUUUGUGGCAAUUAUAUGCGCGUUUGAGUGACUUAAAUCGCCACAAAAGGUUGAUUUUGGUUAUAGUGUUAUUUCUUGUAUUUUUGAAAGAAGAAAAAAAACGAUUUCGUAAUUAGAAUUAACAUACAUAAUUCAAAUAGAAAAACUCAACUAUAUAGUGAUAAAAAAAAAAUUCUUAUUGAAUAUAAUUGUAGAUUAUUCAAUUACUUAUUCCACUCUAAGAAAAGCUUACAAUUAGUUCCAGAUCCCAUACACAUUCCUCCAUUUUGAAUUUCCCAACGACAAAAAUGUCCAACAGCUUCACAAUUACCCUUAUCUCUAUCAAAAUUAAAUAACUCAAAAUGACCAUGUUUUUUUAAUAAAACAAUUAAAUCUACAUCACAAGUGAGUGUGUUAUCUCCUUUGGGAAUUAUGGGAAUAUCGAUGUAAUUUGGACCACUUCCAGGAAUUAAUUUACUUUGGAAAACAUUUUUUCCUCUCAAAAAACAAUGAAUUACUGCUGCUUCUGAAGCUUUGUUUUCGAUAUUAACCGAGUAUAAAAUGAUUUGUGAACUAACUGAACACGAGAAAAUAAGUAGGAAACAUAUUAUAAAUAAUGGGGAAGUCAUGACUCAUGAGGUUUUUGUUUCUUUUUUGUGUUGUUGUGAGUCUAAUUUAUAGUAGUAAUUAUUCUCAUGUUACUUAAGAUUUAUGUAAUAAGAGAUUUACAAAAGUUUAAUUACUUAGCAUCUAUAAUAAAAAUAUAAGUCAUCAAAUCUAGUCAAAGAAUUGACAAAUUGGACAGUCAAUAACACUUGAUAAAAAGCCAAAAUAUUAAAGGGGAAAUUUCAUUAAUAUACAAAAAAAUAAAAAGUUUACAAAAGAAUUAGCCAAUUUUCUAUUUACAGAAAAAUAGCUAAAAAGGGUCAUGGGCUCAACGGAGCUUAAAUCGGCCCAAGACCAUUAGGUCAUUUUUUUUUUUGUAGCGUUAGUUAAUAAUUAUUUUUUUUAGAAAAAAAAACUUAUUUUGUUAUUGUUUUUCAUAAAAACCUUUUUUUUAAAAUUUUAAAAAAAAUCCACGCAAUUAUCAAUAUUGUAUAAAUGUAUAUAAACGUGUAUUGAUAUUGUAUACAUACUGGUUAUGUAAUGUAUCAAUAUUGCAUAAAUAGUGUAUAAAUGUGUGUGUUUAUAUAUAUAUAUGUUACGAUAAAUAUUAUAUGAUGCCUUGUAUUUCAUAACCGACAAAAUUUUGAUAAUAUUUAUUAGAAUAAAGUCAUAAACAAAUUUGUAUCAAUAGCUUAUUUUGCAGUAUGCAACUAAUUGUGUUUUAAUAUACCUAUCAUUUUUAUGCGAUUUAAGUUUUAAUAAAACAUGAUAUAAUGCAAUAUAGUUUAACUUCUAUGCACUAAAAGUGUAAAAAGUAUACAAGUAAAUCUAUUGAUAUGUUUUAAUUGGUAAUCUGGUAAAAAUGAUAACUACCAUGCUAUCGCAUAUUCUGUAACAAUAGCAUGCAAGUGUUUAAUUUGUGUCUAAUUUUCCAUGAUAAAAGAAUUUGUUGCUAAAUGAAUGGUAGAAAACGAAAGACAAGAAGAUGAAUUAAUAUUUUCAGAAAACAUGUGAGGAAUUAUUGAGUUCCAAGGCAAAGGUCUUUAAAUAGGCAUGCAGGAUUUUUGGGCUGUUCCAAUCCCUUAACCACAUAAAGUAUGAUAUCCACUAACAGAAGAAAAAAUCCAUACAAAUAAAUCACUCAAUUAUCUUUCUUUUCCCCUUAUCAGCAAGGGCAACAUUCUUGUUCUCCAAGAAACGAAUUCUCCUAUUGACAGCAACAAGCUUUGAUUCAACUAUCGUCAGAAGAUCUUUCUCUCCUUGUUCUUCUUCUGGUUCUGGUAUUGGUGUUGAUGAUUCCUUGUGCUUUUUUUCGGGUUUCAAAUUUUGAGAGUAGAGAUCAAGAACUUCUUUACAGGCAUCUAAAUUGUCAGGCCAAGUUUGCAGUUCCCCAUUAGGACCAGUAAUAACAGUACAAACCUUGAUAUCGCAGAGAGUUGCAAGCUCCAUCGAUUUCCUCUUUAUGCAUUCUUUCCUCACCUGAUAAGACUUAGGAUUGUUUGUUUUCUUCUUGCUUUGAUCUUCAUCUGCCAUAGCUUGAUUCGAGGUAGAGUCUGUCAUAUAGCUUGAUUCGAUGUAGAGUCCUGAGAAGAAUGAGUACGUAUAUAUAUAUAUGUGUUUUGUCAAGGUAAUAGGAGACUUUAUUCAAUAACUCUUGUAAUUCUUAUACAUUGAAUAUAUCUCUCUACAUUCAAUGUAUCUCUCACUACAUUGAAAAUAUGUAAUAAGGCAUCCUUAUUUAUAAUACUAACAACCAAAGUAAAAUAGGACUUGAAACCUAUAAAACUAACAAAUUCUAAUUAAACUAAAUAAGGAAAUACCAUAAAUAAUAAAUCUUAAACAAGUAAGGAAUUCUAAACUAUUAAGGAAUCCUAAACUACUUAGGAAUCUUAAUCUUGAUUUAUUUCCUACCUUAUUUAAAUUAUAAUUAGUAUUCCUAAUUUGAAUAGUAAGGAAUUCUAAACGGGCAUGUUAUUAAACAUUGGAAUAAUUGGUUACGGUAUAAAGAGGAGGGAGGAUUGUUGAAGUUAGUAAUAGUAAGAACUGUGAUAUAUCCAUUGAGGUAUCCAAAAUAUAGUUAAUACGAGAAAUUAUAAAAUUAGCUCGUGAAAUUAUAAGUUAUUCAAUUCAUUUAAGUUUGGAUUGAUGAUUAACUCGUUUAUUUAUUUUUAAAAUGUUAUAAUAAAAAUAGUUAUUUAAAAUGUGCCACGUUAAUUGAAAGGUAUAUACAAAAACUAAAUUGUUGUUCAGACGGAAACAAUAAAAUCCUCUUAAGUCUUAAACUCAGAUGCAUUAUGCUAUGUCUCGAAGGCAUCAAUAACCACAACCGAGUUAAACAUAUAGUCAGAUUACUUCAAAAUAAUUAAUUUUAAAUAAUCCUGUUUAAUGUGUAUACACUUGUAAUUAAAUCACUGUGACAGAAUAAUCUUUCAUUAUGGACAGCUAAUUUUAUCAAAACCCUGCCUGGCCCCUACUACCACUAGUAUACAAAAACAUAUUUCCCCUUAAUUUGUUUAAUUUAUUUAGUUCGUUUAAUAAAUAUAUUUUUUCAAACUCUGUAAUCAAAAGAUAUUUUUAAUUUAAGAUUAUAAAAUCUAAAAUCUACUUUAUUUUCUCAAACUUGGUGAUAAUUAAAUUAUUAGUCAAACAAAUUGAAACGUAAAAAAUAAACAGAGUAUUUAAAUUUUGAGAAUCUUAAUUUAUAAGUAUGAUUUCUUAUUCUGAUUUUAAAUUAUGAAUUUAAUAUUUGUUCUCAACUUUUUUAUUAGACAUAAAGUAUAAUUCAAAAUUCAAACACCAUAAUGUAAAGGUAAUAUAAAGUACUCAAAUUUGAAGGACUCUGUGAGUAGAAAGAGAGUGAGAGAGAGAGAGAGAAAAAAGGUCUCUUUUUUGUUUUGUUUGUUCAUUGAAUUGAGUGGAGAUCUGCAGAGGAAAUGGCAAGUUUUGGAGGGACAACUCAGAAGUGUAAGGCUUGUGAAAAAACUGUUUACUUGGUGGAUCAACUUACUGCUGACAAUAAGGUUUAUCAUAAAGCUUGUUUCAGAUGCCACCAUUGUAAGGGUACACUCAAGGUGAUACACACUAAAAAUCUGAUCUUUUUCUUGUUAAAUGUGCUUUUGUGCUUUUAUCUUGCUUGAUGUUAUAUGUGGUGUACAUUUAUAUGUGAAAUCAAUGUUAUUUCAUACUGUAGAUAGAAUUGUAAUGUUCUAAUUGAUUUCAAGAGAGGAGGGGGCAAGGAAAGCAAGAAGAGGGUAGGGUUUAUGUUGAAUAGUGAAAAAUGGAGGGGUGGUGUCCUUUUAUGGAUUUGGACAAUUCUCCACUUCUUGAGCUAGUUUUUGGAGUUGAGUUAGAUUCAAGAUUCAUUUUUUAUAUGGUAUCAGGACCCAUCCCAAUUAUUGUGUAUGAUGUUGGGUUCCCAUUUUAAGUUGCCCACAUACUAGACCUCUAGCUGUGGGCGUGGGGUGUUGAAGAUUCCCACAUCAGAUGAAAAGGGGAUGGGUGGUCUCUUAUAUGGACUUGCGCAAUCCUCCCCUCGUGAGCUGGCUUUUGGGGGUUGAGUUAGGUCCAAGAUCCAUUUCUUUAUAGUUUUAGUAUUUGAAUCCGCAACAAGAAGUUGCAAGCUUGCAACAAGAACGAUGUCUUACUGUGCUUUGUUAGAAAUGAAUGAUUGGGUUUGGUUGGGAGAUCCAUGAUGCUCUUCUGUUUAUCCCAAAAGAACAGAGAUUUCAACUAAUAGAUGCUUUCUGUGUUAGGUUAUGUUUGUCAGAUUGUUUUGAUAUGCCUCUUUCAAAGGUUUGAGUUUUGGAUAUUUAUGUAAGCUUUCUGCAAUUGUCAGUGAAGAGUAAUUGUUUGAUAGUAUUAAGGUUAACCGCGAUUUGCCUCUUUCAAAGGUUUGAGUUUUAGAUACUUAUGUAAGCUUUCAGCAAUUGUUAGUGAAGAGUGAUUGUUUGAUAGUAUUAAGGUUAACUGAUGUGAUAGUAACUUGAUGAAAAAUGAGACAUCUAUCGGGGGUAUAUUUGGACUCCCCUAACUGCGUAAAAUUUUGACCAAAAUUGGUCUGUGAAAUGUAAUUACAUGGACUCUAGGGAACUAUGGGUUUAAGAUUCACAUAUAAACAUUCAAAUGAGAUUUGGUAGAAGUUUACAUGAUCUAUUUAAAGAAGCUGUUUUUUAUGACCAAGAAAUCGUCUAAGGCUAGCCUUUAGGACCAACCGCAACUCUCGAAACUCAGGGUUAAUGGGCCUGCCCCUCUUAAAUAUUAGGCUUAGUUCACAUGGCGCAGGGCUCAAACUUGUUGCCUGAGUUACAACCCUUCAACCUUUGUCACUUGAACUUGGGAGCCAUAUAGAAGAAGUAGUUGUUUCUUUUUCGUAAUGUCUCACGUCGGUUAAUAUCAUCUCAACAGCCAAUGAGUUGUGUUUUUGUUCCCAUUUUCACCUUUAUGCCGACCAAUUUUGACUGAUUAACUUGAGAAUCCUGAUUUAUUAGUUGACACUUGACAUUAUUCCCCAUUCAAAUAUGCUUAAUCUAAGUAAGUGAAACCGACCAGUGGUUUCUUGGUCACGACCAGCUAGGGCUAAAGUUCCAAAUUACAGCUACGAAUUAAACAAGAAUACUUUAUUGGGUGAAGAAUACAUGAGCUCCGUUCUUCUUUUUCUUCUUUUAGGAAUGAAAUAUGCUAGAAUGCUGACAUUUAUAGAGGCAUGAGAAUACAAUCAGACAUUCCAUCAAAAUUAUCAUUUAUGUAAAAACUUUGCCUUUUAGUCUUUACCUGAGAAGUUAAGCGGAGUAUUUGCAACUGCAUCCUACUGUACUAACUUUAUUGAUUUUGAAACUUGACUCCAUCUAUCAGUAAUUGUGCUACUGUAAUUGUUGUUCAACUCUGAUUUGCCGAGGCCAUGAGACUUUUUAUUCAUCCAACUUUGUUAGCAUGGAAUCUGGCAUAGAAGUGCUAUACAAUUAGUUAUACAGAUGAAGAUAUUUUGCUCUAUCAACCAAAAGUCCAAAAUCUAGUGUAAACUUCUCAGACGGACACAGUACUUGGAGUAUAUCUCCAUUUUCUCCUUCAUAUGUUUAGCAUCUCUUUAGCACCUUGUUUUCAUGUGGUUAAUUAUAAGAUGUCUUAAUCUUAUUUUCCUUGACAUUUUUAAUGUUUUUAGCUGAGUAAUUAUAACUCCUUCGAAGGAGUUUUGUACUGCCGGCCUCACUUUGACCAGCUAUUCAAAAUGACAGGAAGUCUGGAUAAGAGUUUCGAAGGUAGUUAAGAUAGAGUUGGCAUGCUGAUUUUUCUUCUAUUUCAUUUUCAUCGCUACUCCUUCUAAAGCUAGUUUCUUCUUGUUUGUUAUUUCUCUUUUUUAGGGGCACCGAAAACUGUUAGGGAACGUUCUGCGGAUCAGGUAUUAUUUGAACACUCUUCCUCUUUCAUUUUACAGCAUACAUUUUUGUCUAUUUCAGUUUGCCUGCUGAUCUUAUAAUUAAUUGCCUCGUAUUUAUCUCCCAGGGAUCAAACAGUAAGGUUUCAAGUUUGUUUGGCGGAACUCAAGAUAAAUGUGUUGCUUGCAAGAAAACUGUUUAUCCCCUGGAAAAGGUAUUGACAAUUUCUUUUGUUGUCUAAUGGUAACUAAUCUAUAAAACCGCAGGGAGCAGACUAGACAGAAUACGUUAUUUCAAAAUACUUUAGUACAUAUUUGAAAAGUUGAGCUCUCUUUAGGAACCCAUGGAUUAGUGCCUGUGCCUCUUACUCGGCAUAUCUGAAGUGCUAUUUUCUUCUUAGAUCAAGCUUAUAGAUUAAUGUCACUGCUGCUUUUGUAGGUAGCAGUGGAUGGCACUUCGUACCACAGGCCUUGUUUCAAAUGCAGCCAUGGAGGAUGCGUGAUCAGUCCAUCAAACUAUGUAGCUCAUGAGCAUAGAUUGUACUGUAGGCACCAUCACACUCAACUCUUCAAGGAGAGAGGCAACUUCAGCCAAAUGGAAGACCAUGAGAAAAACUAAAGGGAUGACUGAGAGCACAAUAUCACGAGCCUUGCCGUGAACAUUUUCAUCUGAGUUUGAGUUUGAAACAUAAAGGGUAAUCGCCUUUCAGUCGGGAGCUGGACCAGUUUGUUGUUCUGGUUCAUACAUACAAUUCAGGACUUAUUACAUAUAUCUAUAUAUGACAUCUUCAUGAGAGUCAAGUGAAGAGUUUCCUUCAUUUUAUGUUUACAUGUCUAUGGGUUUGUGCUUUAAUGCCACCAUUGACCAAUACAAUCUUUUUUUUUCUCUACCAAACACAUUGUAAUUGCUGUUGUGCUUGUUUUGAAAAUUCUCAUGGAUUUUUAUGAUGAGAGACUUUACUUCCCCUAGUUGAUAAUUAAAUUUGGUACUUAUGUUGGUCGGAGAUAGUAGGAUCCCGAAAGAGUAGUUAAUGUGCACACAAAUUGGUCUAGAUGACACCAUUUAUAAAGAGAAAAGAUAGAUAAACUCAUUGUAUAUAAAGAUGUGGUCUCGAUCAGUGAAGUAAGUGAAAAUUAUGAGAUACCAGAAUUCAAAUUUCAACUAAAAGACACAAAAUGUUAGGUAAUUUCUACUCAUCUGGCACAAAGUUAAUAAAUUCUAGUAUAAUAGUCCAUGUGAGCAUUUUUUAUCGGCGGACCAGUUCAUCACCGUUACCACCAUUAUAAGGACAGAGGAGGGAUAACCCCUACUUUUUCCAGUGCAACAAAGAUGGGUGAAAUGAUUGCUUGAAGUCAAAAUUGGACAAGGCAUUAUUACUAGCAAAUUACCUUUACUCAGUUGUGUCACCAUAUUCAUUAUAAUCAGUCACAAAGAAUGCUUUUUUAUAUAUUUAUAUCCAGCUAAUGAUUCUAUAAAAAAAAAUAUUGUUCUUUCCAGCUUCCAGGGGCCUGGAAAAAUCAAUAAGAAACUAUUGUUAUGAGAUAACUUUUACGGCGAAUUCAAGAUUUUUAGUAUUGAACCUAUUAUAUACUUAAAAUUAUGGGUUCAUUACCUUAUUUAUUUCAAUUUUCGUGAUUUUUUACACAUUCAAUUAUAUUCUACGUAAAAAAUAUUGAGUUCAGAUGAAUUAAUUAAAUUAUAGAUGUGUGGAAUGAGAAUAUGAAUAUUAAAUUAUUGGUGUUCUAGUUAUCAGAAGAAAGAAUCAGACACAAGAGAUGCAGGACACCAACUCCAGAAAUCUGAUUGGCCAAUGUAGGAAUGAAUAGAUAGGAUUUUCAUGAAGUAUUGUGUUUGUUUGUGAUGAAGACAUUGACUAGAUCUUAGUGAGGCCCCAUUCUUAUUGGCAAAUCAAAAGCAUUAUGAAGAGGUUCCCCAUACAUAGUAUAUGGAAAAGUAGGUCAUGAAAGAAAACUCCACAAGACCAUUUAUUCUUUUUUCAUUCAAUUCGACGUAGGACUCUUCAACACUUCAUUUCACGUUCAAGAUCGGACAUCUGGUUCGAACAAUUCCAACAUCAGUAAACAAUAAUUUAUAAUUGGGAUGGAUCUUGUUCUAAUAACAGGUAAAGAAAUGAAUUUGGGCCUAACUCAACUUCAAAAACUGGCGAGAUUUCAUGUCCAAGUCUAUAUAAGGAGAGCGCUUCAAUCUGAUGUGGAAUUCUUAGACAUAUAUCUUACUCAGACAAUAAUGCAUGCAUAUGAUUCUUGACUCGUACUUAUAACCUUCAGAUUGAAAGUGGAGGGUGUUUAUCAUCUAAGUAACUUCUUUUCGUCCUUUUUAGCCUUUAAUUUGAUGUGUUCUUUCAUCUACUCUCAAAAUUAUUCUUUCGUUUGAUCAGUUGCUAUUAGGUUUAGUCUCUUUCUCUCUACAUUGUCUUUCACAUUUGUGUUGCCUUUAAGGAAUGAUGCCAACCUUGGGACAUUUUGAUUUUAUGAAUUUCUAUCACGAUCUCAAAUUAAUAUUAUAAUAAUAAUUAAAUCCAUAAUCAAAUACUUUUGAAUAUUUAAUAGAUUUUUCAUAAUAUCUAUAAAUUAUUAAGUUCAUGUGAAUCGGUAAAUCCAUCCCCCACAAACUCAAAAUUCUGAUGGAGAAUUGUUAUUCAAAUAAAUGUUCUAAAGUCCAUUAGAUUUAUAAAAUUAAUAGUAGUACUUCCAAGUACACAAACUUUGGUGCAUACAACAAAGCCUACAUGCUACAAUAAUUCCAAUUGAACAAAUGCCUCCAAAUGAUUCAAAAAUUAGAAUGUGAGAAAUCUCUUUUUUUUUUCUUUUGUAUUUUGCUAUACAUGUGAUAAAAAGGGCCACUCUUGUUGUCGGGUUUGGGUGUCAGGUAUCUCGUGGAAUUGAUCAAGUUGCGGACACCAAAACAAGGACACUCUUUCUGUAGAACAAUUUAAUUAAUCAAAUAAUAGAAUCAUCCCAAAUCAACAAGCAGCUUCUGAUAUGCUCUGUAAUGAGGGAUGCCAUGCUCUGCAUCUUGCACCUGUUGAGUCUCUAUGUUUUUCCUGUUUAACCUGAAGAAAAAAAAAAUCAUCUCAUAAAUUAAAAAUAAAACUAACAAACAGGUUUUUUGGAAUUAAAAUGAAGAUUAAAAAUUCACCUGUUUAGAAUUCUCCUGAACAGAUCUUGUAACACUUUCUUUAAGAUUCAAAUUUGAUUUUUGAGUCAAUUUUUCACAUGAAUAUUCUAACUGCUUCAGCUUUGCAUACUUCUUUGCGCACAAUCCUUUCAUUACCUCUGUAUAAACAAGGGUAUCAAAUCAUUACUAACCAGACAAAUGUACAGAGAGUCAAUCAACUGAGUUACUAAGAUUCUCGAGAACUAACUAACCUUGAGCAGUAACUAGUCUGUAAAUCUGACCAAGAACAAGUGAAUCAUUAGGUUUGAGAAGCUUUAUUCGCCUAACUCGUACCGGCGUAUUAUUGUUAGUGGUGGUGGUAGUGGUGGUGGUGAGAAGAAGAGAAACAUAAUGACCGGAAUUGAUUUUCAUGAUUUGGUGAGCAGUGACAGAUGAAUAGAGCUUCUCUACUUUGCCAUUUGGAUGUUGUAAAAGCAAAGCUGCAUUAUCAAUUGCUUGGCAAUUCCCCAUCUCUCUAAGUUAUAUGUUGUCUUCUUUAUUUCUCUGUAAAAUAUAUUGGGGGGAAAUAAACUUUGCUGUUGAAAAUGAGCUAGGCUAUGACCUUUAUAUAAGUGUCAACUGUCAACUGGGGCCGGGAAAUAUCAGGAUACUGUGGUGGAAUCGUAAGUACUCCUUAUUUUUUUAGAGGUCUUGAAUUUGAGUCAUUUGGUAUGGACUCACCAUUAUUAAAGAACGAUUUACCCCCAAUGUGAAACUUUCUGGCACGAAUCCAGAUUUAGUCGGACUUUAAUAUAGAUAUCGGGUGCGAAUUCAAAUUUAGUCGGGCUCUAAUAUAAAUACCGAAGACAUAAUGGAAUUUUUUUUAAAAAAAAAAAAAAACUAUGCCAGGAGAAGGAAAAAUGAGGAAGAGGAUACAAGGUGAAAUGGAAUCUUUAUCUUAUCAACAAGGUAAAAAAGUUCAGAUAGUCAACAUACUAAGAUUUUACUUUAUCCGUUCAUUUCAGAGGUGAGGGCUACGGUGUGAUCUCAAAUAGUGAAGUCAGAAAUUUCAUAAAAAAAUACGAAAAAGAGUCAAAAUUAUCCCUGAAUUAUAUGAAAUAGAUCGCUUAUACCCAUCCGUUACAUUUUGGGAUAAAAAAUACACCCGUCGUUAUCCCAAGAGACCACAAAUACCCCUCAAAAGAUAAUAUUCUAAUUUUUAAUGGAAUGGCAAGCCACAUAGGACUGAUUCCUCCAUCUAAGCUGCCAACUAGGAUUUCCAUAUAUAUAUUUAAAAUUUAAUAUAUAUAUUUAUACAGAGUUAAAAAAAAAUUAAUCUAUUUAUAUACCAUAUAAGUUUUCGACUAAAAAAAUAAUUUAUUUUUUUGUAAAAACAAAAAUAAAUCAAGUAAUUCCUUGACAUCUACAUAUCUAUUGGUAAAAACGUUAUAUAAUACAUAUGAUUGUGGAAUGUGAUAUAUAUCCUGUAAAAUAAUUAAGAUGUGUAUAAGCUGAUUCGGACAUCGAAUCGAAUGGAUAGUGAUGAUGGUAUGGCAUGGUUGAACAAAGAAAGGCGUGAAAAGAAGACAUGAUUUACACCAGCAUGGCACAGAUCUCACUCCCCCAAACAAAUCAUCAUACAAAAAUAUUCUCUUUUUCUUUCUGUAGAUAGAUCUUGGAUAGUGCAAAAUUGGAACAAUUCUGUUUUUGCUGUAUCUAACUUUAUCCAACAUCCUCUGAUAUUCCACUGAGCUAAUUCCCAUUGUUGUUUCCCCUCAAAGUAACAAAAAGACCAUAAAAAUAUACUUGUCUUCUUUCUGUCUAGUGCAUGCGCAUUUUUUUUUAACCAUGCAUAUUCUUCUUUUAUAAUUAAUGUGCUUAAAAUUCAUAUUUUACCUAUAUAUUUGUAUUUUCGUUAUUGCUUAUGUUAUUAGUGAUCAGUCGAAUAUGAUAUUAACCAUCGAUUGUUAAUAAAACGCUUCACUAGUGUCUAUGUUAUGAUAAUGAUGCCAACGUUGUCUUCAAAUAUUAUGUGUUUGCUUUGUUGAUAUGAUUAAAUUUUUUUUUAUAAUGUGGGUAUUUAAUACUCUCUUCAUUUCAAAUUAAUUAAAUUGUUGAGGUGUUUCACAUUCUUUAAGAAAAGAAGAUUAAGACAUAAAUUAGACAUAAUUUUCUAUUUUUACCCUUAUUAGUUAUUGUCAAAUUUAUGAUAAAUAACUGAAUAUUAAUUAAUAACUAAUUACAAUGCUAACUAAUGAAGGGUAAAAUUAGAAGAACAUUCUAAAAGUAGUCUUGAAAAUUAAACAAUUAAGUUAAUUUGAAAAAUGAAAAAGGUCCCAACAAUUCAAUUAAUUUGAAAUGGAAAGAGUAUGAAUCUGAAUAUAUUUAGGGAGAAUUGAACACCGUUAGAAUAAUAAGGGGAUCAAUUAAUAUAGAUAUUGUGGUAAAAAACCAUAUUAAUCGUUUAUUAACGGGCAUGCAGAAUCUAAAAUGAACAAGUAAAAAUGAAGAGAAAAAGUAAAAAAUAAGGAGUGUUUUUACUAACUUGCUCCUAAAAUGUCAUCAAGGAAAAAAGUGAUUAUUGAAUGGUGUAAAACUCUUUAUUUUGAAACUAGGGUAAUUUUAGAAGAAUAAGAUUAAUUGUUCUUGAAAUCUUAACACAUGGCUAAAACACCACUCAUUUUGAAACGAAGAAAAUAACUAAUUAGAAUCCAUAUAUGACCUAUAUAUUUAUAUUUUUGCCACUGCUCACGUCAUUAGUGACCAGUCGGACAUAACGUUAUUCCUCAAUUGUCAUUGAAAAUUUCUCUAACCUCUCUGUUAAAACAAUGGUAACCCACGAUCUUUCAAAUUCUGAGUUUGUCUCUGAUAAUACUUGUUACUUUCCGGCCACUAACACAUGUACUAAAUAAUUGUACCACCAAAAUUUAGACAAAUAAUAAGAAAUCAUCUAAAUCACACGAUUUUCAUAUACUAUAUAUACUCUUGAGUACAAUUAUAUGAAGUAGCUCCCUUUCAACAAAGGAGAAUCUAAGUGUACUUGAAACAUUAAUACAUUAUGACACUCAAUUCAUGCUUGAAAGAACUUCAUAAUGACAUUGACAAUGCCAAUUUUGACCAAUUAAUUUCUUCAAAAUUCUACUUUUUAUCUGUGAAAUCCAAUUUGGAAAGAAAUAAGAAAGGGUAUAGAAUAAGUGGCUUCCUUUCCAACAAAAGAAAAUGAUAGGAAAAAAGUUAUCCAAAUUCCCUUUUUUUGUUUUUCUGUCUUCAAAUAACAAUUCAUAGUGGUUCAGUGGUCCUAUUAUCUUGGUCUCCCCUUCUGUACCAGUGUAACACAGUCAUCGUUUGGCUGUAUACUUUCGAUCUAUGCGAAAUUGAAUUAAAAUAUCUUUAAUUAAUAGUAUGAUCCGAAAAUAAUUUAAUGGAUCAAAAAUGUCUUUUUUCUAAAUAAAUAUAUUAUUAUUUUCUUUUUAAACGUAUUCUUUUCCUAAAAAUAAUUUUAAUUGUUAGCAAAUUAUUUACUUCAAUUUGGAAAAGAUUAAGAAAUUAAAAUAUAUUAUUAGGAUUUUUAAUUAAACAAAAAUGCACUCAAUUAAUAUAUUUAUUAGAAAAAGAACAUUUUGAUCCAUUAAGUAACAAUAAAGACAUUUUUUAACCAAACUGUUAGUUGUAACCCGUAAGAGCAUUUUUGGACCAAACUAUUAAUUAAACACAUUUUUGUUUAAUUUCACAUAAUUUAAAAACAUUUUUGACCCAUUUUACAAUUUUUCUUUCUUUUUUCAUGUUAGUCAAAAAAUUGUCCUAGUGUUUGUUGUUCCUACUUAUCAUUUUGAUAUUUUCUAUAACAAAUGUCCAGUCUGAUUUACUGCUAAUUAAAAUUCAUAAAAGGAUUGCUUGCUCUAUUGCUAGUUAAAGUUGAAUCCAAUCAUAUCCAUAAAUUUACAACAGUAGGAAAUACUUAAACUAAUAAAUGUUGUUCUAAGCUUCUUCAAAAUGAUCAGACUAUUUUUUACUUCAUUUCGCAUGAAAGAAGAAAAUUGAUGUUGCAGCAGCAACCUACCUCCCCACACACCCCCUUUCCAACAAGCACAGCUUUAAGUGGAAAGGGAGAAAGCAAAACUCUAGUACUAGUAGAAAGAUGAACCUUUAUCUCCGUGGCGUCGCCAAAUCACACAGAUGGGAAAUACUUGUUCAGAUUGAAUGGGAGGGAGUAGAAUUCCUCACUUCUUGUGUCAGUCUUGAAGGACUUGAAUUUGUCCCACCAGUGCUUGCCUCUGUCCUUUCUUGUCUGGCCAUCCUUUUUGUGCAUUGUGUUGUCUAGGAAAAAGGCCACGAUACCCGCCACAAAAGCUUUUGAUUGAAAGGGCACGUUGGCCAUGUCGUUGAACUGAAAGAAUAACAAAUCACAAAAGCUCUUACUACAUGAAUGGAAUGCAACAUAAGUCAAAUGUAUGUUAAUUUGCUAUACCCAUCUUGCAUGUGUGUGAACAGGUCCAUAACCAGCAACAGCAGUAUACUCAUUGAAGUACUGUGGAAUGGACAAGCCAAGAAAGACGGAGAAACCUAAUAUAAACUUGGUGCGGAAACUAUUAAGAUUGCAGAACUGAAGAAAGCCUAAGCCUCCAGCACCUGCGAAGAAAGAACAUCAUAAGAAACCAUAAUUCCCAAGCUUUCCAUAACAUGAAAUAUUUUGGCAUGGCAGUGAUCCAGGGCAUAUGCUUGCCUUAAAAGAUAUACAUACCUACAUAAGCGAAGAAAAGGCAAUACAAAGCACCAACAAUAGGUGCAGGAAUUGAAGCAAAGACGGCUCCAAAUUUCCCUGAUGAUAAUGCGGUUGUCAAGACAAAUCGAUAGAGGGUAAAGAGAAUCAAGUAUCAAGAUAACCCACAAGAAUUGCUCAAACGAAGUGUUAAGAGUGGUGAUUUACCGAGAAUUGAAAAGAAAAUCAUGAACGCAGCAGAUAUCUGAACAACUCUUCUACUGCCAACACGUGUCAGUGCUAAAAGACCAGCAUUCUCCCUGCAUGUACACAAAAGUAAGUCUACUUAGUCAACUAUCAUAACAAGGCAAUGUCAAGUUGCAGAAGGUUUUUGUCUGGACUUACACGGAUACAGAAGAUCCAUUCCCAGUGCCAAAUAAUCCUGAUAGUAGAAUGCCAACUCCCUGAGGCAAAAACAGAAUGUAUCUAAAUUAAAGAAAGCAAGGUAUGAAGAAAUAGCAAAUGGUAGGGGAAGAGAAACAAUCACACUUCCCGCGAACCUCAUUAAGAUGAACAAAAUACAUUUCUUCCUUUUCCAAUCUGAUCUACCCCCACCCUAAAAAAGAAUGUAACUUUAAAAAAAUAACUUGAAAAAACUUUUUAAUGUUCCCAUGAUCCCGAAGUAUCAUUCAAUGAGGGUGAUGAGAAGGUUGCUAAAUAUGCAUCCAGUGCACUCUCUCUUCUACCCCCAACUAGUCCGGGAGCAUUUGAUGAACUGAGUAAGCCCUUUUUAAGCUGUCUUUCUAGCCCCUUGCAUUCAAUAAAUUAUGUACUGCAAAAACAUGAUAUAAUGCAAUAGAAUUUAACUGCUAUGCACUGGAAGUGUCAAAAAGUAUACAGGUAAAUCUAUUGAUAUGUUUUAAUUGGUAAUCUGAUAAAAAUGAUAACUACCAUGCUAUCACAUAUUAAAACUCACUUAUCAUGAAAGGUUUAUAGGAGAAUAUUCCUGUAACAACAGCAUGUAAGUGUUUAAUUUAUGUGUCUAAUUUUCCAAGACAAAAGAAUUUGUUGCUAAAUGAAUGGUAGAAAACGAAAGACAACACGUGGAAGAAGAAGAUGAAUAUUUUCAGAAAACAUGUGAGGAAGCAAGAGAGAACUAUUGAGUUCCAAGGCAAAGGUCUUUAGAUAGGGAUGCAGGAAUUUUGGGCUGUUCCAAUCCCUUAACCACAUAACGUAUGAUAUCCACUAACAGAAGAAAUAUCAUAUCCGCCAUGUACUGUCACACCCAAAGUGGAUCAACUGCAAAAUUUACUCAAAUUGGACCACAGAUAGAAAUGUUUGGUAGCAAAAUUGCAUUUGAGUGGUCAAAGAUUUUGACUAGUUUUAUCAGUUAUGGAAAUAAAGCAUUCUAGUUAGAGUUGGGCGUUGGGAUAACUAAAAACAGUUCAUAAUUCUUACUGUGAAUUUAUGUGUGUUGACAAUGCUGAUACUGGAUGAGUGCGAUGACAUUCCAACUUAGUGUAGUUCUCCUAAUCUACUUACGGCUUCACAUAAACCUCCCUAAAGACUCUAUGCAUUUGAUUCAGAGUAAGGCUCCACUUCAAUGAAAUGCAACAGAACUUCCCUUACUAUUUUCACUUUACAAAAGGGCGAGAGGGAUAGGAGAAAUUUUAGGAAAGAAAUCCUGUUUACCUGCCAACCAACACCACGACUAAGUAUGGAUGGUGGUAAGGGAGUGGCACUUGCAUAUCUUGCAACUGCAAUAAAAGCACCAGUGGACUGAAAACACCAAAGCACAAGCGUGAAAGGAAGUUAGUUCAAAGCCUAUCUCUUUCAGAGCUUAUAAGUAUCUCUUUUUUUUCUUCAGAAAAAUGGCUAAAAGGAGGUGUGAAAUCACACAAAAAUUGGAAAAAGGAUGCAAACAGAUAAAAAAAAAAAGGGACAGCACAAAGAAAGAGGAAGCAGACGAAGGUUGAGAAGUAGUAACUCAGAACAUCUGUAACAACAACUAAACGUUUCAUAAAAACAAUAACUAAAGUAGCCAAAAUAUAAGACAAUCCAGAUCAUAGUGGAAUUAGCAAAGAAAACAGCCUGAAACUAAAAUAUUUACAAAACCUGCCAGAACAAGAUAAUAAAGCAUUCACAAUUUUUCAAUAUCUUUGACCAAGCUCUGACAGGUGAACAAACCUCUACAAGAGCAACAAAACUAGCCAUCAUCAUAGCAAAUGCUUCACCAGCAUUGAAUGAAGGAGGUCCCCAUUGGAAAGGGUAAGGAAUACUAAUCCUGCAGGUUCAAGCCAGUAAAAGAAAAGAGAAAACUAUUAAAAUUACAAUAAGUUGCCUCGUAAUUCUACAGGAAUAUUUUCCUAAUGGACUAAAGUAACAAAUUAAGAACAAUACUGAACCAACAAAAACAACUUUAUAUGAGUAAUGAACAUAAUGGAAUGUUUUUCAAACAAUAUGCAUCCCAUGUCACAACCAUAAGACCAACAGUAAUAGAAGAUGAAAUGGAUAACGAAAUCUAAAUUUUGUUAUGCUCCAUUUUUUAAAAUUGACCAACAAACACUCUAUGCAGUCGAUAAUAUAAGACUCAGAUAGGUUACUUUGGGACACCCACUUGUGCUUACUUUUCCUAAUCUGUAGCACCAUGACGGCAUGACCAUAUCUGCCAGUUAUGCUCAGUGUGGGAAUAACAGACCAGCACAACCAGUUGAUCAGUUGUGACUAAACUGGCGAUGAAACAAAACAUCAUUCCAUGCAAAAUCAUAUAGCUAAAAUACCUAGAUGCAUCUCUCUUAUUUUCUUCUUGUUUAUCAUUUCAAUCAAAUUACGCAAGGUUAGUUUAAUGGACUAGUACGCACCAAUUUCUUGUCUUUUCCAGAACUACUGCUCACAGGAGCUACUGGGGUAGUCACUUUAGAGAGGCAAAAAGAGCAUGACAUGUUACACUCUAAAUUUCUUAAAAUCUAGGACUCAAGAGUGGAAGACAAUGGUCUAUGCCAUAUGUCAAAACAAAGUGUUAUUAUGUUGAAGAUUGUAAUGCAAUAUAGGUUAUGAGAAACUAAUCCUUAUGUCCCAACAUAAGCAUCUUACUUUCCUUUUUAUGCUGUGCUAACAUGUGCCACUUCCCUAGAACACAACUUUUAUACCAUGCUGUAGAAUCCUUUUUGAAUUUAUGUAAGCAAUAGAAGCAAGACCCACUCUUACACUUACAAAGUUGUAAUUUUUACCAAGGAGUUCCGUAUCUUUGGGACCGCAUAAAUGUUAAAAUACUAAAAAAAUUAUGUGCGUAUCCACACAAAUAUUUAGACCCAUGCCAGUACAUUAGAAAAGUGAAAAAUGAAGGAGCGAAGCACGUGCCAUUGAGCACCACUAAUGAGUCCAGCACGGUCAGUUCUGCAGCUUGCUUGUGUCUUUGGUGGCUUUCCAUUGUAAGCCCCACCCACAGUGAGUAGGUGUGCAUAAAUCCAUACAAUGAUCACCGUGAAAAGAACAGCAAAACGAUCAAAUAUAUUCUUCCCUGGACGUAUCAGGUGUGCCAAAUACUGCAAAAACCAGUGUUUUAUUAAGAAUGUGUAACUUAUAUCCUACUAUGUUGUGUGUUUAAAAUAAUGUUUACGAGAAAUAUAUGAUAUCUCGACAAAGCAACCCACCUGAGAGAAAAUGACUAAAAGGACUAGCUCUGGCAACCCAAUUUCAACACAUUUGGCAACCUAAACAGAGAUGAAACAAAUUCAACAAUCAUCAUUGGAUGAAUAUCAAUGCAAGACAAGUGUGGUGAGUUUCUGCUUACCCCAGGAAAACCAAACUCAUAAAGACCAAAGCCAACAAGAGAAACCAAAGGAACAGCUGAAAGUGGGCUCAGAAACCUAAGAAUCCACAUGAAGUAAAAUGACAAUCAGAGCUAGCACACUGUACGAACACAAAGCACUUAACAUAACUGAACAGACCUUAAACCACAAGAAAGUGACCCUUAGACUUAGAGAACUUGCUCACAAAGUAUAGCAUAAGAAUAUCCAAGAGCAGGCAAGUACGUGCUUAAUUGAUGGUAUAAAGUUAGGUAGCAUUAUGAGAAGUCGCUCAAAUGGAGGGAGAAAUCUUGUGAUAUAACAAACCUUGUAACAUUGCGCCAGAGACCACUGAAGCCUAGGACAAUCUGAAGGGUUGAAGCAACAAUAAGGGCACCUUGAGUGGCCCGCAUUAUCUUCUUGAAUUUCUGAAUAAACAGAGAAAUAUUAACAAUAAAUUAAGACCUAAUAUCACCAAGAUGCACUGGAUGACCUCCUUUGUGUCUCUAAGCAUCUUCCUGACUAUUAAAGAAGUUAAAGGAAUAUGCACUGACAUGAAUUAUCAAGUUGAAAGUAAACUAUUUCUGCAUCAGUUUUUUAUUCUUCCUUUUUGUUUAGCUAAGGUAAUGUAAAAUUCAUUAUAUCUCAGUACCAAGAAGGUAUGAGAAAAGAACAAAACAGCUGAACUAAACCGUCUGUCAUACGAUACGACCCUUACACCAUGAGUAUAAAUUUGUAAGCAUCUAUUUUUAAGAAAAGGAAGGUGCUCUACCUUUCCCUCAAAACAUCUCUUUUACUUUCCAAACAAUCCACAAAAUAUGUAGAGGAACUGUCUUCUGUAGUAACUUCAGUCUUUUAUCAACCCUAGACACUGCUCUGUAGUAAACUUUUAACAUUUCCUGGCAUGACCACAUUACUCCAAAAAGGUUUAAAUCUGUGCAUCAGCUUCUUUUGACGAUUGGAUGGUAUUUAAAUUUGUUUUUCUCAAAGUGAUAUUAUGGAAAAUUAUUGUUAGUGUUUGGAUUUGGUUAUUGAAAAAAAAUUGGUACUUGUAUAUUUUUUACAAAAUUGAGAAGUUGUGAUUUUGAUUCAAUUGUUUGGAGAAAUAUCAUUACAACCCUAAAACACUGUACACACUGUCAUAUUGCUGAAAAAUGAGAAAAAAUGGACUAAACAUAUUUAGGAAUAGUUAAAAGGUAACAAAAAAUGGUUGUUACACCAUAUGGACCAAAUAAAGAGAAAAGAAGAAAAGUGAUGGAGUGAUUGUGCCACGAAAUCUGAUCAGACAGGGAGUGU